Molecule: long non-coding RNA, 100777 nt
Filed under: Prunus persica (peach)
Lineage: Eukaryota; Viridiplantae; Streptophyta; Magnoliopsida; Rosales; Rosaceae
Description: long non-coding RNA (PPER_LNC007221)
Rfam family: tRNA (bases 2893-2965)
Source: RNAcentral
UGUGUGAAUGUUUCGAGGGCAUUUUUCUUUGUGUCUUCCAAUUUCAACUUCAAGGACUCUAACUCUUUGCUCCGACUUUUUGCUUUAAGAGCUUGCUUCACCUCUCCAGCGUAUGCUUUGUUCAACUUGUUGGCCAAGUUUCCCAUAACUUGGCCAUGAAUAUCGCACUUACUCUCCCACCAAUCCGUUGCCUUUGACAUAUAUUGGAGGUGGUGCUUGACGGCGGAGAUUUUGUCAAGCGGAUCAUGAGUGUCAGCCUCACUUCCAGAUGAAGUGGGAUCAUGAUUGGGAGUCCGAGGUGGAGAUGGGAAUGGCACAUGCCAGGGCUGGUCCCCCGGGUAACUCACAUGCUCGUUAGGAGGGCGUACAUCUGACAUGUUGAAGUAUUACUGGGGACAAUUCACAGCUGUUGCCUGCAACCAAACAAAUAGAGGUACAUUCAGUCUCCAGUUGUAAACGACUAUAUGGUUAGGUUGAGUGGAGAAUAUUUGCCUUUCAGUAAGACUAAUUACCUUUCCCGUUAAGAAGGUGCCUCUGUUGCAGUUCUAUAUAGGAAGGUUCAGUUAUAUGUACGAACUUAUAUGAGGUAAAUUGGGUUUUGUGUUGGUGCAUUAAAUUGAUGGGAUUCAAAACUACACCAUUAACUCCUUGGCUGUAAGUUACAGCAGUACAACAUGACAUUAACAACAAUAAAAUUGUAUCUCUAUGUAUUUUUGGCAACUGGGCAAAAAUAAUGUUGACGAGUGGGUUCAGAUUCUCCUCCUAAACGUAUUUUUGGCAACUGGGCAGCUGUGUUCAAGCACCCCAAAUUAGGAGGGGCAGAGUACACUUACACUUCAUUUCUUUCAGUACCAUUAUCACCACCAUGCAUCUCCUCCACCUCGCUAAAAUCAAUCAUAUCCAUAAAAUCUGUCCCUACUUCACCUCCCAAAUCAGUGACAUUUGUAUUAUUCCAAGUUACUUCAUUGCUUUCAACAAUGGCAACUGAAGAAUGACCCAUCCGACUACUAUCUGUCGUGAUAUGCAUACUAUGAACUACAUCAUUUGUCAGUCCUUUAUCUUCUAUACUCAUGAGUAAGGGAGCUAGUUUUGAAGGUGUUACCUCGGAAUUGUACUUCAUAAAAAAAUUGACAUCAUCAUCGUCCUCAAUCUUUAUGCACUUCCACUCAUUCGAGGCCACCAAAACUGAGAAUUUUAAGCAAACCUUGUCUUCCCUGCUGUUUGUAUUACCAAUCUGAUGCACACGGUCUAACAGUUCAGCAAAAUUGAUGGUCCGUGGAACUAUUAAGCCUUUUGAGUCACCCCCUUCGUAUUUGCACAUCUUCUUCGAGGUGACCCAUUUUCCAUUGUAGCACACGAGAAUAACAAUUGUCUCCAUUUCUGACCAUGACAAAACAACAUUUCAUUCACACAAUAUAACCACAAUAACCAUACAAUACAAUAGCAAUAUAACCACAAUAUAACAGCAAUAUAUAGGCAAUAUAAUGGCAAUAUAACAGCAAUACGACUGUAAAAUAAGAGGAACACAUCAGAAUCACACUAUACAGAUCUACUACAUCAAAUAGAAAUUCCCAAGUUUCAAGAUUCACAUAUCCAGACCAAUCUAAAUGCAAUUGGUACAAACCCAGAUGAAUGAGCAUGAAUAUUCAACAAAACCUAACCCAAAUAAAUUAAAGCCAAAACGAAUUUAACACAAACCCAAACAAUCAAACUAUAACCCAUUUCACAUAAUACUGAUAUUAAGAAAAUAACCAUCAACACUACCUUUUCGAGGUCGGCAAUCCAGUAGAGCUUCAAGGUUGCAAGCAGCUAUUCAGAAGACAUAGCUAAAGGGAGGGGUUCGCGAUUCCAAACAGAGAGCAAGAGAUCGAAUAGGGGAGAAAGGGACAUAACGAAGCUAGAGAGAGACAGCUGCGCUAUGAGAAACAGAGCAAAGAGAGAGACAGAGAGUUGUGCUAGAGAGACAGAGAGAGAGCCAAGAGAGAGAGAGCCAAGAGCGAGAGAGCCAAGAUAGAGAGAGCCAAGAGAGACACAGAGAGCUGUGAUAGACAGAUACCAAAGAGAAAGAGAGCUGUGCCAGAGAGAGAGAGAGAGCUGUGUGAGCUUCUUCUCUCCAAAAUUUCUGAACUUGUGAAAAAUCAGCAAUAAGUGGGCAAUAAUUUUAUAUUUAUAGGUGAUAGUUGUACAAAAAUUGGGAAGGGAUGGUAUUUUUAAUUAAAAUUAUGAAAUGGGUGUCAUUUAGGGCUAUUUCCCAAAAUUAAAAGCUAAAGAAGCAGUCUUGGCAAGAAAAUCGAACUCAGAAAAUCGUGGGCUCUCUUUCUCCUCUUAAGAGAAAUUGAAAAUCUGACCCAAAAAAGAAAGAGAAAUUGAAAACAAUAUAUAUAUAUAUUAUAAAAGAUCGCCCCAACCGUGGGUCAUUACGGUCAUUAUAAUCCUUAUAGAGAAGGUAAAACUACCUCGGAAGACUCGAGGUCAAUCAAGGGUCAAACUACCCCAACUGGUCAACGGGCCCACGACCUCCAAAUUCUGAUCCAAAGUUUCUAUGAGUUCUACAAAGUAUAGGACACUUGUCCUGCAAGUUGGUCCAGAUCGACGGUCGGAUCGCUCACGAUCGCAUGAUCUGACGGUUAUUNNNNNNNNNNNNNNNNNNNNNNNNNNNNNNNNNNNNNNNNNNNNNNNNNNNNNNNNNNNNNNNNNNNNNNNNNNNNNNNNNNNNNNNNNNNNNNNNNNNNCCUUGCGCUCUACCAACUGAGCUAAGCUUGCGCGCUUUGUUGUCAACGUUCGUUUUAUAUUGAUAACAUAAUUUCUCAAACAGCUUAAUGAAGAUUUCAUCGUGGAGGAACAGGUAGAAAAUAGAUUAUCAGUAUAAACGAACAUUGAGCAAGCAACAAAGCCCGUCUAGCUCAGUUGGUAGAGCGCAAGGCUCUUAACCUUGUGGUCGUGGGUUCGAGCCCCACGGUGGGCGACAAUGCUUCACAUUAAUUUUUUCUUUCAUCUUUUUAAUUCACUACUACCGUGUGCUUUGUUUGGUUUGAAUGCAAAACAAAUAAUAAAUCCUUUUUGAAAACUUUGUCCCUUUUUCUGGGUUCCAAUUCAAUCAUUCCUUUUGCUUGCCUUGUAAUUUUGUUCUUCCAUAAAAAUAAAAAUCAUUGUUCUUUCUUGUGGAGGAGGCAAACUGUUAGCUUCCGUUUGAAUGGAGGUAUUUGAAAGAAAGGAUUUGGAUUUGACAACAAAGCUAUAAAUUUGUUAAAAGAAAUUAGAAAUGAAGCAAAUAAAUGGAUAUAUAAUGUAUCCUAGAUUUGGAAUCGCUCCAUCCAAAUGGACUUGUAAUGCUAAUACAUACAAGCUCCCGCCUUUUCUUUCUCUCUGUUCUCCGUUUUCUUUUUUUCAGCAAGAUUUUGUAGAUGAUACUUCUUUGUAAAUUAAUAAACAAAAAAUAAUUUACAAGUACAUAAAAAAUUGGAUACAAGUUACAACAUGCUUUGAAUAAAAGAACAUAACUUUAAUUAUUUAUUUUCCCCUAGCAAGUGUGAUGUUUUACAGAAAUCUACAACGCCAGGUCUGACAUUUCAUCGCUUGGGGAGCAUAGAGGUAGGACCCCUCAUUUUGUGUUAUCAUGUUAGUAACUAUGAAUAUCAAAAACCAAGGAAUUCCCCUAAUUCAACGAGAAAGCUCCAUUGCAGUACCUGCACAACUCAAAGAAAUUAGCAAACCAGUAAAUUAUAAAAGCAAAUCUGUAUUCGUUAAUACAAGUUUGAAAGAUUGUCCACAUAGACAAACACUGCACAAACAACUUGCAGGCAUCCAAGGAAAUAUACACUAACCUGUUGCUGAACUUUUCAACAGCAUCAGAGGCAUAAAGAAGGGUUUCAUUGGCUUUCUCCAGAACCAUAUAAAGUUCCUUCCCUCUUGUAACCCGAGCAAUAACCCAAGCAUUGUUUUUCGCCCGGAUGCUAACUUCCAAUUCUUUCUCUUGACCAGCAUUAUUUGAUUGUGCUUUACUCUUUUCCAAAUCAACUUCUUCUCUAAGCUUACUUAAGGCAAGUAAGGAAUCCUGCCACAGAACAUGAAAAAUGAAUUUCUUGGACAUCAAUUCAUAAAAGCAAUAAAUUGACAUUAAAAUGAUGAGAUCUAGUCUGAUCAGUGACCACUAAGCCUAUCUUUUGCAGCAAACACAUGCAUUAGGCCAAGCCGCCACAGAGAACACCCAAGGUAAAAGAAAUGCACUGAGAAUGCAACCUAGUCUAGCUGGAGACUUGUGAACAUGGCACCAGUCAUAUAAAUAGAAAACUGAAAAAGAAAAUGAUUAUAGGCAGCUAGGUUUUCUUCCAUAAUUCCUUAGCUGCUGCAGGGGAGUAUAUUUAUACAAUAUUUGAUGCAGGUAAACAAGGUGAACAUCCUCAACCAAAUGGCCACGUUUUAACACGUAUUGUGCAGAACAAGAGAGCAAGCCAAACUGUGGUGGAAUGCUUUACCUUAGUAAGGGUUGUGACCUUUCCUGGUGGAGAAGCCCUAGAUACAUUUCUGUCUCCGUCCACUAGUAAAUAUCGAUAUCCACUAACAUGAUAUGCAUUCUCACCAACCCAUCCUUUUGAUAGUUUCUCUUCAACUCUCAACAGCUUUAGGGAUACCUGGAAAAUAGUAAAUAAAAACAUAAAAUUCAAACAAUGGCACUCCAGCUUUCAUCUCAAGAAAACUUCUACAAUACAGCUAAUAGCAUGAAUCAGAAUCAAUGAUUAUUGCACCAGUAAAAUUCCAAAUAAUUUAUUACAGGAAAUUAGCGAUUAAGUAGACAUUUUAUUUCAUUAGGAAUCAAUGAGACAACGUAUGUUGAGGACAUGAAAAAGGAUAUAGAGGAUAUUACAAAACUAAUUUUUUCCUGUCGAUGAAUAUAAAGGAUAUGAGUACAUUAAACCAAAUUAAAUCAAUAAAAAUUUAAAUAGGGAAAGAUAUGAGAAAGACAUUAAAAUGUUGCUUCAACACAUCUAACAAGAAAUUUGGUUUUGGUAGAGAACCAAUAUAAAUAGGAUUUCUAUUGUGGACCUCUAUUGAUUUAGGGUAACGAUUUCCACAUGACAGUGCUAAUGACAAGUUUAAAAUGUAAAGAAGCAGUUUGAUAGCAUAAGCAUUAGAGUUGCUAGCAGGGCUAGGAAGCUAACAUUUUCAAGAACUUGCUGCUUCACCGCAGAAACACCUUGAUCCCCAAUUAGCACUGAAGAAACAGGAAUGAGAAAAAUUAAGGUAAGGCUCUUAUGCUGAUGGGCACACAGAUACAUUCUCUCCUCUGUCUGAUGGAGCAAAACUGUUGGAGUGGCAGAAAUCAAGUUACUAGCCUCUGCACCCCAAAUAUCAGUGACAAGAAAACCAUCCUUCCCUUUGGACCACUUAUCCUGCUGCAAGGGCCGUAUGACACGAUAAUUGUUAUCUCCAGCAGGAGAGUUGACAUCUGAGCCUUGAAAUUGUUCUGGAACACCACCAGGACGGGCCAAGAUAGAACUUGAGGAUACAUGGGAUGUAGCUCCUUUGCGUAAAUAGGACCAGGAACUUACUCCAGAGGAUAAAGCACGGGGAGUCAGCCUUAAAACAGCAUAUGCAAAUAGGUUUACGGUGUCAUCCUAACAAAGGAAAAACAAAAUUCACGAAAGUUAGCAUUUGACAAAAUAAAUGCACUCAGCACCUCUUUCUAUGAAAAUUCUACGCAAGAAAAAUGUAACUCAGUUCUUAAGCUUCUCCUGAACUUUAAGACUAAAACACAAUGGCAUAUGAAUGAUUUAAAAACAGUUAAAACGCCUAGAAGAUCAAACCAUACAGGAGAAAGUGUUGUGGACACCAACAGGUCCUGAAACAAGAUCAGUGAGUGACAGGGUAUGUUCCCAGCACAAGAUUCGAGCACCCUUACAAGCGACUGCAAAGAAAAAUGAAACCAUUCAAAACAUACACAAAAGAAAAAUUGUAUAACAUUGCACUAACAAGUAAAAGACUAAAAUUAGGAGAUUCAGGUAGAACUUAGAAGUCAGGUCGGAACAAGGGUGAUUAUAAAAGCCCACAUGUAUGCAGAAAUGCACAGUUUUGUAGAAUACAAGUGGGCAAGAAAGAAGAUAAUAGGACAGUUAGUGAUGAUAGACAGGCUUAAUACUAAUGAAGCAUUGCAUUAUAAGUUAAGGUAAAAAAAUUAGUAAGGUAUGUCUAUAAAACUUAUAAGGAAAAUGGAUAAGAAAAGUAGAGAAUAAACAUAAUACCAGUACAUGUACUACAACCAUCUUUCCAAAUUACACCACAAUAUGGAAGCUGAAAAAAAAAUCAACCAUGGAGAGGAACUCAUGGACCCAAUGAGCAUCUAAACAACUAAUACACCAAACCUAGAACAAGUUUAUGACUAGGACAUACUAAAACAUCAAUAACUUCCAAGGAAGAAUCUUGAAUAAAAAUGUAGCAUUAAAUAAGCAGAAAAUUUCAGCAAAACUGUUCUGGCCUACUCCACUAACAUAUGAUUAAUUUAUAUUCUGAAAACAAACCUGUACUUCAAUUGCUGCUUCCCGCCCUACAGUAAGCAUCUGUACGGUUCCACGCUCCUUUAAACAGUCACGGAAUGAUGGUAACAGUAGUUUCUUCCCGACCAGAAAAUCUGCCCCAGAGAGUAAAACCAUACAAUGAGAUACAGCAACUUCAGCAUUACUUAGGUAGAAAAAUCCAAUCGAGAGGGCAUGAUACAGCAACUUCAGUAUUACCCCAGCAGCACCCAUCGAAUGGAGACCGCUUUUGAAAUGCUGGCAAUUAGUGAUUUUACAAUGAAAUUUGAACCAAGGACAAUAUAAAACUAGACUUCAGUGUAAUUAGUAGGUAUACGACUGUAUGAUGACUUACCACCAAGAUAGUCCAUGAUGAAAUAGUACAAAUGAGAUCGAGUUAGUCCUCCACCAGGGUCUUUGUCAAGCAACGCUCUUAUAGAUCCAUGAAACAUCACAAAAAGAUAAUGGACUUCCUUAAGAACCUUUCUCAAUGCAUCACUUCUCCAAAUAGCUUCAAACUCCUUGCUUUUCUCCACUACCUACAACAAGGUGAAGCAAUGAUUUGAAACUACUUCAAAAUAGCAUUGCCUACAACUGCAUUCUAAAAAAAAAUUAGUUUAGCUACGAGAAACAAAAAUGUGAGCAUCAGGGGCCUAAAACAUUAGUUCUGAAAAAGCCCAUAAGUUAUAACAUGCUACCAACAAUAUAUGAACAUUAUCUAAACACAUAAUUGAAAAGGACUAACAAUGACAGGAAUGUUUGUAAGGAAAACAGAGCUCACCAUCACCAUCCAGAUAUCUGGUUCCGCCUCAUAAAAAACAUGCGAAUGCCUCUCUGCUUCAAUGGCUUCACAAGCAGCCUCUGGAGAGAAGAUUCUGCACAAAAUAUAUACAAGUUCUUAUAAAAAUCAAAAAACACUUGUAUAAAAUUUAUGUAAGAAAAAGGGAUAGAAAGUAGAAACCUGGUAAAUGUGAUAAGUCCUUCACUGAGCCCAAUCACAGAGAAUUGUGCUGAGAAGGGCAAAUCGGCAGGGAAGAAAAACAAUAUCUUGUCCAAUUCUUGCCCUUCAUUUUGACCCCUCCUCAAAUCAAAUAUGCACAAUUGCAGUCCUUCUGGGGUUGCACUGGCCGUGGUACUAGCAGACGACAAACCCAUAAUUUCUUCCUGCAACAAUGGUACAAUCAAACAAUUUGCAUAACAAAUUGAACCCUAAAUUUCGUUAGCCGCUGAAAGGAGAAGGAAUUGCGAGAUUGGAACGACUUACUUGCAGCACAGCGAAGCUUCUUGUUGGGCUUUGAUUUUGAUUUUGGUACCAAAUAAGGUUUAUUAGAUUAGAUGGAAGGAAUUUGCUCCGCCAUUAGGCACUGAUCCUUUUUUUCAAAGUUUGAAUGGUAGGUAACUGCGUGGAGGAAUUUCACUAAUUACUGUGUCGGCCUGUUUGCUUAAUUGCUGUUUUUUCCUGCAUUUUCACUCUUGCAGUUUUAUCCUUUUAAAAAAAUAUAUAUAUAUAAGUGAUAGUGAGGGGAAGGAUUUGAACACAUGACUUUCAAGGUAGGGUCUUGUUGAUAUAGCAUGAAUACUUUGGUAAUAUGCAACUAUUAAACAUUUUAAAAUUCAAUUUAGAGAAAAAUUAAAAAACUUUAAAGAUGCCAACUGGUCUUGUGCAGGGGAAGGACGCUUGACUUGCAGACUCAGGUUCGAAGUUCGCUACCUUGACAGUAUGUGUGAGCAGGGAAAUGCUAGCAACUCUGUUUUAGACUUUCUCUCUUCUUCUCAUAAUAAGUGUCACUUUCCUUAUACUUAAAACAAUGUCAUUAAUACAUCACACAAAUUAGUUUUUGUUUUCCAAGUUUACCCUUAUUGAAUGUAUUAGCUUUUAUACAUUUAAUAACAAACUAGCUUGUUAUUAAAAAUAGUUAAUACAUUUAAUAAGGGUAAACUUGAAAAACAAAAUCUAACUUGUGUGAUGCAUUAAUGAUAUUGUAUUUAAGUGUAAGGAAAGUGACACUUGUCAUGAGUAGAAGGGAGAAGAUCUAAAGGAGAAGGUUGGAGAGAAAGUUGCUAGUAUUCCUUGUGUGGGAAAACCUCAUCUCUCAACAUCGAUUGUAUCAAACCAAUGGGGUGUUUUAUAUGAUUUAAUGUAUAAUUUUAUUUUUAAAAAGACAAUAGAAAUUGUAAGUACAAAAGAAAAUGAUUAUUAGAUUUUUAAGCUAAUAACUUUAGCUAGCCCACCCGUUAAUAAAUUCUUGAUUCCGCCCUUGCCCUCUCUCAAUAUUGCCUUUAUAAAAUUUUUUAAAUAAAUACAACGAUCCCAACCCAGCCUGCAGGCACCUUUUUUUAUAAAAUUAAAAAUAAAAAAAAGUGAAUUUCAAAUUUUUUUUAAUAAUUAAAGUUACCAUAAUAUAACAGAGUUGACGGGGCAACAUGAGACAUAGAGUGAAAGCACAACGGCCAGAAUGGGUCAAUUGAGAAUACAAGUGAAAAGUGAGAUUUGAGUGGAAAAUACACGGAGCAAAACAAGGAAGCCGGACAGAAAUCUACUCCUUUUUUUAACAGAAUUCUCCAAUUUUGUAUACUUUUCAUCUCAUAGUUUAUAUUCAAUAUUUAAAGCAUGAAAAAAUGAGGAGGCAGUACAAGUGUAUCAAAUAGAGAGUGUGAAUCGGGUAUAGACCAGAUUGUACUUGCAUACCUUCUUCAAUAAGUUACAAGGAAUCAUGUAUAGACUUUUUCUUUUUCUUUUUUAAUACAAGCGAUAGUUUAAACAUUAAACAUUAAUGAGAGGUUCUUACACACACAUUACCAAGGUACCAUAAGGACGUGAGCGGCCACAAGGGUCACUUAACUUUCCUUGAUAAAAUUUCUAGUUUCGCCACUACAUGAAAAUUUGAACUUGAGACCACUAGUCUGUAACCCUUUUUUUAUUUGGCUAGACUCCAUUGGCAGAAAUCUGGUAUAUACUUUAGCGGUGAAAUGAAUUAACCCUAAAUAAAACCACUUAUAGAAAAAUUGCCAUCAAAGUCGGUAGUUGGUAUUAACACAUCAAUUGGAGAUCGUAUUAGGAUGACUAUGUAUUAAACAAUCACCAAAUAGGUUUCUUUCUAGGUUGAUUGGGGAAGGCACCUCCUUCACAUGCACCUAUAUGAAUGUGUCAGGUCAACAGAAAAAACACAAUCUACGGAUCUGAUUACCAAACUUGACUCUUUCUUUUUUUUUUCUUUUUUUAAAUAUGCAGGAGUAAGUAAACCAAAUCGCAAAUGGUUUUUUAUGAUUCAAUUCAAAGGGUCACUUUCAUUUUUGAAUUGAUCCUAAUAUUGGCACACGACUGCAAACGCAGCAUAUCCCACUUUGGAAACUUUGGCCUCAAAUUAAUUUCACAUUUCACGCUUAGCAGUUUCAUAUUGCAUAGGCGUGAGAAUACGAGCAAUGACAAUACAAGCAAUGCUAGCAUCAGUCGCACGCGUGGGUGAUUAUGGAUGGCAAGGGUAAUCAAUACUUAAAUGAGAAAAGGAUGCAAAAGGAAAAUGAAUCAGAUAGCAACAUCACAAGCUUAUACAGGAGGAAAGAUCAGGGGAAGAGGAAACUUACAAGGAAAGGAAACGAGGAACAAGAUCAAACCAAAUUCUGAAGCAUUAUUAUAUCAAAAGCUAUAUGUAGCGAGCAAAUACAGCUAUACCACACCAGUCCACUAGAAAACAUGCAUAAAGAACUAGAUAUUACAUUAACCUCUAAACCCAGAAUUCCAGAAAAUCUGUUGACAUCCUAUGCAAUGAGGAAAGGCAGCACAGUCAACAUGAAGUCCUCAUAGCUGAAAGUUCCAGUACCGGUGUACGCUUUGUCCUUCUCCUUAAAUUUUUCGGUUAAACCCUGCAAGACACAAGAACAACAAAACAAAUAAGUGCCAAAAGAAAAUCUCCAUUUUAGAGCUGUACUUAAAGCCAUUUUUCGAAGUUCUUAAUACUGGUAAAACUACAUGAUUCAGUAAUGUACAAUAAAAAUUGCGGAUAUCCCAGUUGAAAAAAUCAAGCAAAGAAAGAAAGGGCUAUUUUUCUUCUCUUGUUAAGCAGGUUUUGAACUAACUGCAGCAAUACAUUCUUGUUCUGAAUUCCCAACCAUAUAAAGUAAGCAGGGAUCGAAAAACUUGUGCUUAUGCUCUUAGCAUAGAAAGAAUAGAUAAAGAAUGCUGAAUUAGAAAGUAAAACGGAAAGCCAAGUGACGAAGACGAAGAAGCUCCCAAGUUAAAACUAUAAAUUGAGUGCCCAAAAUCAUGGUAAAUAGAUUUAGUCACAAGUAAACUGACCUUAACAGUAAGACAGCACCUGCAUUUAAUCACAACAAAGAAAAAAUAUAUAUAUUAAGAGAUUGAUAAAAGCAAACACAAUGUGAAACAAACCAUAAAGAAAAUGAAUGUAAAAUAUGAAAGGAAAAGGGAAACGUACUCGAUGAAAUUGUCAUAUUCAAUGGCCCUGUGUUUGCCUCCGGUCUUGUCGAAUUUAGAGACCAGCAGAUCCAAAACCGUAGGUGACACGGAAAAACCCAGACUCAGCAGUGCAUCUCUCAGCUCAGUUGCAUCAAUGUGCCCACUUCUAUCCCUGUCGAACCUCUCAAAUAUUCCCUGAUCCGUUGUCACACAAAUUAUUAAUCACAAAACCAAAUUUUACUCAAAAGGAAAAAAAAAGAAUUUAUAUUUAAAAAUUUAAGUUUUAAAAAAAAAAUUGGGAAUUACCCUCCAACUCUGAAGACUGUAGAACACUGCAGUGAAUUCCUUAGGCCCUGUUUUCACAAUUUACCCAGAAAAAGAAAUCAAUACGAAUUACCGUUUCAUUGAAUUAAUAGCGAUAUUUAUUGAAUUUAUUGAAUAACGUUAAAAAACUAAGCUGCAGAAUACAAAUUAUAGCAUGGGAAAUAUUCCAUAGCUUUCAAAAGACCAGAAAGCAGAGAUAUCUCAAACGAAGACGCGGGACCCACUGAAGCACAACGUGUAGUCACAUUAAGAUCCAACGGUCCACAAACCAUGACUACCACACAUUCGCAUUCAACGCAAACACUGACACGUUAACACAACACGGACACGUGAAAUACCAUUCAACGACAGCACUAUCAACCACUAAAUAGAAAGAGAAGAAGGGCAUGGCGGACAUUUCGCCUGCAUGCCCCUAGCAGCCACUCCGCGUCCGGUCACUGACUGGGAGGAACAAUGCCAGAACGACAUCGUCUGGAUUGCGCCGAUCAAAAUCACAGAACGCACCGUUAACUCUAAGAAUCGCAGUUGUCUAAUUUCCCAAUUUGACGAGAAAGAACUCAGAGAUACACACGCUUAUGGAGAACAGAGAGAGUUAGGGUUUGUGAAACGUUACCGAUCUUCCUGGUGUUGGUUUGGGUGAAGAGGUACAUGAGAAGAUGAACAGUCCUCAAGCUGAAGCUCUGAUUGUAUGACGACAGAGCUCUCUGCAACUCCUUGUCGUCGAUGAAGCCACUGCCGUCCUGAUCCGCCAUCUGAAAGCACGCCACCACAUUCGGGUCCGUACCGGGUGGGAACGACGAUGGCACCAGAGCCGCGAACGGGCUUCCGUAGCCCGGAGCCGACGGCGGGUAUCCACCCCCGCUGCUUCCGUGGCUCUGGUGAGGCUUCUCUGGCGCGUACGGCGCGGCGUACGGUGCCGAUGGUGCGCCGUAGGGUGCAGACGGCGCGCCAUAAGGUGCAGCCGGCGCUCCGUACGGUUGCGCUUGGUGUUGGUGGGGCUGGCCGGGUUGGCCUGGCUGGCCUGGCUGCGGCGCGGCGUAGGGUUUGCCUGGUGGAGGCGUGCUGCCGUAGCCGUAGCCGGGGGGCGGGUGUGGGUAUCCAGACAUUUUUAAUUUUGUUUUCUAGUAGAAUAGAAGCUUUUUGAAGAUGAGAAAAUGUUCUGAGAAUUUCAGAGAGGGCUUUGAGCUGAUGGAAAACAGAUCUAUAUAUAACUGAAGUUGAAAUCUCGGACCCGAAGAACUGAGUAAUUACAUCGUUGCCCUUGGCUUUAAAUGUAAUAAUAAAAAGAAUUUAAUUUUUUAAUUAAUUUUAAAACAACUAAUUUAAUUUUAAAAUAAGUAUUCUAUCUUAUUUAAUUAGCUAGGACUAAUCUUCAUGAUUAAGGUCUAAAGUUUGGAUUGUGAAACAAUUUGAUUAGUAAAAAAAAUUAAAACCAUGUGCUUGCCUGGAUUAAAACAAGGGUUAAAUGUUAAAAUGGUCCAUGUGUUAUAGUUAUUUGGCAAAUUUAGUCCAUUUGUUUUUAAUUUGGCCAAUUUAGUCCAUGUGUUUUACUCUGUUAGCCAAUAUUGUCCAUUAGGUCAAAUUACCAUUAAAAAAUUCAUUGAAAUUUUUAUAAGUAAUAAAAAAAAUUAUUAAGUUCAAUUUAUAAAAUUAAAAAAAUUUGGAAUCCUAACAACCUCUAUGCCCUUCUUCUCUCAUGCCGUCACCACCACCACACCCAUCAUGGCAACCACCAUGAGCAGUCCCAACCACCACCUAUUCUCUCUCUCUCUCUCUCUCUCUCUCUCUCUCUCUCAUACCAGAACAAAUGGAUAUAAACCGUAAAGUUAUUAAAAGAGAAUAUUAUCAACUUCAUCUCAAACAACCUCAACAUUGAAAUCCUUAUUGAGCUUCUUCUAGGGAGGUGAAGAUGAUUUCAUGGCAUCAAGCCAACCGUUGGACUAACAUCAUCGAGCUUUCCUUGCUUUUUCCUGGGGAUGUAUCUGUACUUGCCAGAGGAGAAUGAUGCUCCUUGCUGUGAGUAUGGCAACAAACUAGAAUGGAGGCCUAGUCUUGAUUUAGCUCUCGGUGGAGGCGGCAUGAGAGAACGACAUAGAGGCUAUUGGGUUUCCAGAUUUUUUAUUAUGUAAUUAUAUUUAAUUCUGUUAUUUGUGUUUAUAAUUUUUAUUUAUUUGUAAACUGAACUCAAUAAUUUUUUAUUAUUUUUUAAAGCUUUAAUGAAUGUUUUAACUUAAUUUGACGGCAUGGACAACAUUUACUAACGGAAUAGAACACGGGAAUUAAAUUGGUCAAAUUAAAAAUACGGGGAUUAAAUUGGCCAAGUGAGUAAAACACAGAGACCAUUUUAGCAUUUAAGCCUUAAAACAAUAUUGUUUUCUCUUUUUUUCUAUUAACAAAAAUAAAAAGAAAUGGGAGAAAUCCUCAAAUUAAUUUUUUUGUAAUAAUUACAAGGAACUUAGGUUCCAUUCAGUUCAUGAGAAAGGAAGUUUGGGUAUGAGAAAUCAAUUGCUUUCUCAUGUUUGGUAAGUCUAUGUAUAGGAAAUGGUUGCCGUCACAUGAAAAAGUAGGGAGAAAGUGAAGCCCUCCUCUCAACUUAGGUUUUGUUUUCGCUUAUCAUAGGAAUGUUUGGGAAAAUGAGCCAACAUUAAAUGCAUAUUUUUCACGAUCAUUUUGUCCCCAUUAACAAUUUAGAAUUACAAUAUAUCAUUAAAUUCAUUUUUUUAUUUGUCUUAAUGCUUAACAUAAGAGAUGUUAUAAUUGUGAAUGAAUGGGAAAGUGUUUGCCAGCUUUAUUUUCUAGUUUUGGCCUUUCUUCCGGCUCUACAUCUCUUAUGUUAAGCAUCAAGACAAAAGGUAAUAAUGAUUAUUUUUUGAGAACCUCGACGGAACGAGGGAAACUUUAUUGAUAAAGCGAAGAAUGACAACGGGGGGGACAAUGUGUCUGACCCCGACUUAACACAUCACACAAUAGGGCGUCCUGAAUAAGAUCAGGGGGCACCUCAAACCAAAUAAAGUUGUCCACAUUAUGCAAACCAAAACGAGCAAGUCGGUGUGCAACACCAUUUGCUUCCCUAGGAGUAAAUUGAAAAAGAGAGCUAGGAAACUGUUGCUGAAGAUGCUUUACAUCUUCAACAAUGGUACCAAUGUUUGAAUAAUCCUGUCCUGCUCGCUUUAUUGCUGAAACCACCACAGCAGAGUCCCCUUCGAAGAUGGGAGAUGCAGUCCCAAGUGAGAGAGCAAGAGCCACCCCUUCACGAGCUGCAAGAAUUUCUGCAUGUUCAGCCGACAGCACUUCCCCAACUGAUUUUGCCACUGCCGCCACAAAACCUCCAUCCGCGUCUCUGGCAACAACCCCAACAGCCCCUCUACCCGAAGUAGGAUCAAAUGCUCCAUCAAAGUUAAAUUUGAGGCGGCCUGACGGUGGUGCUGCCCAACGCACUGGAUCCCGCACCCGAUCAGUUACUUUGGACGGAGUAUCAUUUGCCGUAAUAAAUUCAUGCACAUACUGUUGAGCAAAACCCACGACCUCAUGUGGAGAACGCUGGACUCCCUGCCACAACAGUGCAUUUCGAUUUCCCCAUAUAGCCCAUAACAAAGUGAUAAUAUGAUCCCGUUGCGCUUUACUUGUACCCUCCAGCAUUUCUCUCAGCCAGUCCUUCAUUGUAUGACAACGUACCUGAUGAGCAUGCCUUGUCAACAAAGAAAUAUUCCAAGUAGCCACUGCAAAAGGACACAUAGCAAGAACAUGCAGAGCACUUUCAGUGAUGUCACCACAAAACAUGCACAUGUCUUGCAUAUCAACCCCCUUCUUAAUUAAGUUUGCCUUGGUAGGAAGAAUAUCAUGGGCUACACGCCAUGCAAAAAUUUUAAGCUUUGUAGGUACAGUGGCAUUCCAAAUAUGUCUCCAUAGCAUACCAGUAUCUGAAUUGGAUGAAGAAGACUCGUCCUCAUCACCAGAAGUAACUCGCAAGGCCACUCUGUAUGCACUCUUUACCGUGAAUAGACCAUGUUUAUCAUAAUUCCAUACAAUCCGGUCUGGUGGUGCCCGAAUACUCAGGGGGAUUCGUACAAUGUCAACCACAUCCACAGGUAAAAAAAGAUUAUUGAGUUUCUGGAGAUCCCAUUGUGGAGAGCCCUCAUUACAAAUCAACUCACUCACCUUGGUAUUCUCCAUACCAUCUAGGGGGGAAGUGAUCACAGCAAAAGUGGCAGGCCUGGGCACCCAUUUAUCCCCCCAAAUUCGUACUGAUUUUCCAUCACCUAUUUGAAAUCUUGAUCCCAUUUCCAACACUUUUCGAGCCGUCCAUAUACUCUUCCAAACACAAGAUGGCCUUGACCCCAGUGUAGCUUCCCAAAAGUUGGUCUGUGGAAAAUAUUUGGCUUUGAGAAGUCUGCUCGCCAAUGAGUGGGGAUUAUGAACCAAACGCCAACCUUGCUUGGCUAGCAUUGCCAUAUUAAAAGCCUGCAAACACCUAAAGCCCAUACCACCUUCAGUCUUCGCUUUGCAUAAUCUCUCCCAGCGCAUCCAAUGAAUUUUCCUAUUUUCCCCUUGUUGACCCCACCAAAAACGUGCCAUCAUUUGUUCUAUCUCAUGACAUAACCCCUGAGGCAAAAGGAAACAGCUCAUAACAUAUAAGGGAAUAGAUUGGGCAACUACCUUCAACAAUACCUCUUUUCCUGCAAUGCUCAAAGUCUGUUCACGCCAACCUUGUAAUUUUUUCCAGACCCUUUCCUUCAGGUAUCGAAAACAAACGGUUUUAUUUCUACCUAACAUCAUUGGGAGGCCAAGGUACGUUGCAUGAGAGUCAACCCGAGGAACCCCUAAUACACUAGCCAAGCGGCUUUGGGUAUCCAUAUGAAUAUUGGCACUAAAAGCCACACAACUUUUUUGACAAUUUAUCUGUUGACCAGAAGCAUGCUCAUACACUUCAAAAAUGUGCUUUAACACCCCACAAUUAUUAUCAGUCGCCUUUGCAAACACAAAACUGUCAUCUGCAAAAAAUAAGUGGCUGACUGUAGGAGCUCCCCUACAAAUAACGAUCCCUUGCAGCUGCCCUUGGCGUUCUGCCUUUGAUAGCAACGUGGUAAAACCUUCCGCACAAAGAAGAAACAAGUAAGGCGAUAAAGGGUCACCUUGCCUUAAUCCCCGUGUUGGGUAUAAAAUCCGAGUAGGUUCACCAUUCACCAAGAAUGAGUAGGAUACAGUUGUCACACAAUCCAUAACCAUCCUUACCCACAGAAUAGGAAAACCCAUAGCCAACAUCAUUUUCUCCAAGAACUCCCAUUCCACACGAUCAUAUGCUUUACUCAUGUCCAAUUUCAGGGCCAAACUCCCCUUCCGUCCUCGUCUCCUUUGUUUCAAAAAAUGAGCGAUCUCAAAAGCCACUAUAGAAUUAUCUGUAAUCAACCGUCCAGGGACAAAAGCACUCUGACUUUCUGAAAUAACGCUCUGCAUAACAAACUUCAUACGAUUCGCUAAAGUUUUUGCUCCAAUACGAUACAGAACAUUACAUAGACUUAUGGGGCGCAACUGAGCCAUGGUUCGUGGCUCCUUAACUUUUGGUAUCAAAGUCACGAAAGUAUGGUUUAGUUGUCGUAACAUCUCAUUGGAUUGUAAAAAAGCUCUAACAGCAGCCACUACAUCAUCUCCUACAAUUCUCCAAUAUUUUUGAUAAAACAAAGGAGGGAGACCAUCUGGACCAGGUGCUUUUGAAGGUUGCAUUUGAAAAACUGCAUCUUUAAUCUCCUGAUACGAGAAAUCUGCUAUUAGUACCUGUUGCAUAUCUGCCGUCACUUUAGGCUCCAAGGCAGAAAGAAUUUCCUCCAUCAUACUUGACCCACUGGAGCGGAACAAAUCUCCAAAAUAAUCAAUUACAAUGGAUGUUAUUCCUUGUCGAGACGUACGCCAGCAACCGUUGCUAUCCUCCAACCCCUUGAUAAUAUUUCUUCUUCGUCUAUUAGUUGCCUUUUGGUGAAAAUAGCUAGUAUUUUUGUCCCCCGCCUUUAACCAAUUUUCUCUAGAUCUUUGACACCAGUAUAAUUCAUUCUUCGCCAACAGCUCAUCAAGGGAUUUUUGCACAACCCUUCGAUCCUCUUCCACCCUUUCAGAGUAAGGGGCCUGAAAUAAACUAGCCAAUUUUGCACGCAGCACUCGAGUUUCCUCCUUGAUAUGUCCAAAGGUACUUUUACUCCAUCUUUGGAGCACCCAAGUCAUCUGCUUUAUCUUUUUGUCCAAGCCCACCAUAGGAUCAAGAUUACCCACAGACUCCCACACCUGUUUUAUUGUUUUUUCACAAUCCACAUGAGUGGUCCACAUUGCUUCAAAGUGAAAACGACGAUAUCGGCUUUUUUGGCACGUUGCAUGCCUUAUUCUCACUAAAAUGGGGAGAUGGUCUGAACGGCUUGGGUCUAAAUGCUGAACGGAAAAACCCGGAAAGAGAUUUUGCCAAGAUGUUGUAGCCAACGCACGAUCCAGCCGCACUCUAACGAAACCAUCUCCAAAGCGGCACUUCCAAGUAAACUUGUACCCAUUAAAGCCCAAAUCUCGGAAACCCAAUUUAUCCACAAUGUUUCUAAAACCUUGCAUCUGUCUGUUAUUUCUUAAAGGACCACCUUCUUUUUCAUCCGUGCUAAGAAUUUCAUUAAAAUCUCCUACACAUAACCAGGGCAGUUGAUUAUGGUGCCCUAAUUGAUCCAAUAAUAUCCAUGACUUCUCCCUAUCUUGCACCGCUGGAAAGCCAUAAAAAACAGUCAAUCGCCAUCGAUCUCCACCUCCAUUAGAACCAAUUUGUACAUCUAUAAAAUGAUCAGAAAAAGCACAAACAUGGACAUCCACCUCUUCCUUCCAUAACAAUGCCAAACCUCCCGAAUAACCUCUACUACUCACACUUGUCACGCCCCUAAAACCAAGUUGUUUUGAUAGUUUCGCCAUGUGAGCACUAUUACAACGAGUUUCACAUAGAAAAACAAUCUUGGGAACUUCUUCACGAAUGAUACUUUUCAACCCAUUAACUGUCGAGGGGUUCCCAAGCCCCUGACAGUUCCAGCUUAGUAGAUUCAUGGCUUCCGGCGGGGCUGAAACGAGUCAGCCACCGCCGAUCCCACAGAGCUUGAAGAAAGAUCCGAAAAACAUCUUCUUUUUUGAGCCGGUAAAACAUCUCCAAACACCACUGCCUUGGGGUCCCUCUUCCUACCUCGACCUUCAGGUUGUGUGAUCUUACCUCUCACACGGUUCGCACUCCGUCCCCGACCCUUAGCACCAUAACUAGUCCUCCCAUGCCGUCUUUCAUUCCCUGCCUGUCUAGUGGCUUUAGACUGCAUGACUUGCCUGAUUAUAGGACUCAACCCAAAAGGAUCAGAAUCUUGUUGGGUUCCAACCAUGUCUAAGCCCACACCCUUCCUCCCAUCAUGUGUUGAAAUAAGCCCACUCCCUUCAUUGGGCCAACUUUUACUCCCAAUACCCCUAUCAUCAGCAAGUCCAAGGCCCCCAUUUAACUCCACGUCAUUGAUAAUUGGAAGCAAAUCAGUACAAUUCCAAUUAGUCCCACAAUCAUGCUGCUCAUUUAAAGCUAACGUUAGCUGCCUAUUAGAAUCCGCAAUACACUCAUGAUUGGGCUCCCAAUCAAUCCCCAAAUUAAGGCUGAGAUUUAAAUCCGGUAAUACAGGGCGACUCAAAUUUUCCAUAACGUGCAAGUUAGAAUUACUAGCCAUAAUUGGAGCAUUUAAUGGCUGUAAAACUUCCCCAGUAAGAUUCUCUUUGUCCAAUCCAACACCGCCGCCAUGACCGUCGUGAGCCACCUCUACGAACUCCUCCACCUCCUCUUCCAUAUCUAUUGGUGCCUUCAUAGACCAUCCAGGAGGGUCAGAGAUCCCAAAUCGCCUUCCCAGGGGUCUACGAUAUUCAGGUCCAAGAAUGUCUUCCUGAAACCAUCGCCCAUAGGGUUUUGCCACAUCGUCUACUUGUUCUCCCUGAAACUUGUGGCAUUGACUUUCAAUAUGAUCGAAGCAUCCACACAGGUAGCAAACGUGCGGGAGUUUUUCAUAUCGAAGGUCAACCCAUUCCACCUUACCCUCUUGCAACUGAAUCGGCAAACAACGCCUUAGUGGUUUGGUAAUAUCUAAGACAACUCGGAUUCGCAAAUAGCUUCCAAAACAUUGGCCCCGCUUGCUUUGAUCUGUGACCACAUACUCCCCGAUCUGUUGCCCGAUCAUCUUACCCAUCUCUCGAGUCAUGUAGAUUAAAGGCAGACCUUUCACUUGAACCCAGAACUCUUGUUGGCAUAACGGAAUCCUCGUCGAGUGCACCAAGUCAUCUGCUUCAGCAAGAACUAGCAGGAAAUGAUUAAAUGUCCAUGGACCUCCCCGUAAUAUUGUCGCCCUAGCCGCAUUCGUCUUAAAAGAGAACACAAAUAAAUCUGCCUCCAAGUCUGCAAUGUCCACCUCCGCCUUUGGCCGCCACAGCAUAUGCAUGGUUCGUUUAAAGGCUUCUUUAUUGAUCGAUUGUCUCGACAGAACUUUACCCACUAGUAGGAACCUUGGUGUUUUCAACGUUCCUGCUUUGUCUGGCUCCACAACCAGUGCCUGUUGCUCCUCCUCAGUGAGAGAAAAGCGAGAAGCAAAGUUUUGCAGCAUAUUCUCCAUGGUCGUGAAAAGGAGAGCCAACAGUGCUCCUCCCCUAUCCGCACACCACACUGCCUGUUGCAAUCCUCGCCAACAGCAGUCUCGUAUCAUACAGAGGUACUACAAUCACCACCGAGAAAACCAGCCGUCUUCUCGGUCCGCCGCCUCCCUGGUGUUUUUAACUCUCCUAAAGAAACCUAGAGACCCGUAAUUGUCAUAUUAUUCUUACAUGAAAUGCAUAUAUUUAUUUUAUGUAUUUAAUGAUUAUAUUAUCAAUGGUAUCGAGAUAUUAGACACCUCUUACUUAUAAAAAAAAUUAUAAAAUAUGAUGUGAUUGUCGUCACACUCUUAUGUCGUGUUACAAACUAAUUCACGUGUUAUAAAAUUUAAGCUACGGUUUUGGCAAGACCAACUUUUGUUUCCAUUUGCAAAAGUCUUUGUGAAGGUAUCAUAUCAUUUCGACCUUAUAGAAUUGCAAGUUGAAUUCAGAACCAGUUCUCCACCUUAAUUCUUAAGCCAUGGAAUUUUUUUCAAUUACAUAAAGCAAUAAUAUUAAUAUCCGUUGAGAGUCGUGACCCACUAACUCCAUCUUCAGCCAAAUAACCUUUCCUUUGCUUCUGAACACGUGUCAUUGACCCUCCUCCAGCCAAAGAAGGAAAACAGUACAGAUGUUAUAAAGAUUAUAUCCUAAAUUUGCUAAAGAGUCUGCAAUCAUAUUUGUUUCCUACAAAUUAUGGGCAAAUUAUAACGACUUGAAAAUCUUAAAGGAGGAAAUUAAAUUAAUUACCAAUUUGGAUUGCUGUCACUUUUUUAAAAGCUGCUUCUGUUAUAUUUUGAAAAUAAUCAACUAUAAACUAAAGUAGUUUCAGGUUUGGUAUAAAAAUUAGUGUAAAACAGUUUGGUAAUGUCAUUUAAAAUAAUUUAUGAUGGUAUUACAUGAAUUGAAAAAAUAUUUACCCUUCAUUUGGAUAGAGGAAAAUAACUCGGGAUUUAGCUAAAAGUCAGGAAUUGAAAAGAAGAAAUUGAUAUUUUCAUUGUUUGGCAACUUAAACAUGAAACUUAUUAAAUGACGCACGGAAAAAAUCGUGGAAAUUGGGGAUUGAGAUUCUUGAAUUUAAUUUCCAUCAAAAGAGUCGUCAUUUCACAAUUCCAAUUGAUCAGGAAUUUGUUUUCACUAUAAUUUUUUUUAUUUACAAAAUUCAACAUAUAUAAAUCCUCGAGAUCUCCUUCAAUUAUAUAAUUGAAAUGCUAAUUUUCAAUUUAGGAUUGCUGUUACUUUUUAAAAAAGCUACUUCUACUAUGUUUUGAAAAUAAUCAGUUAUAAAGUAAAAUAGUUCCACGUUUAAUAUAAAAAUUAAUGUCAAACAAUUUGAUAAAUUUUAGUAUAAAACUAUUGUAAUUGUAGAUAACGAUUAAAAUGAUCAUAAUAUUGAAAGUGGCGGUGGUAGAGAUUGAGGUAAUAGUGGUGGUGACGAUGUUAUUGAAAUUUUUUGUUAUUAAAAAUAAAUAAUUAAACUUUAUAUACGCAAGAAUAAUAGAAUUAGAUUAACAUACUAUUCCACUUUUGAAAACCACUUCCUGUUACUUCUUACGUCUGUAAUUGUGGAUUAAAGGAUUUGCUAGAAAUUUUAUCGAGUCUAGUGUUAAAGUGCUUUAUUUUUUUCUUCUUUUUGGUGAAAAGAGGAUAGACUUUGCCAAUAAAAAAAACCAAAAAGCAACACACUUUACGGGCAAAAAACAAACAUGGAUGCUAAGCGAUUAGAGGAGAGGAUUUGCUCAAAGCAAAAGGCAAGUCUGGUGGGCCAUAUAGAUUAUUUUUUUUUUUCGAAGCUUACUUGGGUUACAGCCAUAGCCCUCCCUGUAGUUUCCUCAGUGCUCCCCUCUCUCCUUCUCUCUUUCCCCAUUUUCAGUGACAUAAGAUUUUUAUUUAUUGUCUUCGUUUUGUUAUGAUUUUUCUCCACCCAUAAUAAGUGGCUGCGUCUCGACGUUGAAUCUCCACCUGUAAUAAUAUGUGAAAAUUUUAUUUUAAAAGUAAAUAUAUUACGUUGGUCCCAAAAUUCAAACAAGUGGUAAAAAAAAAAAAAACUAUUUCAGAAGAGAGGAUAAAAAGUAGACCAAUUAGAACAAAUCCAAUCAAUAAGAUCAUAAUUAGUUUGAGGUCCCUUAAGUCUUAAAGAAGAAAGUUGAUUCCAAAGGUAAAAAUGAUAUAAUUAAUGCAUGAUUUGAUCAUGAUGUGCGUAAAAUGAUAAAUUAUGUAAAAUAAUUCGUACCAUGAUCUUUAUAUAUAUAAAAAAGAGGCUGCUAAGACUUUGAAGUGGCCAGAGGCUCUAGUGCGAACCACUAAAUGAGAAUCUUAAAUGAGGAUUAGUCUGAGUCGUCCAAAUUGAUCUGAACGGAUGAACAUGUAAAAUUAAGCUUUCAGUAGAGGCGCUGCCAAUGGCAUCUUCCUGGCAAAGAAGAAGACUCAGGUGCGAUUCGUUUCAUCACGUCUGGUUUCAUAUAAAACUACGUGGUUUUGUUUAUAAAGUCUUUUAUUUUAACAAAAUUCUGUGUUUUGAUUGUUUUAGUAUGAAAAAGAGUUGAAUACAUUUUUGAUUGGGUUUUACAUGAAAAUUUAAUUUGGUCACUGAGAAUUUUUUUAAGCCAAAUAGGUUACUGUGUUUCCUAAAGUUUAUAAUUUAAAGACAUUCCAUAUCUUCUGUUAAGUGCAGUUCUUCCUCUAAGGCCUAGUUUAGGAUUUCUGCCGCUUUAAAAAAAAGCUGCUCUUGCUGUGCUUCAAAAAGAAUUAAAGGUAAAGUAAAGCAAUUAAACGUUUGGUAAACUGUAAUUUUAAAAGUGUUGUGAGUAUGAAAAGUUUGGUAAAAUUUUACUGUAAAAGUGUUGUAACUAUUUAUAAUGACUAAAAUGAACAUGAUGCUGAAAGUGCUUUUUACUAAUCUGUUUGGUAAAAAAUAAAACUGUAAAGUGCUUUUAUACUUUUCUCCCUAAAAAUUAUAUUAAUCUUUAUUUAAAGAAAAGUAAAAAUUCAAAUUCAAAUUCAGAGAGAACAACAUUAAAAACUAUUACACAUGUUUCAUUUAAUUAUAAUAAACAAACAACAUUAAAAAAUAUUAAUAACAUACCUCAAUUUUGUCAUGCCACAAUUCAUCAAAAGCAUCAAUAGUCCCAAGUUUGGAAUUCCACCAAAGACCAGUUUCCUUUCCAAUUCUUUCUAUAUUUUCCACUAUUCUUUAAGUGCAUCCCACUUAUUUAUCAAUUGUGAUUUAUCGUACUCGGCUCUUGUAUCUUUACUCAAGCUAAUCCUCACAUUUUCCCAUCUUUCUUUCUUAAAGUGAGUACAAGGAUGAUUUCCUGCCUCCACCUCCUUGAUACACAUGUUACAAAAUAUAGUUGUAUUGUGAUUAUUACAUAUAGCCGGAACUCAUGAUCCACUAGCCACAUUAUUAUUUUUCACCAUCUAUGCAUGUCCUUAUAUAAAUAUGUAUGUAUUGGGAGAUGAACAUGUUAUAGCAAACAAUGUUUUUACUAAAAACAUACAUAAUGCCUAAGUAAUUACCUAUAGGAAAACUGGGGCAAUAAGCCCCUUAAGCCGUAAUUUAAACUUGAAGACAAUUCGACUCCUACCAAAUUUUCGGUAAAGUCUUCUCUGUAAUUAAAACAUUUUUCAAAUUACAGUACCCUUAAACGAGCAUAGAAAUAAUCCUAACAGGUAAGGGCACACAUAACAGUUAAGACUAUUGAAAUGGGCAUCCUGCCCUCUACCUGAACUUAAAGACGAGCAACUAAGAGCAACUAAAAAAUUUAAAUUUACAACCUGGGAAUAAAGACAAUGGGUUAUGAAGGAAGUCCUACGGUGUGGACAACGGGGAUGCCUCGACGUAGUGGUCUCAACCUCAGAUAUCUAGAACUUUGGGGGCACAAAACAGAAAAUGUGAGUAGACGAAAAUAAAGCUUGAACAUAAAUUAUACUCAACAUAAUAACCCCCUCUGUUUUAGAAAAUAAUGCCAAAACACCAUGCAAUAGAUUUCUUCAGCAAAAGUACAUAAUGUCAUCCGAUAUUAGAAAAUAUUUCAAUUCAGUAAAAUUAAUAUCAUAACGUACAAUAAGGAAAACCAUAUAAUCAAUACUUCUCAAAUUAUUGGAAAACAAUGUAAACUUAUUAAUUUAAUCCUAUAGGGACUUUUUCGUUCAAGCAGCUGCAAAUGGGCCUGGGCUGCUAUAAAGAGCAAAUGGAUAUAGUUGCCCCUGUGCCAAGUUUAAGAAUCAGGCCCCAAGAGUGCUUUGAAAAGUUUGUGGAGCCUUAGGAAGCACUUUGGUUCUUUCACCAACAAGACAAACAACUGUUUACAAAUCAAUAUUAUGGCUUGGCCUGAGGAGCUUGUGGCAUUCAAGCUAAGCCUCUAUGAGUUUAGCAUUAGAGAGAGAAAGCUUGGAUUUCUUUUGGGAAGCAGAGUUUUAGAGCAAGUGGAUAGGAAAAUUUGGGAAGAUUUGAUGAGAGAAGAGAGGGAGAGAUGAGGGUGAAAGAAUGAGUGGCUUGAUUAGGUUUUCCAACAGCUUGAUGAUUGCUUGGUCGUGCUUUAGAUGGUUGUCUCGCUGGGUAGGAGGUGCCUCCUUCUAUAGGCGCUGAAAGCCCUUUUUGGUUCAAGAACCCUAGCUAACUUUCCCCCAAAUUUUGUCAAGUCCUUUCCUCUAUUUCCCUUCACUUCCUUCGAUUCAAUCCCUUUGGGUGAGAAUUCCUUAAUCUAAGCACAUUGAGAUAGAACAUUUUCGGACUCCAAGGUUUUCCUGCAGCUGAUUUCUUCCAUCUUGGGUGAGGUGCCUCUUGCAUUUCCUCUUGGUUUUCCUACUAGAACUUGCAGAGGAAAGAACGAGUAAGGGUGUUGGUCUAAAAUGUGUCUUACUUCCAGCAACCCGUGCACAUGGGUUUUGCUUGGUUUUAACGAUGGCUUGGGUUUGAUUUGGUUUUAAUAGGGUGCUGGGAUAUUUUCUAAGAUGCUAGGUGUAAGGUUUUUUUCGUUAUGGCAGCUACUGAUAAGUCUGGGCUGUUGUAAAGAGCCAAAUGUGUGAAAUUGCCCCUUGAGUCUGAGUUCAAGGAUCAGACCCUAAGAGUGUUUCGAAAGGGUAGCUGAGCAUUAGGAAACACCUUGGUCCCUUUCACCAAUGAAACCAACAGUUGCUUACAGAUAAAUUCUUGGCUUGGCAUGAGAAGCUUGUGGCAUGAGAGCUGACCAUUCAUGAGUUUAGCAUGAGAGAGAGAAAGAGCUACGAUUUCCUAUGAGAAACAGCAUUUUUAAGGCAAGGGGGAAGAGAUUAUAAAGGGGUUCGUUGAAGAGAGAGUGAUGGGGGAAAUAACAAUAGGUGUGUUAAGUAGUUUUCGGCAGCUUGACGAAAGCUCUGUCAAGCUCUGGAACGAUUUACCAUAGGAGAAAAUGGGAGAAGAUAGAGAAAUGAGGCUCGAAAUUGCAGAGGUUUAAGGGAUGAGAGAUGAAGCUUACUCUCUGGAUAUGGGUUGCUUGCCUUUUUUUUAAGUUUAUCGGAAAGAGAGAAAGAAGAUAGAAGCAUGCGUGGCUUUAACAGAUUUCCAGCAGCUUGACGAAAGCCUCGUCAGGCUCCUAGGUUGCUUGACAGAAGAGAAAAUGGGAAGAGAUAGAGGAAUAGGGCUAGAAAUUGAAGUGUUCCAGGGAUGAGAGGUGAUGCUUGCUCUCUCUAGAUGUGGGUUCUAGAGGGGAUGCUUGCCUUCGAUGAGUUGAAGAUGACUUGGGUAGAAAGUGCCUCCCUUUAUAGACGAUGGAACACUCAAUUUUAUCAAACAACCCUCUCCCAUUUUCCUUUACUUUCUUCCAUUCCAUCUUAUUUGGUGAAACUUUCCCAGCUUGAGCAUGUAAGCAUGAAGCUUUUUGGAGUUCCAAGCCCUUCACGCAGCUGGACUUCUCCAUGUGGGUGAGGCACCACUCACUUUUCCUUCUUGUUUUCUCACCAAAGCUUGCAGAGGAAAGAAUGGGUAAAAGUGCUAGUCAAAAGGUGAUUUACUUCCAUCAGCACAUGGGUUUGCUUAGUUUUGGUGGUUUAGCUUCAAUCUGGUUUUAACAAAGAUGCUGGAUAUUUCCACGACGUUGGAUAUUUUAUAAGGUGCUGGGCUAUUUUGUUUCCAGCGGCUUGUGAUUCCUUUUGAUUUUGUCAAGCUGCUGGAAGCUUUGGCUGAUGUGGGAUUUUUUCAUGUGUUAUAGGCCUUUUCUUAAGGUGAUGGGCUAUUAGGUUUUCUCUCUCAUGCUUAACCAUAUGUUUAGGCUCAAGGAAUGGGCUUGAAUUUUGAUGCUCCCAAGUAGCCCAAAACUUCCACUCCUUGGACCAUCAAUGGGCCUCGUGAAUACUCUUAACUAUUCAUGCCACAACCCGUUCAGUAAGCCCCAAGCAUUAGCGUGGCUUGGACCCACUUAAGCUUGUAGCGUGGUGUGUUGCUUAUUUGCUUGGCGUGGCAUGUGUGCAAGAGCAUAUGACAAACUCUUGCGUACCCAAGUUGGGUUUCUUCCCAAGUUAGGUGUCAUACUGAGCUAGAAAUAUAUUUGGGCCCAGCCUUUGAUUUUUUGGGCCUCAACACUGGGCCAUUUCUCUAAGGUGUUGGGCCAUUUCUUUAAGGUGCUGGGCUGUUUUUUCUCUCUUAUGCUUACCCAUAUAUUUGGGCUCAAGAAAUAGGCAUGAAUUUGGUGCUCCCAUGCAACCCAAAAUUUCCACUUCUUGGACCAUCAAUGGGCCUUAUGAACACUUGUAACCAUCCAUACCACAAUUUGCUUAGCAAGCCCUAGGCAUUUGCGUGGCUUGGACUCACUUAAGCUUGUAGCAUGGCUCGAUAUUAAAAUAAAGGUUAUCUUCGCUCGACGUUGUGUGUCAUUUGGCGUGUUUGUGCUCAGGCUCUGCCUCAUUGUAACGGGAUAUGGCUGGGCCCAGUAGUGCUUGACAGGACAAUGAGCGUGGAUUCUUGGCGUGGCAUACAGAUCAUAACUUAUGUACACAUAUACGACAAAUUCCUGUGUACCCCUAUCGGGCUUCUUUCUCGAUUAAGUGUUAUACCGUGCUAGAAACAUAUUUAUGCCCAACCUUAGAUUUUACGGGCCUCAACAAAUCCUUAUUGUAAAAUUGUAUAUUCAAAUAUUCAUAUAUGUGCAAAGUACUCUCAAUACACAUGCUCAAGAAACCUCAACAUGGAAAUAAAUCCACACAUAUAUCCACACACACACACACAAACUUCACCAUCCUUAUUUACCGGGGAAAAACAAUUCAAUACAGGGACUAUUUUUAACUAGACCACAUGGCAGAAUCCUCAAUACAUAUAUGGUUAGGUACAAGCGGUCUAACCGAGACUAUUGCUCCCCAGACAAGCACUACAUAAUCCUCAAUACACGUGCAGUUGAAAUAAGUCUUAUGCUGGCAGACUGCUCGUUAAGGGCCUACGGCGCAUCCCACCAAGGAUGCCCGGGUUUCAGAGGGUAAAGUGAGACUCAAAUUAAGUUUCAGGGGACAUAUCAAUAAUUAAGCAUUUCUUUUUCAAUAGACAUUCACAUCUGAUCUUGGCUCAUAGACAUUUCAUCCCUCUUUUUGAUUAUUUAUUGUCUUGAUGGAUCCUCCACUCUCUUUAGACUAGGGCUGUCUUUCGGCCGGAUCGGAUCGGAAACAGCAAUUCCAAUUCCAAUCCAAUAUCUUUCGGAAUUCAAUAUAGAGUUCCGAUUCCGAUUCCGAAAAAAUUUGGAAAUUUUCGGAAGAUUCCGAUUCCAAAUAGGUUGUACUUUUAAGUCCCUACACAAAAUGACUGAGUUUGAAGAUAUUUAUAAAUGACUAAACACCUGAAGUUUAUUCUUGCAGUCGAUAUGGGACUCCAAGAAGAAAUGAGAGUGCAACUUCUCUCUCCACUCUUUUCUUGAUUUCUACUUGGUUACUCAUCCAUCACUUCUCCUCUCUCUUCCGUUUCUUCCUUUCUAAUCCAUGAAUGCCAACCUUCAUUUUCUUUCUUACUUAAAACUCUUCAGAUAUGGAACAAUAUGUACGGAUCCCGUUAGGAAAAAAACAAAAACACUUCUCCAACCAAAAAAGAAAUCAUUCUUCAAUUCUUUAUCUCUACUGUUUCUUCUCUUGCAUUUUUAUUUUUCUGGGUUUGCACUAAAUCAUUUAUCCAAUGUAUAUGUUCUCCAUUGAAUCCUCAUUGGAGCUCUUCCCUUGUUGCAAUACCCCAUACCAUCCAGAUUUUUUCUUUAUCAUUUAUUUUUCUGUUUCUGCACAAAUUCAUUACUUUUUUGGUAUUGAGAUGGAAUGAAAACCUUUAAUUAAGAAAGAAAGAAAAUCAAAGAAUGAGUUUUAAAAAUUUAGAAAUGUUUCAUUCUUUUUGUCGUCACUUCAAUUCAAUGUAGGAUUGGAAAAAAAACGCAGAUGGUUUUUUUUUAAAGUUAUAAUUGCCUUGGACCUCCUCUUUCUGAUUAUCCUUGGAACCUAUUAUAAUUGCCCAAGGCAUAGCUUAUUUUGAAAAUUAUAGCAUGUUUGAAUUCACCUUAUAUAUAUAUAACAAUCUAUUAUUAUAUAUACAACAAUCUAUAUAGUAUAUUGAUUAUUAAUCAAAGUAAUUUGUCCUACAUAUUAUAUAUUUAUAUUUUGUUCAUGUGAAUCAAAUUUUUUUGAUUCCAUGCUAAAGAUGGAUUCACAUUCAUCAAUUGAUGCUCAAGACUCAAGUUAUAGCCGAGUGACUAUCACAUUGGUUUUAGAUUCUAGUGGGUCAUGAACAUGUAUAAAGAGUGUUAGACGUUAAUCAUGCUCUAGACAAUUGUAAUACUACAAUUUUCAGGUUGGAAUACUACAAUUGUUAAAGCUCCAAUUAAUAUACGCACAUUAUAUGUGGUGUUUCAUGUAUAAAAUGAUUUUAUAAUUAAAAGUUUAAUUGAAGAUAGUUUAUAAUUUUAAAAAUACAUACAUAAAUAUAAAAUGAAAUAGUAUAAUACUUCCUACAUUUACCAUAUAUGUACAUAGUACAUAUGGAUAUAACAAGCACACAUAUGCACCUUUUUGUUAUAUUAAAUCAAGCAUAUUUGCCAAAUAUAUAUAUAGUCUUAAAGUUACAUACUACUAUGUUUAGUUUUUUUUUUUUUUUUUUGUCAAGCCUAUAUUUAGUAUGUACAAAUAUUUGUAUGUGGGUACUAAAACUUAACAAAUAAGAAAUGAAAAAUAUAUAAGACCUAUAAACUAAAAAUAAUGCAAUUAUACUUAGAAACUCGGAAUUUUUCGGAAAAAAAUUGGAAAAAUCGGAUCGGAAUGGAUUCGGAGAACUUCGGAAUUUUUCGGAUCGGAAUUUCGGAAUGUUCGGCAUUUAUCGGAAUUUUCGGAUUUCGGCAUUUUCGGAUAUCGGAUUUAUCGGAGUCGGAUUUUUUUGGAAAAAAUCGGACCGGAAUCGGUCGGAAUCGGAUUUUCCAAUCCAACUUACACCCCUACUUUAGACAAUAGGAUAAUAAUUUUGUUUCAAGUUGUUGGCGGAGCAAUACGAAAAUAUAAACUUCAGGUUUAAUUAUUGAUGUGCCCCUUGUGCUUUACCGAAAAUCCCACUUUACCCCCUACAUUUCAAACUAGGUCACUAUACCCUAUGUGCUUUAUUUCGUCAAUUGGUUAGUAAAACCGUUAACUUGCUGACGUGACAUAAAUAUUUUAGUAAUUUUAGCUAUUAAAAAAAUUUCAAAAUCUAAUUUAAAUAUAAAAAAUAAUUUUUUAAUUUUUUAAUAAUAUUUAAUAAGAUUAGAAAGAUUAAAUUUUUUAAAAAAAAACUCCAGCACCCGAAUAGCCCCACCACCACACCUCCCACCAUAACCCAAUCCAACCCACCUAGCCACCCAUGGUCAUCAUUCCACCAUGGUUCAAAUAUGAUCUCCUUACCUAAGUGAUAUACCCACCCCAAAACAUUGAUAACACUCCCUCCAAUCCACCUAGCCAUCUUCACCCCUUAGCCAUACUCACCCUUAGCCGCCACCCCAAAUUCACACCCAACCUCAAUAAUCCAAUGUGCCCCCAAGCCGUAGCCAUCCCAAUAGAGUACCCAAACACCAAAACCCCAAGCUGCAACUUCUCUUUCCUUUUCCAACUGGGUUUGUGUUUACCCUUUUUAUUUUUGAGCAUGUGGAAACCUUUAAGUAAAAAAUUUCAUUGACCUUUUGACCAUUAAUGGUCUCGAGAAUCAACUUUCUUUUAUGUGAGCGUGCCACUGUCAGCAGCUUAUAGUUGUAACAGAUUUGAAUGACUUUAUAUACUUGCGCCCUAAGUAAUAGACUUUAAACAAAUGAUUAUGAUUUUGGGUGGGGAAACCUCCCGAGAGAGUUCUUUACUACGCCUCAGACUGGUGAGGACGUCACAAUUUAUCUACAUAAAAAUGGUAAGUAAAGCAAAAUACACAAAUUCAUGAAAGACAUAACAAACUAAUUCAGGCAGAACUGCCCAAAAUACAAAGCAUAAAAUGAAUUGUUAAGUCUGGAUAAGCCUAAGAAUUUUUAGACUUUGACUUCUGCUUAAAAAUAUAGUCACAACGGUGGUUUAAGAUUAGACUAGAUUGGGUCUCUUCUGAUUGGACUGGAUGUUUCUGCACUGGAAUUGCACAUCAGCAUCUUCAACUAAUAGAGAUUAGCUGGAAAUCGAUACUAAUAUUGAGAUUGGCAGAGUUAUAAACAAGUUGAACAUAUAGAGGUUGACAAGGUGAGCAGAACUGCAAGCUGGUACUUGUUCUUGCUGAUUUUGAAUGAUCUGGUAGCCUUCUAGACAAUUUUAAAGCGUCAAUGUGUCUUUCUUAAUUUUGUUCAGGUUCUCAUAUGAUGAAAUACCUGACUUCUAUAUAUUUUAUCUAAUUUUCUGAUCAAAAUUUAUAAGCGAAAUUAAUCUAUUUUGAAUUAUGUCUGAUUUACCUUAUCUAGAUUGCGAGGGAAAUCUUGUUUUCUUCUUGGUUUUAUGAACUUCUUCUUGAUCUGGAUUGCUUAUGAAGGAAGAUUGCUUGCUUGCUUUUGUUGGUUGCAAGAUCGUGUGAUCUUUGAUUUCUUUUGAUCAAUCUGGAUUGACUGUUGGGUUUUUGCUUGAUUGGUUGGUUGGGUGUCCGUUUCUCCAAUCCAGAUACUCUUGUAUUUAUAGGAGAAAAUGUGAUGAUGAAUAAUGCUGGAUAUUUCCGAUUUUGGACUAAUCCCUCAGCAAUGCACAAGUGGCAAAAGUUUUGUCAAAUAACGCAUUGAUCAUUUUUGGCAUCUACUCAUAUAUGUUCCUAAAUGCCUCCUUAUCAUUUCUUUUGCAACAACCAAACUGAAGUGAGCAAUAAUGCCCAGAUUCUUCCAAUGUUAGUACCAUAAAUAUCUAAAUAUCCUUGUGGUAAAAAAAAAUCCUCCCAUCUUGUAAUAAAUAGCCGUGAUUUCCAACAAAAGUAAGUCUGAAUUCACUUUACAGCUUUCAUAGUCAUCAAUUUUAUUUGGAGUCUAGUUAUCAAUGGUGAGGAGUCUUUCUGACAUAUCUUAACAACUAAGAAUUUGUGAACUUUGUGCUAAAACUAACUCAAAUAAUUUGAUCCUUGGAUUAAAUCACCAUUGGUGGUAACUUAAUUCUCGAUUAUCAAAAUAUUGUGAAUUAAUUUAAAUUAAUCCCCCUUUUGUUUGAAUAGUAUGAGUCAUUCGCCAUUUUUUGGUAAAAUAAAGCCCAAUAUCAAUUUGAAAAGUGAACCCAAUACUUGUUUCAGGUUGGCGUGUAUAUUUCAGGCCCAAACAAUUUGUUUUCAUGCCUGUCCUUUUCCCAUAUUCUUUGUGCAGUCAUGAAGAACUUUAUUUUAUUUUUCAAAAUUUUUUUACCACAGCAGAGGAGAAACCGGGGUGCGCGUGAUGGGGGAGGGAGGGGAGGAUGGCCAUGCGUUAGGGGUGAUAGUUGGUGAUGGGAUGGGGAAAGGUUGGAUUAUUGUGGGAGGUGUGGUAGCUAUUCGGGUGCUCGUUUUUUAGAUUUUUAUUUAUCUUUCUAAUCUUAUUUAUGAUUAAAGUAUUUUAAAAUUAUUUUUAAAAUUUAAUUUAGAUUUUGAAAUUUUUUAAUAGCUAAAAUUACUAAAGUAUCUAUACCAUGUCAGCAAAUUAACAGUUUUACUAACCAAAUUGAUGGAAUGAGAGAACGGGGGACACGCCAAUAAAGCACAAAGGGCAUAUUGACCCAGUUUGAAAUGUAAGGAAUAAAGUGGGAUUUUUAGUAAAGCACAAGGGGCACAUCGAUAAUUAAGCAUAAAAUUUAAUAAUAACAAUAGUUAUCUUUUUGUUUUGGUGAGAUAUGAGGAAUCCUCAGAAAACAACAACUAAACACCGCACAUGAGUCGAGGCCUAGUAAGACAAAGUAAGUCAUCCAUCAACAGAGAGCUAACCCAGACAGGAGCCUUAUCAAAAAAGCAAAUUCCAGGUCCAUAUUAUAACUCUAGUUUGCCAAAUAAUCAGCAACACAAUUCUUUUCCCUUUAAAUGUGGAUAAGGUGAUAAUUUCCAAUUUGUCUCAUAAGAUCACAACAACUAUGCACCAAAGCAGCAAGAGGAUGACAUUGCAAUGAAUUGAUUUGUUGAACAAAUGAGAUAGCAACAACAACAUCCAUUUCAAUAGCAAGGUUAGUGAUACCUUUCUCAACAGCAAGCUUUAGACCAAAAUAUAGGCCCCGAACCUCAGCCUCCAAGAUAUGACCUUGGCCCAAAUUCACAACAAAAUCGGCAAUCCAGCCACUUGAGGAGACUUGAAUAACACCUCCUGCACCAAUAAUAUUAGUGGCAGCCUUUCUAGAACCAUCCACAUUCAGCUUAAGUUGGCCAAUUGUACGAGGUUUCCAAGCCAAAAAAACAUGUACUCUAUCAGGUUUCUUGCCAAAGCCAUUAGCGGCUUUAACCCAUUCAACAACCGCAGUAAAGAUGGUUUUCCUAGGAUUAAAAGGCAAAUCCACUUCAACGUUAAAAAUCGGCUUGUUACGCCAAUUCCAGAUAUACCAACAAGUAAUGGCAAAAAUAAUAUUCCAACCAAUACCAUUAGGGCUUUUAACCUUAGAGAGCAGAUUGCCUAAGAACUAAGGUUUUAGCUCAAAUAGGAAGAAGUGAGGAGAAGAAUAUAAAUUUAAAACAAAAUUCCAUACCAUCAUAGCCCUGGGAUAGUCCCUAAGAAUAUGAAUAACGGAUUCAGUUUGCCAACCACAAAGAAGACAAGAAGGAUCAAAAGUUAGAUUCCUCUUGGUUCUUUGCUCAUUGAACAAGAUUUUAGCUUGAUAAGCCAGCCAAAUGAAGAUAUGAAUUUCGGGAGGGAUUUUCAUUCUCCAUAAGUCCUUCCAAAAGGGAUCAACAUCUCCCAAUUCUCUAAAAAAAAAAUAGAGUAUGCAGAUUUAACAGAGAAUAAGCCAUUUGAAGACAAACCCCAAAUUUGAGCAUCAUGUACAGAGUUCCCAAACCCAAUAGGAACAACAGUGAUUUUUUGAACCAAAUCUUCAGUAAGAGCAUUCCUCAGCUAGUCUACAUUCCACCAACCAUUCCUAAAAAACCUGUCAAAACUGCAAUUCAAUUCUUGGAUAUUCAACACUCCAUUAUGUUGCAUUAGAGGUGUAUCAAAUAGUCAUUUAUCUGUCCAAAAUUUAGCCAAAUCACCCUUUCCAACCCUCUAGGUCAUUCCCUUUGCAAGCAAUUCAACUCCAAAAAGAAGACUAUUCCAAGUUAAGGAGUACAAAUGUCUUGUUUUCAAAUUAUGAUCAAUAAUAGAGUAACCCUUGAGGUUUUUCUUUUCAAAAAUCUGAGCCCAUAAGCCAUUAUCUUUGUUGUGCAUCCUCCAACCGAUUUUAGCCAACAAAGCCUGAUUCAUGUCCUAGCCUUCUUGAAACCCAAACCACCUUUGUUUUUAGGUCUACACAGUAGAUUCCAUUGGAAGAGGUGGACUUUCUUCUUCCUAUCACUUCCUUCCUAGAAGAAUUUUCUAUUUAACCUAUCCAAUCUUCACAAAUACUAACAUGUAAUUUUGUGGUCUGCAUAGAAUAUAUGGGAAUAGCAUAUGUGAUAACAUAGAUUAGGGUGGCCCCUCCCAGCUGAAGAAAUCAACUUACUUUUCCAAUUGGCAAGCCUGCAAUGAACCUUACUAAGCAAACUGCUUUAAGUGGAUCGAGUUACCCUAGAGUGCAAGAUAGGCAUCCCCAAGAAUUUUCCUAAGUUGUCUGUUGAAGGGGAGCCACAAAUGAAACUGAUCUCUUGAGCUAACGCCCUGCUGGUAUUAGGAGAACAAAAUACAGAAGACUUGUCAAAGUUGACAGUUUGACCAGAGGCUUGACAAAAUAAAUCCAAGCAUCAUUUCAUCACCCUAGCUUGUUGCGUACUAGCUUCAGUGAAAAGGAUUAAGUCAUCAGCAAAAAACAAAUGCGAUACAACAGGACCAGUUUGGGAGGACCUAACAUGUUUCCAUUUCCCCUAUUGAUAGCAUCAAAGAUGAUAUGAGAUAGCUUUUCAAUGCAAACAACAUAGAGGUAGGGAGAUAGGGGAUUUCCUUGUCUAAUACCAUUCUUUGGAAUAAAGGUAGAGAGAGCUCGUCAUUAACACAAACUUGAUAUCUGACAGAAGAAACACAACUCAUAACCAGCUGAAUGAAGUUACUGGGCAUGCCAAUUUCACCAAGGACCUUUACAAUAAACUUCAAAUUUAAUCUAUCAUAGGCUUUAGAUAGAUCAAUUUUUCAGGCAAUGAAGCCCUUCUUACCCUUAGAACAUUUGAACUUAUGCAUCAAUUCCUGAGCAAUAAGGAUGUUAUCUGUGAUUUGUCUUCUAGAGAUGAAACUAACCUGAUUAGGAUUCAUGAUUUUAGGCAAAAUAGGCCUUAAUCGAGUAACUAGUAAUUUAGAAAUUACCUUAUAAAGAGUGCAACAAAGACUGAUGGGUCUGAACUUGCACCAUGAAGUUGGGGGGGGAGGGGUGGGUGGGUUCUCAACCUUGGGGAUCAGAGUGAUUAGGGUACUCAUGAGUUGCUCACGGACAUAAAAUUCAUGAAAAGCCUUACGAACCAUGGCGAAGAUGUCAUCAGCACAAUUAUAGUUAUAACACUCAAAUAUGAGAAUAAACGUACAUGAAUCAAGGGGAAUUGUGUCAGAUUACAAAAGGGGAGAAAAUGGGGAACAAAAUGGAAAAAGAAAAAGAAAAAGAAAAAGAAACAUAGGUUAAUAAAUACUUCCAAUAUUAUUUGAUGACAAUCAGACAAAAAAGGCGAGUGGGCUGGGUGGUGCAUGAUGAGUUUUGUUUGCUAGUAUGAACUGAUGGAAUGGGGAAUUUAUGGUGCCAGUCAGCAUUAAUGACAGAGGUCCUAGCUAUUCGGGAGGCGUUGAUGGUAAGCUCAAAUGAGGGCUGGAGGGAUCUUGAAGUGAAAUCUGAUUCAAAAACAUUUCAUUGCCAUUUGGUAGCUGCUUUUGUUUCUAGAGUAGGUAAGGAGCAUUCUUGGGACUGCAUUGGUACAUAAUGGCUCUUAGAUUGUCUAGCUAGUGAUGUAAACAUUAGCAUUAAUUCGUAUUUUAAUAAAAUCUCCCAACUUUUUGACCAAAAAAAAAAAAAGACAAAAAAUUCUAACUUAAGUAGGAUAAAUUUGUCCUUAGAAGUCAUUUUAUAAAAGGAUAAAUUUGUCUUUAAAAUUCUGAAGAUGUGAGAAAAUAGGAUAAGAGGGUGAAAAUAGCAACAUUCAUAAAUAAUUAAGCCAAGCCAGUGGGGUUCAACUGCGGUCGUUUGGCAGCAAUUUUCCCCCCUUUCCCCCAUAUUGGCACCCAGGUUCGAUGCUUGAUAUUGGCAAAAAUUUGUAGAGAACCAAUUUAACUGAUAUCCCCCCUCCCCCUUCCAACGAUUGGCCAAAAUAAUAAUAAAUAAUUAAGCCAAAAAGAAAAUAGGUAUUACUUCUUAAAAUGGGUCAAGGAUUCAAAUGGAUUCGACUUCUAAAUCGUCUUUUAGGAUGCCGUUAAGGGCCGGUUUGGUAUUGUUGUGCUGUGAAAAUAACCACUCUCAGAUUUGCUGUGACAGAUAUCAGCUAUUACAUAAAGUAGUUGGGCGUUUGGUAAUAUUUUUGUUAAAAAUGAUUUUGGUACUAUAAUCAGUUUCUCAGUGUUUGGCAAAUGUUUAUGUAAAAGUGCUGUGAGUUGUGUACAAUGACUAAAAAUGACACUAUGUUGAAAUGACUUUUCUAUUCAAGUGUUUGGUAAAAAGAAAAUAAUUUUACUUUCACUUAUGUAAUUCUUGUGUUAAAUAUGUUUUUUCAAUCAUGACACCCUAAAAAUUAUUUUAAUCAUAAAAUAAAUAAUAUGUGGAAAACUAUUUUCACUGCACUAAAAUUCCACACUAUUUUAACUUUAAUAAUGUAAGAAAAUUUCCAUAAUUUUAAAUUUUUAAUAGAACAAUAUUUUUUGGUCUGAAAACCAAUAUUGGACUUUGGGACUUUAUGCAAUCAAUCUAGCAUUGCCAAGCUAUUGGACGGCCAAAAGAAAUGAAAGAGUCACAACAUGUGGAAUAGAAAAUAGAAAAGAGGGCAUUUAAAAGAAAUAAGGCUUUGUUGGGUAGUUUACAAAAAUUCAUUAAUGUCCUGAUUGUUCCAACCUGAUUAUCGAGAAAGUGAAAACCAAAAUCACCUCAACUUAUGCUUUUUCAAACUGUUAUCGUUGACAUAGAAUUUCUCAAAUAAUUACGUUAUACUAUUUUUACCGAAUACGCUAACACACGCAUCACUUUCAAAGAAAAUAAUUUUCCUCUAAAUAAUGAAAUUAUCAAACGGGUACUAAAUGUAAGCCAGCACAUUAUUCAAAUAGUGCUCAUGCUAAAAAUUCAUAAUCUCCACAACUAAACGUCCAAAAUGUAAAUUUCUUUUUAAAUAAAGGUCCAAAAUAAUAUUAGUCGAACAGAAAUUUGCCACGUGGUUCUUCAAGCAGAGCUCCAUCCUAACGCAGCCGUAGACAACCGCAACAGGCCAGCACCCUCUCCCAAAACGCCGAUUAAUCCAGAGACAGCAAAACCCGAAAAACAGACCAAUUUCAUACAAAAAAAUUUGAGAAAAAAUAGGAAAAUUUUAAAAAGUGCCCCAAAGGGGUGCGCACGCUAACAAAUGUCACCCGGCCAGAGCAGGUUAGCGCCUCCCGAUGCUUCCUGCACUGUCUGUGACUACUACGAGACCUUCCCUUUCUCUCUCUACCCGCCUUAUCCUACGCAGCCUCUCGUUAUCACCACAGCUUCUCUAGGGUUAGGGCUAAAUUCUCAUUCGCUUCCUCUCUCUCUUUCUCGCUUUCUUUUCGCCCAAUUCUUCAUGCGCUUCGGAGAACUAGGGUUUUAUGAUCUUCUAAGGGUAGCUUCACAUUCUGUUCGACCCAAACGCACAUGGACCACAGGAGGCAAUCCAAGGAUUCUCUCUCAUACUCAAACCUCUUCAAUCUUGAGGUAUGUCUUUGUUUUCUCAAAUUGUUGCCUUGCUUAGCCCUUUUUGGUUUUGCUCUGAUUUGGCAAGUUUUGUGCUUUAUGUUUGUAAUUCAUAUGUUUGAAUUGGGAACCUUGAAUGUUUCUGAACUGAAGUGUAUUUUCUUGCAUAUUGAGAUUGAGAAUUUGAUUGUGAUUUUUUAUUUUUUCUUUAUUUUCUUUAUUGUUGUGUUGUAGUCUUUGAUGAACUUUCAAGUUCCACAACCAGAUGACGAUUUUGAUUAUUAUGGCAAUAGUAGUCAGGAUGAGAGCAGAGGUAGCCAAGGUAGGCAAUUUGUCUUAAUAUUUCGACUCGAGCUUAGUAUGACCAAUUUGAUUUUUUUUUUUUUUUUCUCUUUCUUGUAAAUGUAUUUCUACACUGCAUGCUACUAGAGUAUCUCUAUGCAUAUAUGUUAUAUAUUUAGAUAUAGGUGUUGGUUGGAAGGAAAACUUGGGCAAGGGAUUUGUGGUCUUAUAGAUGCACAUUGUUUGUGCUUUGUGGCUGGUUGCAUGUGUAGGUGGAGCCACUGGUAAUGGGCUAAUGCCUGACAGAGAAUUGAAUUCAGUGAAGAAAAGAAGGCGAUCUCAAAAUAGUGACUACGAGGACGAGGACAGUUAUUACCGGACACACAUUACAGAAGAAAGGUAUCGAUCAAUGCUUGGAGAACACAUUCAGAAGUAUAAAAGGAGGUUCAAGGAUUCCUCGUCAAGUCCUGCACCAACACAGAUGGGGAUUCCAGUUCCAAAGGGUAAUAAGGGUUUAAAAUCCAGGAAACUGGCCAAUGAGCAACGAGGAGGGUUUUAUGAUAUGGAAACCACAUCAGAGUGGCUCAAUGAUUCUAAUACUCAGAAGCCAGGGAACCACCAUGAUGCAGAUUUUGCACCACAAAGUGGCACCAAUAGGUUUGCUUUCACCUCUGAUUUCCUUUUGAUCAUGGGCUAUUUUCAACCUAAGCAUUUAUUUGAUUAUAUUUCCUUCUCUGUAUUUCAUGCAGAAUAACGUAUGAACCUCCUUAUCUGGAUAUAGGAGAUGGUAUCACUUACAAGAUUCCACCAAUUUAUGAUAAGCUGGUGACAUCUUUGCACUUGCCUAGCUUUUCGGAUUUUCGGGUGGAGGAAGUUUACUUGAAAGGUACAUUGGACUUGGGAUCCUUGGCAGAAAUGAUGGCUAGUGACAAAAGGUUGGGGCCUAAAAACCGGGCAGGGAUGGGGGAGCCCCAGCCCCAGUAUGAAUCCCUUCAGGAUAGAUUAAAGGCAUCGUCCACAUCAAACUCAGCUCAAAAGUUCAGUCUCAAAGUCUCUGAUAUAGGGUUAAAUUCUUCUAUCCCAGAGGGGGCAGCUGGAAAUAUAAAGAGGUCUAUUUUGUCUGAAGGUGGUGUCUUACAGGUCUACUAUGUGAAAGUUUUGGAGAAGGGAGACACAUAUGAGGUUUGUUUUCCUUCACUUUAGAUUAUUUGGUUACUUAAUUUUUUUUUUUUGGGGUGGGUGUAGGGCGGGGGGUGUGUGUCUCCCUUUUUAUGUGGUAUUUGGGGUUGGUUGUUCACUCAUGGUUGUUCUGCAGAUCAUUGAACGAAGCCUACCCAAGAAGCAAAAGUUGAAGAAAGACCCUUCUGUGAUUGAGAGGGAGGAAAUGGAAAAGAUUGGAAAAGUUUGGGUAAACAUAGUAAGAAGAGACAUGCCAAAGCAUCAUAGGAUUUUUACAACUUUUCACCGGAAGCAACUAAUUGACGCUAAGAGGGUCUCAGAGAACUGUCAAAGAGAGGUACUUAUGAUGUGUAUGGCAUAUGUAGUGUUCUACUUCUUUCUGUUGUACUGCAUGUCAGAUGUGGAUUUUGAUAUUCAAACUUGGUGAUGGUUGAUUUUAUUAACCUGGAAUUUGUAGUACUUAUACUGAAGCUAUGGAUUUUUUUUAAGGUGAAAAUGAAGGUGAGUAGAUCACUUAAAUUGAUGAGGGGUGCUGCAAUUCGUACAAGGAAACUAGCCAGAGACAUGCUACUAUUUUGGAAGAGAAUAGAUAAAGAGAUGGUAUCCUUCCCUUCUCCUCUAUGAAAUGCCUUUUCAUCCUAUUGGUCUUCAAUUUAGUCAUCUUUAGUGAUUUGUAGUUGACAUGAAAUUUAUAAUCAUGUCCAAAGUUUCAUAAGUGUUUGGUCAAAUCAUGGAUCUUGAGAGUCUGUCUUGGAGAGAUUGUCAUUUGAAGAUCAUAUAUUUAUUUUUAUUUUUUUAUCUUUUGACAAAAACUCCAUCAAAUUUUAUUAAUUUUUUUAAAUAUUGAUACUGUUGCAGGCAGAAGUGAGGAAGAAAGAGGAGAAAGAAGCAGCUGAAGCUUUGAGGCGCGAACAGGAGCUUCGAGAAGCAAAGAGACAGCAGCAAAGGCUCAAUUUUCUUAUACAGCAAACUGAACUUUACAGUCACUUUAUGCAGAACAAGCCAAGUUCACAGCCAUCUGAAGAUCUGGCUGUCGGAGAUGAAAAACAAAACGACAAAGAAGCAUCUCUGAGCUCCUCAGAUGAUGAAGCUAUUGAGGAAGAAGACCCUGAGGAUGCUGAACUGAAAAAGGAGGCUUUUAAAGCUGCUCAAGAUGCAGUUUUAAAGCAGAAAAACUUAACUAGUAAAUUUGAUAAUGAGUAUAUGAAACUAUGUGAAGAUGCUGAACCUGAGGCAGCACAGGAGGUUGCUGGAGCUAGUAGCAUAGAUCUACAUAACCCGUCAGUCACUCUUUCCCUUCUUAUUUUUGAUCUUGUCUUUCUUCUGGAGUGUAUCAGGAAAUUGGAGGCAAAGCUUUUUCCAGUCAAAUUGAUGAAGUUUCUAUUAUUAUAUAUGCAGUUCCACCAUGCCUGUAACCUCAACAGUUCAGACACCGGAGUUGUUUAAAGGAUCCCUUAAAGAAUAUCAGCUAAAAGGCCUCCAGUGGCUGGUUAAUUGUUAUGAGCAGGUUGUUAGUCUGUACUCUGUACCCAAAUGGAUACACAUGAUAUGUGCACGCACAAUUUAACUCACCUGGAUUUAUUUUCUCUUGAUUGAUUAUUUAGAAGGUAUUUUUGCUGUCUAUCAGGGUUUAAAUGGCAUCCUUGCUGAUGAGAUGGGACUAGGAAAGACUAUUCAGGCCAUGGCGUUUUUGGCUCAUUUGGCUGAGGUAAUUGUUCAGCUUGGUUUGUUAUCAUAAUGAUUGUCUUUGAAGUAACUUGGAUUGCUUGUCCCAUUCAGGAGAAAAAUAUAUGGGGGCCUUUUCUGGUUGUUGCUCCUGCUUCUGUCUUGAACAAUUGGGCUGAUGAAAUUAGUCGUUUCUGCCCUGACUUGAAAACUCUUCCAUACUGGGGUGGUCUUCAGGAGCGUACGGUACUUAGGAAAAAGAUCACUGCUAAGAAACUUUACCGCAGGUAAUUUUCUUUGCCCUUGUUAUUUUAAAAUUUCAAGAACAACAAUGAUAAUUGGCCAGUAUUGGAAGUAACAUACUGCUUAAGACGCUGUUUGGGCCGACUUGAAACAAUACGAGGCCUUAGACGGAAAUUCCAGAUUAAGCUUCUUAUUAGUGCUGAUAAAGAAAAUAUUAACUUAGUUUUAUAUGCUAAAAGUUUCUCAUGUUUAAAUCCUAUUAUCUUGUAGACAUAGUUGCUAUUGAAAUAAACGUCUCAUUUGUGAUUGCAUGCACCCCAUAUCAUAUCUAGAAGGGACCUUUAUGAAAUAGAAGCUUAGAUGGUACACAGGCCUCCUACAAAUCAAGUACAUAUUGCCAUGGGUGUAGCUGAAGUUUUCAUUUUAUCUUGAGUUGGUCUGUUCUCUUGCUCCUUUUCUUUCCCUUUUCUUCACCAAGUAAAACUUUAGCGUGUGGUCAGAAUCCAAAUACACAGGAAGUAUACAAGAGUUGAUUAAAAAUGAAAAAGAAACAACAAAGUGAAAUAAAGAAUAAAAAGGAAAUGCAGAUUCCCCUGGAGACUGCUCAAGAGUUGAACUCAACUCUACUAAAGAAUGCUUCGCCGGCUGAAAAACACUUUUUUUCUUUGUUUACAAAAUUGAUAUAUUUUAGCAUGCUAGUUGUCCAUAUGAGAAAUACCAUGGCUCAUUUCCCACCAUUUUAUAAACUUUUGUUGUUGUUUUUGUCCUCAAACUUAUUGACAGGGAUGCGGGGUUUCAUAUUCUCAUUACCAGCUACCAGCUGCUAGUGGCCGAUGAGAAGUAUUUUCGACGUGUGAAAUGGCAGUAUAUGGUAUUAGAUGAAGCCCAAGCAAUCAAAAGUUCUAACAGGUUUGGACUUAAAUCUUCCUUGAUAUUUAUUUAUUAAGGAUUUUGGACAUGCUCCUACUCCUUGGUCUUCUUGACCUGUCUUUGUUACAAGUUAAUGGUUACUGACAUGAACUUUCCUCUUGAAAAUCAACAAUGGGAAUUAGCUCCAUUGAUAGGGCCAUUCUUGUGGUAAAUUGAAUGUGUUAAGUGAUACCAAGUGUCAUAAAGAUGAAACAAAUUUAAGAAACCUGAGAAGGAUAUUAUCAAAAUAAUUUUUAAAAUAAUAACCAUGUGUAAUAUUCUUGACAAAAUUGUCCACACCUUCUAAGCAAAUGAAGGUGUAUUAUUUCUAAGCAUCCAAAUAAGCGCCAGCAAGGGUGGACAUGAUGUGUCCUUACUCUUCAGGUGUCCCAACAUGGAAUCUUUUAUGGAAGUAGUCUCCUACAAACUAAUCGAUUUUACAUUAUUGUUAGGGUUGCAGCUGUAAUAAUAUUGUGGUUUAGUUCCCCUUGAUCCUAGACCCAACCAUUUAUAUUAAGAACUAUUCAACAACAAAUGCUAACGUUUGCAAAGUCUUUUAGAUUGCGAGUUCAUGUAUUUUAUUACGAUUUCUUAAAUCCUAUGUGUACUCAUAUAUCAUUGGAUAUUUUGAUUUGACAGUAUAAGAUGGAAGACACUGCUCAGCUUUAAUUGUCGAAAUCGUUUGCUGCUUACUGGUACACCUAUCCAGAAUAAUAUGGCAGAGUUGUGGGCUCUACUACAUUUCAUUAUGCCAACCUUAUUUGACAGCCAUGAACAAUUCAAUGAGUGGUUUUCAAAAGGGUAUGCAUUUGGAUCUGAAAUUCCUACCCACAAACAAAUAAAGUAUUCUUAUUAAAUGAAUUAUUUUUCAAAUAUUAACAGAAUUGAAAACCAUGCGGAACAUGGGGGUACUUUGAACGAGCACCAGCUUAACAGAUUGGUUAGUACCCUGACUCUGAUAAUUGUAUUCAUUAAUAAAUUUUACCUUGCUCUUUGGUCUAGUCUAACGUUCCCAAUAAAGUUCUAAUUUGAUUAUCCUUGGAAAUGUUUUGGUCUGUCAAAUUUCUCCUGCUAGCAAGACAUGUAAUUUGUGAAUGGAAAUAGCAUAUAUAGGACAAUUAUAUGCAGUUGUCAGUCCCGAAGCACAGACAUAAUGGGCUUUGAAAUGGUGGCGAUGAGUGGCUUCCUGGUUGGAUAUGGGCAAGUCAUCUUCCUUGCUCCUCAUCCAGGGUGUAUUCGAAAAUCCCAUAAAUAAUUUAGGCAACCCCAAAAAACCAAGAAUUUUAUGGAACAUUCUAGGUGGAGAAAAUCUGGUAAUGUUUUUCUUGACAAUAUUGACCCAAAUAUAACCUUCUGUGUUUAAGAAACCAUGAGGCUAAUAUGAUCCCAUUUCUUGUUUCAUUAUUCCAUCUCGCUGUAGCCAUCAACUGUACUUAAUGGGUAUGUGUGCUGGUUAAAACUCUCAUAAAUGAUCCCAGCCUUAUUUUUUUUCACCUCUCUGUUAAAACUUUCCUAGUUGUGAAUGGAAAUACCUAAUGGGAUGUGGAACAUUUCUGACUACUUCUGUUUUUCUCCUUACAGCAUUCCAUAUUAAAGCCAUUCAUGCUGCGUCGAGUUAAAACAGAUGUGAUUUCUGAGCUGACCCAGAAAACUGAGGUUACUGUGCACUGCAAGUUGAGUUCUCGACAACAAGCUUUUUAUCAAGCUAUCAAGAACAAAAUAUCUCUUGCUGAGUUGUUUGACAGCAAUCGUGGGCAUCUUAAUGAGAAGAAAAUUUUGAAUUUGAUGAAUAUUGUCAUUCAGCUGAGAAAGGUAGGCUAUCCUUACAUAGGUUUUUGUAGUCUAUAUGGUGGGAUGUAAUUAUUAUGAGAUUUCUUGAUUGUAUUCUUUAUUUUCUCAAAAUUUUCCAUAUAAAGUGUUUCAUUUGUGCAAUGUUAGGUAUGCAACCAUCCUGAGCUAUUUGAGAGGAGUGAAGGAAGCACAUAUCUGUACUUUGGUGAGAUACCAAAUUCUCUUCUUGCCCCUCCAUUUGGGGAGUUAGAGGACGUGCACUACUCAGGAGGUCAAAAUCCUAUAACAUACCCGGUACUUUCUUAACACCCUUUUCCCUCAUACAUAAUCAUAAGUCUUUUGUAGUGCAAAGGUGAGAUUAUCACUUUGCUCGUACCCUGCACACGACAUAUUAAUUGGUCAGUAACGAAAGGGGAGACAGAGAGGGAGGUAAGUAGGUGUGGUGGUGAGAGAUGGAGGAAAGAGUGAGUUAAACAGAGGGAGGCUUGAGGGAAAUUCUAUAAUUUGAUGGCAAUUUGCAUGUAUGGCACCACUAAUUACAUGCCAAUUUUCAGGCGCAACACAUGACCUGCACUUGUACUUUCCUUAUGUAAUUCAUGUUCUCAUUCUCUUAGAAAUUAUGUUCCUUUGAAUAAUUUGGAAUGCAUAUUGGACCUGCAUUUGGAAGUGGAUGUCUAUUAAUGCUUAUUUGAAGAGGAAAUUCAUGACAUGCUUCUAUUGGGAUGUAUACUAUUUAGAACAUUAAUUGCUUGUGUAUUCCAUAAGAGUAUUUCCAAUCUACUUUUUCACCUGAAGAAAUAAAUUAAACUAGCUGCUGUGUCCAAUCACAGACAUUUGUGCUUGCAUGUCCCUCUUCCCAUUAUUUGAUUUUGUGCUGUAGUUUCCAGUAACUUACCUACUGACUAAACUUUUAAACGGAAUUUCUUGUUUUUCCAGAUCCCUAAACUUUUCUAUCAAGAAAUUCUCCAGAGCUCUGAAAUUUUUUGCUCAGCAGUUCGACAUGGUGUCUACAGAGAAUCUUUCGAGAAAUACUUUAACAUAUUUUCACCGGAAAAUGUUCAUCGAUCAAUAUUCUUGCAAGAGAAUAGCUCGGAUGAGUUGUCCAUUAAUAGUGGAACGUUUGGUUUUACUCAUCUGAUAGAACUGUCCCCUGCAGAGGUUGCAUUUCUAGGAACUGGUUCUUUUAUGGAGAGACUAAUGUUUUCUAUUAUGAGAUGGGAUCGGCAAUUUUUGGAUGGAACUGUGGACUCACUGGUGGAAACCAUGAAGGAUGAUUUUGAAUGUAGUUAUCUUGACAGUGGAAAAGUGGGAGCGGUGACACGAAUGCUGCUCAUGCCUUCACGAUCUGUAACUAAUGUUCUUCAAAACAAACUGGCUACAGGACCUGGUGAUGCUCCAUUCGAGGCUCUAGUUGUCUUGCAUCGGGACAGGCUUCUUUCUAACACUAGGCUUCUCCAUUCAACAUACACAUUCAUACCACGAGCUAGAGCUCCCCCAGUAUGUUUUCAGUUAUUCAUUAUUUUUUUGGUUGUAAUUAUUGUAGUUGUGCAGCUCUAAAAGGAAAAGAAAGUUAUUGUCUUUGUUAACACUUUAUAUUGAUAAACUUAUGUCAAAAUAUUGUAUAAUGUGGACAGGUUAAUGCCCAUUGCUCAGACAGAAACUUUACUUACAAAAUGGUUGAAGAACAACAAUACCCUUGGGUGAAGAGGUUGUUCACUGGGUUUGCACGGACAUCUGACUUUAAUGGACCCAGGAAACCUGAGAGUCCUCAUCAUUUAAUACAAGAGAUUGAUUCUGAGCUGCCUGUUUCAUGUCCUGCUCUUCAGUUAACAUACAGGAUUUUUGGGUCUUGUCCUCCUAUGCAAAGCUUUGACCCAGCAAAAUUGCUCACUGUAAGACUGUUUAUCCUCUUUUGGUUUCCUUUUAUAUUCUUUAGUGACCACUUUUUUUUUUUAAAUUUUUUUUUAAAAAUUUCUUAAUUGCAAGUGUCGAAAGAUGAGCUUAUCUAUCUUUUCUAUAGGAUUCUGGGAAACUUCAGACCCUUGAUAUAUUGUUGAAACGCUUGAGGGCAGACAACCAUCGUGUUCUUUUGUUUGCACAAAUGACAAAGAUGCUGAAUAUUCUCGAGGUACUGAUUCAUUUCUUAUUAAACCUUCUUGAUUGCUCUAGGUUCAUGGGUUCACCUUGGGUUUUCAACUUGAUUUGAUUCCCAUUUCAGCCAUACCUAACUAUAUGUGAUCAUGACACUGUAAUUUUGAGAAUAGUGUGAUCAUGUCACUCAGUGCACGUGAGUCGUGUUCUUUAUGAGCAAGUAGUUAUUUGUGGCUUAAGAAAAAAGUUUUCUUAGGUUAGUUUUAGUAAAUGUUGUUUCCCUGUAGUGAUAUAUGUGUUAAUUGACUGAAGUAAGAUGUUUUGCCAAACUUUAAUUAGGUAUUCUAAUUAAUGCUUUAUUUAAUUGAGCUAUUUGCUGGUCAGAUUGUCAUUUUGGAAACUCUUAUUGCACCAAAGGACGACUUGUAUUCCAACUGUUUACCUAUCUUUUCUGGGUAUUUUUUUUUCUGGUGCUGAUAACCUAAAUGUACAGGACUACAUGAACUACAGGAAAUAUAAAUACCUGAGACUUGAUGGAUCCUCCACCAUAAUGGAUCGGCGAGAUAUGGUCAGAGACUUCCAGCAACGGUAUGAAUUUCAUUAUAAAGGCUUUGAAGAGCUGUGUGUGUUGUAGAUUCUUAUGAUUACAUACUAGUUCAUUAACGUAUUUAGAUGAUUGUGUUCUUGCAGGAGUGAUAUUUUUGUGUUCUUGCUGAGUACAAGAGCUGGUGGACUUGGCAUUAACUUGACAGCUGCUGAUACUGUCAUAUUUUAUGAAAGUGAUUGGAAUCCAACCCUGGAUCUACAGGCAAUGGAUAGAGCUCAUCGUCUGGGUCAGACAAGAGAUGUGAGUUUUUGUUUCCUGGAUCCAACCCUAGAUUUUGUGUUUUCUAAGUUUUGUGUUCGUUGAGAAAUUAAUAAAUGCUACUGUCUUCCAAAUCGCUUGACCAUUCUUUUAGUACAGCCAUUUGUUUGUAUGGUGCUUUGGAAUUAUCUUCUUGCUUUUAUGCAUCUUGAGAUGUAUUCUGCUUAGUUCAGUAUUAAAUUCUUAUAUUGUUUAAUUCUCACCUACUCAUGGUGUAGGUUACCGUCUACCGACUAAUUUGUAAAGAAACUGUUGAAGAGAAGAUUCUGCAAAGAGCAAGUCAGAAAAAUACUGUCCAGCAGCUUGUAAUGAUGGGUGGCCAUGUUCAGGGUGAUCUUUUGGCUCCUGAGGAUGUUGUAUCAUUACUUCUGGAUGAUGCUCAGUUGGAGCAGAAAUUAAGAGAAAUUCCAUUACAGGUGCAGGCAGUUUAAGUUGUUUAUCUGUCAAUUCCUUCUUCCAAAUAUUAGCUCAUUUCAGAUAGAGUUUUAGUGCAUUUUCCUUGGUACAAGCCUUUAUUCAUUUCAGAUAUUAGCUCAAUUCCUUAUUCCGACUUUGAGCUCAUUUAAGAUAGAGUUUAAAUGCAUUUUUCCUUGGUACAAUCUUUUAUUUAUUUCAGAUAUUAGCUCAAUUCCUUCUUCCAAAUACUCUCUCUCUCUCUCUCUCUCUCUCUCUCUCUCUCUCUCUCUCUCUCUCUCUCUCUCUCUCUUAUAUAUAUAUAUAUAUAUAUAUAUUCCCUAUCUCUUUAUCUCUCUAAAUUAUCUUAUUGUUUUGCCAGACCAAGGAUAAACAAAAGAAGAAACAAACAAAGGGUAUACGGGUAGACGCAGAAGGUGAUGCUUCUUUGGAAGAUUUAACAAACCCUGCAUCUGCACCUCAGGGUACUGGACACGAGGACUCUCCAGAUGUGGAAAAAUCAAAAUCCAACAAUAAAAAGGUACUGGAGCUUGUCUGGACUCCAUUGUACCAUUUACACCUAGCUUAACAGCUGGCAAAAUACUAAAUGCUAUCUACACUAUCUUUGUUCCUCUGAGUUGUGCUUAUUAAUAUCAUCGUAUCUGUGCACAGAGAAAAGCUGCAUCUGACAAACAAACUCUGAGGCCAAAGAAUCCGAAAAGCAUGGGCGGAUCUGAUAGCUAUGAGUUGGAUGACCCCCUACAAACUACUGAUCCACAAGCUGUGAAAGCCAAGAGGCCAAAGAGGUCAAAGAAGAGUGUAAACGAAAAUCUUGAGCCAGCAUUUACUGCGACACUCCCUCCAGUUCCAGAGCAGACCCAAUAUCCACCCCCACAUUAGUUUGGAUCCUGCUGGUUUCCGAGCUGAAACUGGGCAGGAUAUCUGAAUCCAAAGGCAGUUCAUUUUCUUGUUAAUAUAGUGGACAAGAUUGUAAUUGAUUGAGCAUGAGCAUCACUUCGAGGUCCUCUUGUCACUGGCCCCAUUGUGGCUGGGAAGAAAUUGGGACCAGAGUUGCAGAAUAUAUAGUCAGAGCUGUACGAUAGUUUGUAAAUAUUACUCAUAAUUUGUUUAGGGUUCAAUGGCCAUCAAAUUACUAGAUGGAUGGUAUAUAAAGGUUCGUUCCUUUUUGUGGUCCUCUCAGCUGUAUAAAGGGUAGAUGUCUUUCGUCCGUGGGCCUAAUCGCCGAACCUCUCCGGUUAAGGGACCUUGAGUGAGGGGAAUUGUAUAUGAAAUCAUCUGGCAGCUCUGCGUCACCUUGGAAUUGAAAUUUAAAUUCAGCCUGGUUUGGGUUAGCAUUAUUUAUGUAAAAGAUGUUAUGGACCCAACCAAUGUGGGAGUUAUGAUCUGUAGUCGGAUUUCGGCAAGACAGAUCUAAAUUCAUGUAAUUUAGUAUUUAUCCCAAAUAAUUUUUUGGCCAAUAAGAUCAGUAAAUUGAAUAAAAUCGCUGCUUUUGAAUAACGAGAAGGGUUUGGGAAUGUUCUAGGAGGCAUAAACGCUUUUAUUAGAAAAGACAUUGAAAUUUUCAUUAAAAUCCACGUCACUUGGGAGUCAGAAGCAAUUCCAAACAUGGCGUAAGUAAAUCGUUGAAGUGCUUAAUUAGCGAAUUCAUAUAUAUAUAGAUAUAUUUUUUUUUUCUUUCUUUCUUUGAUUCCUUGCAUGUCAACCUAUCGACCAAAAAGACAAAAAGGAGGGAAACCUGUCAGACAACCGUGCGACCACCCCAGACCAGUCACCCAGCUGAGAACGAUCCUCUACCGCUAAAUGAUUCCAAGGAACCACCAGAAGCUGUUAAUCACGCUCUGAUCACACGGUCAUGAUUCAUCCACCAGGUUGGGAUUCCUGUCUCCUUAGAAAUCAAGGAUACAGAGGUACGAUCCUAUAGAACAGAUCCUGUCCAAGUAAGGUCGUGCUCUGUGAUCCCAUGUUCAGCAAUAUAAACCAUUGCAGUAUUCUUUAUUUAUUCGAUGUGGGACAAUUAGCUUCUUUGGCUGUUUGGAAUUUAGACCAGACAGAGAUCACAAAAGAAUUGCACAUUUUCAUUGACAAGUCCUUGUCCUUAGCUUUCAAGAUUUUAUCCGAUUUCCAUGUUUUUCAACGUGUCCACUUCUUCUUCUCUCCUCCCUCAAAGCUUCCUAGCACAACCAAGCGCUCCCUCUUUCAAUUUCUUCAGGUUUGGUGCUGCAUUCAUGCCUGGACCUUCAGACCCUGAAGAUUGAGUUCUUCACAGACCCAUCAUUUGGUUCGGUGGUUUACUUUACUAAUGAUGGGUCAAUGUAUGCUAAAUUAGGUAAGGUACCCUUGACCAAGUCGAAGAUUUUUUCGGCGAACUUGAUCGAAGGAUGUUUCCUGGAACAUUUGUAUUUCCUUUUGUUCUUCUAGAGGGGAUGUCGCAAAAGUAAGAGAUUUGUUUCAUGAAAUGCAGGAUGAACUAGCACCCAACAGACAUUGACGUUGGUUAUAUCUGCAUUAACCAAAUCAAACAUGGGAUUCUUUCCCAAGCAUCUUUGUUGGACUUGUAUGCCAAGUGCGGAGAAUUGGGAAACUCAGUACUUGUGGUGCAAUGCACCCUGCUGGGACUGAGAUACUAAGAAGCCUUGUUGAUGCAUUUGCAAACCUAGGUGCUCUCAAGUUAGGAAAAGGAAUUCAUGGCUACCUUAUAAGGAAAUCAUUUUAUGAAGCUGACAAGUGCAAUACUCAUCUUGAAACAUCCAUAAUAAACAUGUACAUAAGAUGUGGUAGCAUAUCUACAGCUAGAGUAUGUUUCAGUAGAAUGUUGUUGAUCGGCACGGACAUCAAUGAUUGAGGGUUAUUAGGGGUGGCAAUUUCCGAUACGACCUGAUACACGACAGGAAGAUUACAAAACAGGAAGCCUUGAAACUGUUUGAUCUAAUGAUAAGAGAAGGAACAAGAACAUGAAGGUUACAAAACACCAACCCAGAGCACAGCUCAGUGGACUAACAAGUUACUCUCCCACAAAAACAAGUGACAUAACAGGAGGGCAGGGAAGCCCGUCAAAUUGUAAAACUCAAAAAAGAGACAAAGGAGGCCUACUGGCCCAGUGAUCCACACCCGCCGCUCGAACACCAAUCCUUGCAGCUUCAUGCGCUGCACGGUUCAGAUUGCGAGGAACCUACCUCACUUUCACAGAGUCAAAAUGAGAAGGAAAGUCUCCUAAUCUCAUUGAUAACCGGAAGAAUCGUCCACACCGUGUUACACAAAUUGCCUUUUAGACCAUCCACCAGAGAGACGGACCUAUGCACAUGCUAACCUGGGCUAUAGCUCAGGUGAUUUGAUUUUUUACAGCCCAACAUUAAUACCCCAGCCCAUCCAAGCGCACCUCACACACCCUCCUUUCAGGAGCUGCUUCACUCUCCUCAGCGCAGUUGCUAUAUCUACUCGCUCAUCAGCACCCAUGUACUCAACCAACAUUUGCUCAUCCAACGUUUAGUUUUUAAAAAGUAAUACUCACACUCAUUGAAGUUGCUCCAACUACUCAAGCAUGAUUCAAUACUAUUAGUGCAAUUAAUACCAAUGACAAAUUUUUGAAAAUUACUACUAACUUCAAUUUUCUUUCUUUUAAUUAAUAAAGCUUUUGUACUAUUCAAUAUUCCCUAUAAAAUCCACCUAUUUCUUCAAAAUUUUCACACCACCAAAAUCAUUUACAACUCUUUAAUUUUGCUUAAUUUUUUACUCACAAAAUUAUUUAUUAAUUGCUUGUAUAUUUUUUAUUAAUCUCUCCACAUCAUUAUGAAUAUAUUAUUUGUUAGUAUAUGUGUGUGUGAGAAACCUCCUCUCCCUUUAAACUAUCACUUGUAUUAAAAAAAAUUAACGGCUUUUUUCUUUUAGUUUAAUGUUGUUUUUAUUUAAGGUUGUGUUAGAUACAUUUUGAGGGGCUCAUUAUGUCCCCCUGUGUAUUUUUUGUUAUUAAUGAAAUUCACUCGUAUCGUUGAGUAAUAUAUCCUAGGUUUGUACGUAAGAUAAAUUUAGCCCACCUCAUUUUGAAAUCCUGAGUCUAUCCAUGCACCAGAGCACGAGAAUCCAACUCCAUCACAAUCUUAUGAUCAUCCUCCACUUCCGCCAUUAGAGUCAAACCACCUUUAUGGGGAUAAUCAAGUUUUUGGCGUUGACAGGGAUCCUGGGAGUUUACAAAUAAUCCCUAGCAAAGCGCCAAAAACUAUUGUCACCAAAUAGUGUGUUUUAAAUUUAUAAAUGCUGGAUUAUAAAUUUAAAACACACUAUAAAUUCUUUUAAGUUUUUGAUGCUGUUGUCGAGGAUUAUUUAUAAACUCACAAGCGAGAAUAAUCAAGUUUUUGACGCCGUUCCAAGGACCUUUGCGAGUUUAUAAGAAUGAGGUUGUACAUAUAAGGAUUGUGUGAAAAAGAUUAAAACUAAUUAAAACUCGAAUAAAUUCAAAUGCUAACCUAGUUGAUUAAAAGGUUGGUUGCUAGGUUGAAAAAGACAAUUAAAUUAAGCAUUAAAAAAUGAAAAUGACAAUAAAAUAAAAUAGAGAUGAAAUUAUUGAGAAAAAUUACUAAGGUAUUAGAAUCAAUAUUAUUCCAUAAAACUCUAAUUAUUUACCUAUCAAUUCGCAUGGAGUAGCAAUAAACUAAAAAUCAAUCUACUCUGAGAUAUAUCAAUUAGCAAUUUAAUAAAACUUCAUGUAAUCCCCAUUCCCUUUAUAAGUACAAAAUCUAAGUUUUGCAUGUAAACAAAAUUAUUUAACUACAAAGGAUCAAAGUUUUCUAAGCAUCCUAUGUGAAAAAGAUUCUUUGAAUCACAAGUGAUCGAAGGAAUUUGUAUGCUAAAAAUAUGAAAUCAAUGAUGCAUUACUAGAUUAACCCAGAUUCUUAACUACCACAAAUACAUUAUAGAGGCGGUGAAAAGAAAAUUAACCUAUAAACAUUGAGCAACAUAACCUUAAUCAAAGAAUUUAGCUAGACAUACUAACUAAAAUUGAAAUACAUAAAAAAAAAAAGUGAACUAAGAAAGGUGAAGAACAACUAAAAGAGAGCCAGAAUAGCUCUUGGUUCUCCCUCUCUAUCCUUGCUCUCUUUGCCUGAAGGCUUGGUGUCCCCUUCUUCUCUUGCUUAGCUCUCUAUUUAUAGAAACUGAAAGUAGCUAAAGCAUCAUCACAAUUUUUCAUCUUCACGUGCAGCCAUGUGCUGCUCUGUUGCUUUCGGUGGCUUGGAAAUUGGAAUCCCUCUUGCAAUGAUGGGAAGAAGACAACAUGGGUGACCUCUUUUUUGACCGGGUAUUAUUGUGGCUUCUUUUGGGCAUGUGGCUGUUUUUGGAUAUAUUUUCUCUUGGGUGUGAGAGUGAUCUUCACUGGUUUGAGAAAGCAUGUACGAGGGUAUAUCCUAUUGGAUACGGGCUCGGGUUUGGAUACAAAACUCUCGAGUAGUUAUUCCCGCGAGUCGGGGGAUUUGAGGCUCAGUCACCUUGUUAAGCCUAUUAUCUGCUUGUAGCCACUCUGGCCUUGCGACAGAAAGUGGUGAGGCUGAAGAAGGAUUUAUGGGUUUGUUUCUCGGGAUAUAUACACCAUCAAAGGGAGGCAAUUUAUCAAGUCUUGGAAUAUUUAAGUAGGAUGGCUAUGAAAGUAAAAGGAGCCAAGGGUAGAGGUAAGAAAAAAAGGUAAGGGCGGAGGGGCAUUGAGGGCUCAAGUAAGAUGGAUCUUUAGGUUUGUUUCUGGAGAUAGAUCUCACCAUCAAGUUGAGGCGAUUUAUAGAGUAUUGGGAUGCAAUUUAUCAACUUCUAGAGAGCUAAUAUUAUGUGCAGAGUGUAGUGAAAUAAUAGUUAACAUAAUGGACACUGAGAACUUCCACACACCAAUCAUAUCAUAUCAUGGAAUUUUAUUUAUAUAUACUCCGAAGAUCAACAUGUUUAUUCAGUCGAAGAAAAACCAGAUUGAGGGAGCACAUGGGAAAAUCAUAUAUGAUCCAAAGUUCAGACAAAGUAUAUUAAAAUUUUACGGUUUGGAUUCACAACGAACACAAGAUCAUUCAUGGCAGAUUAAGAGCUUGAGCAUGGUGACGGAUGUGAUCAUCUAUGAAGGUGGAAAUGAAAAAGUAUGAAUGAUCAUAACCGGGCUGCAACCGCAAAAGGAGUGGAACUUUAGCACUCCUGCAUGCUUCUUCAAACUUGUGUGGCAACAACUGAUCAUGCAAGAAUUUAUCAUCUCCCCCCUGCACAAAAAGCAUUAGCAUUGAGAUAAUAAGUUAAACAUUUUAAGAAAUAAAACCUAUAUUCAUCAAUUGGAAUACCGGACUAAGAUUCAUUCAGCAUCCCUGCUUGAAGGGGAUUAUUAAAAGAGUAACAUGUUACAUGCAGUUCUCUUGUAAAUCUAAAAUCACAUUUUUGUAAUGCAGAGGUGUCAACCUUUUAUACUUACUGCAAAAUAAGAAAAAGAACAAAAUUUUUUUUUUUUGAAUGGAGAGGAUAAGAAACUCAAAUCUUGUUCCCUUAUCUGCUAAGGUUCACAAAAGACCUUGAUUGUUCAGGAAGAGCUUUCACACCAUAGUUCUUGGGUUCAGCUCAAUUCCGAAAAAACACUUAUCCUGUAUUCCUUUGCCACUGUGUUCCUUGGUCAAAAUUCCAUAAAUUAUUUCUAAUUCAGGUAAUGGUCAAGGGGUUUAAUUCAUAUAUCCAUGUAUUCCUUAGCCACUAUAUCUCUUUUCUUUUCUUUUCAUUUCAUUGGGUGAAAAGGGGGAAGGGGGUUUCUACAGCCAAAAUAUGAAAUAUCAAUGCAUCCCAGCCUACCUGAAACGUAAUUUUGAGCGCUAAUGAUAAUCAUACACAAUGACAAAAUAUGUUACCCCAAGAUGUAUUAUGAAACAGCAAGGUGAUGCAGAACCGAGAAGAAAAACAGAAGAAAUAGAAAGAGUCAAAGGGAAAUUUCAAAGUUAGUAUUAUCAAUCAAUAUGACAAAGAUUUGAAAGCAAUAACAAUAAGCCCACUUAAUAGGUAAUCCCAAAAUAAUUCAAUUAAAACAAUAAUUGAACGUUUGAUUCAUGACCUUGCACCUAUGCCUACAAUAAUACUCUUAUCAGUUAGAAAAAUAAUUAAACCUUAGACUGGUCUGUUCAGACCAGUGUGUGUAGUCUGUUUCUUGGGGCUUUGCCCCCCUUCUUUAUCAAAAAAAAUAAAAAUAAACCUUAAGGUUUAAAUAGAUAAACUAGACAAAUUUUGACCCUUGCACCUACGCCUAAAAUAAGUAAGAAUUCCUUCUUGCGUUCACCAUCACUAGGUCAUAUAUUCUAUCCAACUCUUUUUGUUUAACAUUAUUAUUUUUUUAUGGGAAUGAUUACAUGACUUAUCCUAAUUUUAACCCUUUUUGUCACCCCCUUUUCACCUGGGGUAGCCUCAUGGGCUAUUCUAUGCAACAACUCUUAUAACAAGAAUCAGCCACCUAAAAGCAUAAAUUUUUGCGACUAUGUUGCGAUGAUCAAAAUUUUAAAUAGUUGGCUCACAGCCUAACAAGUAAGAACUUGAGGUUUUAGAAACAGUUGAAAACAACCAAAAUUAACAAUUGUCAUAACAACAAAAAUAACGAUGGUGAACAUUAGAUGACAACAAAUCUUACCUGAUCAAUCAAAAUGGUAGCUGAAACAUCAGUAAACUUCUUAAUCAGGCAAGUGGCAUCAUAUUCCUGCAUUUUUUCAUUCAAUUUGUUAAAACUAGGAAGCAGAACAUUAUAACUAAGAAUUGAAACGAUAGGAUUUCUCAAUUUACCUCCCAAUCAGUUUUAUUGCCACCUAGAUAAUUUGAGAAAGCUUUCUGGCCCCAGGGACAGUUUGUUGGAUUCACAAUGGGUGCAAAGGCAGAUACUGACUGGGAAAGGGAGUGAAAAACAAUAUAAAUUUCUCCUAUAACGACAAGGAGAUCUGUUCCAAAAAUUUCAUAAAGUUCCCUACAUCUAAGGAACUUUUACGGAAGAACCAAACUUUCCAAUGCUUUUAAAUAAAAUUCAACUUCUUUAAAAAAAGAAAAAAGAAAAAUCAACUUCUGGUGAAAUGUUUAGAUCUGUUACCUUAUACUUGUCCAGAUUUUUCAGGUAGAUUGUCAAAGCACCGUGCCCACCCAUAGAAUGACCAGAUAUAGAAGCUCGCGAUGUAUCAAGCUGUGGAAAAUUUUCAUUCAGAAGUUUCGGCAACUCCUUGACAACAUAAUCAUACAUACGCCAGUUCUUCCAUUUCUCUUGAGUAGCAUUGAGAUAAAAACCAGCACCUGUUUGAAAAACGCACGCACACACAAGCACACAAAAUUCAGUGAAGGCUCUUUACACCUGUAAGUACUCGCUCACGACCAAGCAAAGCUUGUCCUUCUUGCUAACUGAAAGGUGUUUGCAUGCAAUAAAUUGGUUGAUGAAAUAUAAUUAGUAACAUGUCAACGGAUUGGUAAUUACUAAUUAAUCAUUCACCCUCCACUAAAAAAAGAAAGUAACAAAACUUUCAUUUGGAAAUUCUGAAGAAAUCAGAAAAUUUGCUGGAAUGAAACCCCAGAUCCUUCAAAUAAACAUAAAUUAUAAAUUCCAUCAAAACAAUUACUCUUUCAUAUUAUUGAAUAUAAUAAUAGGGUGUCAGUCCAAUGAAGAUAGCGUAGAUGAAAUCUGUAAUUACUGAAACCAAUACCCUUGGGACUGGGUUUCAUUUUUCCUUCUUACUACCAGAAUCACUCAGCAUCUAACACAUCCCAUGUCAUAAUCUGAGUCAUCUAGGGAUUCAUGGUGGUUAUACUCUCUCCACGUUUAAGAUAUUAUUGACCAUUUUAGUUCCCCAUUUUAAAAUUUAAAACAAGUAGUGACUCCAUUGUCAACCAUUCAAAAUAAAAAAUAACUUAAUUUAAAAUACAAUUGCAAGAUAUGGGCUAUCCAUCUUGAGCAAAUUGGUAGGAUUCACAAAUUCCAUUGGGCGUGAAACAAUUUUCUAAUUACUGCUUCACAGAUUAAAAUAUAACAGUCCGGCGUUGCAUACCUACACCAAAAUCCCAGCUCUCCGCCUCUCCUUCUAUAGAUAAGCCUCCUAUUAAGAGAAUUUAGAUGAAGAAAUAAUUAGUACAGUAUGGACAUAAUAACAAAAGAUAUACGGUGGCUUUUAACGAAGCAACAGCCUAUCAUAAGAGAAGUAAAAGUAACCAUAUAACUAGAAGAAAUGAGGCUUAGCUACUCACAGCAAAUAAAUGGGUACAAGGGUUUUCCAUAAAUGUAUUUGUGACUCCUCAUUCCAAUUUCCUAAAUUUACACAUAAUCUUCCUCCCCAAUUUUUUUUCUUGGCUAAACAAUAAGACAACUAGAAUAUUAUAAAACUAAAUAAAUAAAAUUUCACAAGAGUAGUGCCGUGGAAUGAAAUCAAUUGAUUCACACUCAAGAUUAAUCAUUUAUAGAACCUACUGUUCGAUAAUUAUAGAAAAGUUGGGACUUGCAUGCAAAACGCCUUGUUUGAUUGUUCAUGUAUUUCUACCUCGUUUAUCAUUGUAUUCACUAGUUUAUAAUUUCUCUAUUUCCUUCUACCUCCCUCCCUUAGGAGGAGUCGUUUCUCAUUGAAAUCUCAAUUCGAAAAUUGAUGAGUAGUGCAACAUGAUAGUUUUAAUUUAAGUCCUUGUAAUUUUCAAGCAAAGAAGAAAUUCAAACAAUUCCAAAGACCGUUCAGUCUUUCUGGUGGUGGCACUAGCUGACAUCCUUUACUUUUAUUUUUUGUUGUGUGUGUUUGUAUUAGACAAUGAUGGAGGGUUUUCGGCUAGUGGUUUAGACAUACAACGUGGAACAAGGCGCAGCCCAAAUACAGACACAACUUAAAGUUAAAAUUCUUGGACAAGUUUAGGUUAGAAACCGGAAAACUUAUAUAUAACAAUUUUUAAGUUUUUUUAAUCAUUAUUAUCCAAGGAAAGCUAGCAACAAAGAGAACCCUGAAAUUUAGAGCUGCAGUCCAUGUAUACUAUAGGCUAACAAAUUCAAGUUAUUUGGAAGUUAACUGCUUAGAAUUGCAAAAUGGCACAGUAAUUAUAUCAAAUCACUUGAUUAUGAACACAUUCUAAAAAUUUGAUUACAUGAUCCAAACAGUCAUUUGGCCACCCUGGUCGCCCUCAGGUCUUUUUAAAGGUUGCCAACUAACAUCUGUCCUACUUCCCUGGAAUCUAGCCAAACAAAGGGCAACCUACAGAAUAAAUAUAUCUCUUGCAAAAGAUGCAAUUAAAACUGGCAUCUACAACUACCAUUAUGACCUUGAAAUUGAUUGAACAAGGGCUUCUGACUUACUUGGAGAUGUAUCAGGUGCAAUCAAAGCAACACCCUCACUUGAGGCAACACGUUGAGCUCCUGACUUAAUUAUAAAAUUCUCAUCUGUGCAGGUAAGGCCAGAGAGCCAGUAAAGUACCUGAUCAUCCAUGAAAACAAAAAGUUAGCAAAUUUGGUUAUGGCACAUUAUAAUACAAAAACUUUUACAGCAGCAUACUGGGAAACAAAUUUGGUAAAUAACUGUCAACUACUAUAGGAAGCAUGGAAAAGUAGUUUAUACUAACCAAACAAUGCCCAAGGAAAAUGAUUAUAUGAAAUUAAUUCAAGAAGUAUUACAUGCACCAACUAUUAUCCCAACUUUUUAAUACCGACUGAUGUGGCACAUAGCAUGGAAGCUUACUGGUUGUAACUAAAUCAGGUCCAAAAAGGGCCCACAAACAAAUGAAAUGCUUCCACAGCAGAUGGUAUUUAAAAAAAUGGGAUAUAAGUUAGUGCCCCUAUGACUAUUGAAUUAACAGCGUUUUAGCCAGUGAUGCAGAAAUAAUUGGUUACAAAAAGAAAAGAGAAAGCUUCGUUUUUCCCCAUCCAUGCACAAUUUUCUCUUUAGUUAAUUAUACAUUAGGAUAAUUCGCAUCACUACCUUUAAAUUCCUUGUCCAUAAUAGUACUAGGUGAUGACUAAGUUUGCAACUAUAAUGGUGCAUGUAAGUACCUGAGGAGAGAACUAAUUAUAGUUUUUCUGAAUUUGAUAAAUUAUUUGUCCUAUCAAGACUCGGGGAGACUAAAUUCAAAAUUCUACAGAAGUUAAAAUUCUUUUUUAAUAAAAAAUGAUAGAAUUAACCCUUUGGGAAACUAAAUUCCUAUUUUGAUCAAUUGGGUGUGUGCCAGUGCUUGUUCAUUCCAUCAAGAAAAUAUUGCAGAACAUAUGCAUCAAGAAUAGAACCUUAAUGAGCUAGAUACCAAAAGAGCAAAACCUUCAUCAAUCAAAACCCAAUAUUCACAAACACAAUAGAUUCCACCCACAUAACCCUAGGGUGUCAAAAUCAGAUAAAAACCCAGAUAAUAAAUUUAUUUGGAAAUGAAAUUUAAAAAGAAGUUGGAAAUGGGUAUGAGAGAGAGAGAGCGAGAGGACUUACAGGGAAUCGGUGGGAAGGAGAAGUAGAGGUAGAAGGAGGGAAAUAGAUGUGGAAGGUCAUGGAGCAGCCGAGAGUAGGACUGAAAUGCUUGUACCUCUUGUUGUACCCUCCAAACAUCUUCGAGCUGCUGAUCUCACUUGGCUUCGUCUCCAUUUCUCUCUGCACUUCUUUGCUCUGUGACUGGGGAUUUCGCUCAAACUCUAUACUCUAUAUACUGCGGUAGGGAGUAAGCUCCGGAGUGGCAAUUUUAACUUUAUAUAUAUUAAAAUUCACGUAUUAUAUAUGUAUUUACGUAUUUUAUUAUCCUUGUCUAUUGAGAACUUCUAUUGGAUAUGAAAUGGAUUUCAUUGUUUCGAUUAUUCACAUUUGAGGAGCGACUAUAAUUUCAUGUAUUUGUCCCAUUUGUUUUGAAAUUUUUUCUUAAAUUAGGACAAUUUUGGGUUAUUUGAAAAUUUAACCAAUCUUUUGUUAUAUUGCGUACACUAACCCGUUAAUAAGUUAUUAUGACACUAACUACUUGUAUGGACUUACUCCACAACGUCAUCUCAUGAUCUAAAUUAUUCAUUUUUUAAGGCAUAAUUCAAAGAUGACCCUUGCAAAAAUUAAUCAAAGUGAACAAUAUUGAACACCGAACUUUCAAAAAUGACAUUAAGGGCCACUUUUUUUUCAUAAAGAUUAUGACGUGAAAUAAUCAAGAGGCCAUGCUAUUUUACUGCAUCAAGGAUGAGAUUACUAUGAAUAUGCUAAUGGGGAGUUUUGUAUAAUUUUUAGGAGAAAAUUGACUAGAAAAAAAUUGAGCAUAAAUUAACAUUGUCUAUACUCGAUAUAGUUCAUAGGGGAAAUUGUGAGCAUCUAGUAGUAGCAAACCAAAUUUUUUAAAUUGAAGUUUGUUGACCUAUGUGAAAAUUUGAAAAAGGUUUGUUUAUUACUUUAAUAAUUUGUGCCCAACAGAGACUUCAAUUCAAUUCAUGUAGUGUAGGUUUUUAGCAUUUUCAAUGUAUUUGUUCUUCCAAAAAUAAUUAAAUGUUUUGAAGAGUCAAGAUCAACUUAUCAAUUUUGAAGAGAGAGAAAGGGGGAGUUGCAGCUUUGGUGACUGAGUUUGACAAAUUCGUUGGAGAGAGAGAUGUUGAUGUGACUCACUUAUUUUAGCAUUCUAAAUUUGUUAAGUGGCUGUUGAAUGUAUUACUAUAUAUAUAUAUAUAUAUUUGAAUUUUCCAACUUGAAUUUCAUGACUCACACCUUGACUAAUUAAAUUUGUAAACAUAUAUUUUUUUUCCUUCUUUUUGGGAAAAAUGUUGUGCCUACGAUGUCAUUUAAGGGACACCAACAAAUUAAUAGACUUAUAUGAGAACCUAAACAUCAAAAUAUCAGAACCAUAUUAAACACCGAACUUUUAAAAAUGACAUUUAGUGUCACUUUUGCAAAGAAUAUGACGUGAAAUAACUAAGAGGCCACUUUUUAUUAAGAAUAUGAUAGUGGGGUAAAUUGACCAGUUUUUAUACUUAGAUGGAGAUUUCUAUUAUUUUUUCCGUCUCACAACCGCUAAGUCAGGAAUAGACCUAAGUGUUAUAUAUAUUGUGGCAAAACUUACCUUGACUUUUGUUGAGGCCUAAAUAUAUUUAUAGCCUAGUACGACACCUAAUUUGGGAAGAAACCCAACUUGGGUAUGCAAGAGUUCGUCAUAUGCGCUUGCACACGUGUCACGCCAAGCAAAUAAGCCACACACCACGCUAUAAGCUUAAGUGGGCUCAAGCCACGCGAAUGCCUGGGGCUUGCUGAGUGGGUUAUGGUAUGGAUGGUUAUGAGCAUUCACGAUACUCAUUGAUGGGCCAAGAAAUGAAAGUUUUGGACUGCUUGGGAGCCCUAAAACUUGAGCCCAAAUAUGUGGAUAAGCAUGAAAGAGAGAAAAAGGUAGCCCAUUACCUUAGAAAAUUGGCCCAUCACCUUGGGAAAAAAUAGUCCAUCACUCUAGAAGGUUGGCCCAUCCCCUUAGUAAACUAGCCCAUUACCUUAGGGAAUGGCCCAAGUGGCUUAGAAAAAUCUGAAAGUCUCCAGCACAUGGCUAGAGACAAAACCACGAUAGAAAACCAAGGGAUAGAGACUUGCACAGGCGGCUGGGAAUCUCCAACACAUGGCCAAAGACAAAUUCCAACACAGGCCAUCCAAAAAAUCAAAAGAUACUUGAGCAAAACACCCUUCAAACAGCGUUAUUACCCACUCAUUUCUCCCACCAGCUCUUGCAAUAAAAUGAAGGAGAAAAGAAGGAGAAAGGGUAGUCCAAAAUAGGAGAUGGUCGCAGGGACAGUUGCAGAAGGCUCUAGAGCCUCCAAAAAUCUUGUCUUUUUGUGUUUGGACUAAGAAGGAUUUCAUAAAAUAGGGAUGAAUCAAAGGAAGAGAGGAUAAAUGGGGAGGGAGACUUGACUGAUUUGGGAAGAACUAGCUAGGGUUUCAUGGGAAGAAGGAGCUUUCAGCGCCUAUAAAAGGAGGCACCUUCUACCCAGCAAGGCAAGCAACCCCGUCCAAAGAGAGCAAGCAUCAUCUCUCAUCCCUGGAACCCUUCAAUUUCGAGCCCUAUUCCUCCAUCUCUUUCCAUUUUCUAUUAUGGCAAGCCAUUCCAGAGCCAGAUGAAGCUUUCGUCAAGCUGCCAAAAAAUUGCUCAAACCACCAAGUUUUCUUCCUUCAUAUCUUCCUCUCUCCCCUCAACAAAUUCUCCCAAAAACUCUCUCUUCCCCUUACUCUGGGCCUCUGUUUCUCAUAGGAAACCCAAGCCUUCUCUCUCUCAAGCUAAACUCACGAAUGCUCAGCUCUCAUGCCAAGCCAUAAUAUUUAUUUGUAAGCAACUAUUUGUUUUGUUGGUGAAGAAAGCCAAGGUGUUUUAUAAGGCUCCACGAACCUUUCGAAGCACUCUUGGGGCCUGAUUCUUGAACUCAGAUACAUGGGCAAUUCCAGCCAAUUGCUCUUUACAGCAGCCAAGGCCCAUCUGUAGUUGUCGAAACGAAAAAGCCCCUACAACUUUCUUCAAAACUUCACAAGGUUGGUCAAAUGAAGAUUUGAUCUAGAGGCAUUUCUAACAUAACUAGUCUUCAUUUUGGUGGAGAAACAUGACCAAGAGUUGUAAAUCAUUGUACAAAUAACAAGCAAUAUUAAUGAUUUAUGGAAAUAGAGUUUUUCGCUUACAACUUUUGUUCAUGUGAGUCAAUUUGGAAGUAGAGUUUUUUGCUUACGUUUGAUUAGGUUUAAAUAUGGUGAGUAUGGUUUCACAGUUAAAAUUACAUUUGUUUUACAAUUCAAUAUUUCCUUUUUGGUCAUUUUAUAUUAGGGUGAAUUAGUAAUUCAAUAAAAUAGUUUGAUAAUAGAUGUACUCAGUUAAUUAGGGUUCGUUUAACAACACCCUAUGAUUUGUUUAAUAAAUAGUUUGAGGGGAAAUCAUUUCCCAUGUCAUUCCCUAAGGAAUGGGAAAUGAAGAUUCAUUUCCCACGUUUGGUAAUACUGGGAAAGUAACUGGGAAAUAUCACUUUAUUUCCUUUCCCAUGUUUGUUUUGAGUAGGAAUGGAAAAUAAAGUUUGUAUAAAUUUUCAAUUAUACCCAUAUUAAAUCAAAUAAAAAAAGAAUUGUUAUAAAACUAGAGGGAGAAAAUGUAGAGAGAAGUGAUAUGCCAAAGAUAAAGCUUCACCAUGUUUUUCCUUUCUUAAUCUUUGGUAGAACCACCUAUUUAUAGGCUUACAAGAUAGAAGAUUGAAUACCAUCAUUUACAAUAUACCUAUAGGUUACAAGUACUAAUUACAAAUACUUAAUGCAUAGGUUACAUAAAAUCCAACGGUGGAAUAUUAAGAGGUAUGGUGGUCAUCCACCAACUCAUGCAUUUACAACACUCCCCCUUGGAUGUCCACCAUACAAUGACAUAGUUCUCUCAUUAAAAACCUUGCUUGGAAAACCCAGUGGGACAAAACCAAAGCGAAGGGAAAAAGAGUGAAACUUUCUUCUGAAUCAUUGAUAUGAUGUUGGAUGAGCUUAUAUUGCCUCGUUAAAACCUUGCUAGAAAAAACCCAGUGGGACAAAAACCUAGUCGAAGGGAAAAAGAGUACAACGCGCAUCUGCCUUGAAUGUAGUAGAAUUGGGAUGCUCCCCCUGAUUGAUAUCUCCCCCUGAUUAAUAUCUCUCCUUCUCUGAUUUGAGCAAUACAAGCAACAUUGUCUUCAUACAUGAUCAUCUAUCACACUAUUCAACCUGCUUUUCACUUUUCAAAUGAUUGAAAUCUUUAGGAGUAUCAACAACUAAUUUAGUAGUUAGAAUAUGUUACAACAAUAUCGAAUUUGAAUUCAAAAUACUCAAACUCUUAGUGUUAACUCUUAAUUAAGAAUAUUGUGGUACUUUAUAUCCUUCAAGAGGUUGCUUCAUCCGAUAUAUCUCAAAUAUUUCAUGAGCUUUGAGGAUUUCCAUGUACCAUAUAGUCUUAAUAAAUAUGCAUUUAACACAUACUAUAAGUUUUGCGUUAAAGUAACAACCGCACUUAUAGAAAUGUGGAUGCAUUUACGAUGAGAUUGGAGACUAAAACCACAUGUCUCUCCCAGGAAACCUUAUGUCAUAUUAGUGAUCUUAUUUCACUUCACAAACACCAAUUCGUAACCUUCAUACUGAACAUUUGUAAUUUGGUGUUUGAGUUAUAGGUUCAAUAUCCAACUCUUCUUAUUUAGUGAUAAAUGGAAUUGCCUAUUUCCAUUUUUUGGCCAAUCACUUAACUUGUCGACAUUCAUGAAACGUGAUUUAAUAUAAUCAUAGCCCUUGAUGAUUGUAGUAGCUACUAAUAAACCAAAUGUAUCAUCAAUUUGUGAUCCCACAAUUCUUAUGUGCAUGCACAUGCAUAAUUUAUAAUCAUCUCAUUGCUUUGGGGUACCAAUGCCUCUUCAGGGGCUUAUGUUGUCACUUAUGGGACAAACAUCUCUUUUACAAUGAAUUAUUUAGAAUAUGUGGAUCAUAACCUCCUAUAGAGCGUUAUUUUUUAUAGGGCUUGAAUUUUUCAAAUAAUCUCCAUUUCUAAGGAGUUAAGUCUUUAGAACCUAUAUUUCUGACAUGCUUCAGGCAUGCAUUAUAUAUAUAGUCACCAUGUUAAUGGAUUGUGAUACGAGAAUAUCAAUCCAUGUUAGCAUAUGUACAACUUAUAUAUGCAUUAUCUUGAUGAGACAAAAGCGGAUUGAUUCAACACUAUUUCACGACGUUCUUUAGGAAUUGUCAUUUCUCCCCCUAACGGCGGGAAAAUUGUCUCAAAAUGUAGGAAAAUAAACUCACAGUCGUUAUCAAAUAUGUGACCAUUUUAGUAGGCACAUUCAGUAAAACUGGUGAAGUGAUCCAUAAUUAGAUGUUGUAUAGGCUCACAAAUAUCCCUUUGAAUUAUUUCAGGAAAGAUGGCUCAAAGUCAAUUUUUGACUGAGAUGAUCUUAUGACAGCUUUUAUUUGUGAGCGUUCUUUGUAAUGAUAUUGUUGGACAAGACAAUAAUUUGAGUCUUUAAACGAUGUCCUUACAAAUUUAUAAAAAUCUUAUGCAUCAUUGUGGAACAUAGAUUGCCAAGAUAGUCAUGCCACAACAUAAAAGUUAUUCGGUCAAUGAACUUCUGGUUCAUGAUAUCAUAAUCUUCAACUAAUUUAAUAGUCGUGUAAUAUUGGGGCCUUAUGAACUUUUGGUUCAUGACAUCAUAAACUUCAACUACUUUAAUAGUUGUGUAAUAUUGGGGCCUCAUGAACUUUUGGUUCAUGACAUCGUAAACUUCCUACCCACAAAAGAAAGUAGGAAGUUUCUCCAAUAGACGCCUCUGGCUAUCAAUAUUGGGGCGGUAAUACAAAACAUUACCAUUGUAAAACGAAAUUAAUUAAUAACCUAACAUAAAUAAAAUAAAAUAUAAUAAAAUAAGUAAAGUGGUAUAAACAAGGAAUAAAAUAAAUCAAUUAAAGAUUAUGAAAUUCCAAGAUAAUCUAAUAUUAAUGUGGAUUCAAUAUGUAGAUAAAACUACAAGUUUAAGAAUUGGAUUUCCAACCAAUUCAGGUUCAUAUAGGCACAAAUAAGUAAUGAACUUCAAGUUCAUAUAUAGUAUUAAGAUCCAUGAAAAACUAUGAACUUCAGGUUCAUAUCAAUAUAUAUUCGAAACUUCAAGUACGAAUACGUAGAUCUAAAUAAAUUGAAUUAUUAGUUGUGCUUUGAACUUCAUACUCAAAUCGAUGUAUAUGCACUCGAAACUUCUGGUUCAAGUUCUUGACAUAUGUAGGCCUCAUGGAAUUCUGAUUUUGAUUAAUACAAAAUCGAGGAGUUUUAUGUCCUUAUGUGCUCUUUAAAUUCGCGGAACUUCACGCCCUCAAUUAUUUGGAAUCAAAGAACUUCAGGUUCUGAUUCAAUCAAAAGGACUCUAUAUCCUAAUCUAGUUAUAUUAUGAGGAUCAUGGAACUUCGGGCCCCUGAUCUUUUGUAUAAUUCAAACUCAUCAUAAUAAUUAAGAUCAUACUUAAAAUUAAAUAAACAAACAAAUAAAAACAAAAACAUGGCAUUAUAUUCAUGUGUAAUAAGAAUAAGAAUUUUUUUCUUAAACAAGCAUGAUGAAGUCUGAUGGUGAGUACAAAGAAACUCUAUACCAUGUGAUGACUCUAGCUCAUAUAAGAAGAAAGAAAAUUCAGAGAAAGAAAACAUACCAAGAGCAAUGUCGUGCUGAUAACGUGUUAUAAAACUAGAGGGAGAAAAUGUAGAGAGAAGUGAUAUGCUAAAGAUACAGCUUCACCAUGUUUUUCCUUUCUUAAUCUUUGGUAGAACCACCUAUUUAUAGGCUUACAAGAUAGAAGAUUGAAUACCAUCAUUUACAAUAUACCUAUAGGUUACAAGUACUAAUUACAAAUACUUAAUGCAUAGGUUACAUAACAUCCAACGGUGGAAUAUUAAGAGGUAUGGUGGUCAUCCACCAACUCAUGCAUUUACAACAAGAAUGCAUUUAAUGAUAUAUUGUAAUUCUAAAUUGUUAAUGGGGAUAAAAUGGUCAUAAAAAAUACGUAUUUAAUGCUAGUUUAUUUUCCCAAACUUUCCCAUGAUUAGGAAAAACAAAAUCCAAGUUGGGAGGAUGGCUUCACUUUCCCCUUACUUUCCCAUGAGCUGGACAACGAUUUCCCGUACUGUUUGGGCCUAAAAUCAGCACGCCAAAAGUUCAAAAGACAGGCCCAUGGUAAAAUUACCUGCCCAGCCCGAAAACUUGAGGAUAACAAGAUUAGGAUCCAGACAGGUUGGGCUUCAUGCCAAAAUGUCGAAAACAAAGCCCCAGCCCAAGAAAGACCAACGUGGAAACUUUCAAUUGGGCUUCAAGGAUCAGCCCAUAAUUUUUGUUAGGUUCAAACCCAAGGGAUUAAAAACACACCCACGUGACUACCUCAGCUUUGAAAAGUCAGCAAUUCCAACUAAGUUUAAAAUAUGAGAGGGACAUCUCUGAAACACUGCCAACAGAAGAUCAAAACCCAUCUGUGUUCGAGAUUUUGCUCCAAAUCAAUACACCAUCUUCCAAGGAAUUCACGGGUCACGCUUUCUAAGUUAGAACGGGAAACAGGGAGUUGUUCAGAAAAUACAAAAGAAAACCAACCGCCAUAACAUUUAGCCCGCACAGACGGUGGCGUUGGUUGAAAUAGAAAGCUGCCACCCAGGAAACCAGGGAAGGGACUGUCUUAGGAGGUGACUACUGAGAGCCUAUCUGCCUUGAUUGAUAAAAAUCCCUUUUACUUUACAUUAUGGAGAUCUUUUUACCGCCUAUUAUUAAAAUUUAAACAAAAGACCACCUCCCUAAAAAAGUCUCUUAUAAAAAACAGAAAUAGGCGAAGAAGAGGGGACACUCAAUUGAUCAAUUAAAAAAAAACAACAACAAGAAAUCAACCAAAAGCUCACUUGGAUUCCAAGGGAAACCAGCUUUAGAUCAGAAUUCCAAAGUUCAGACUUAGAAAAUAAGUCUUCUAAAACGAGAUCUUUCUCGUUACAAAUUUGGUUCAGUAAAAGCCAAGGCAAGCAGAGUUUGAGUUUUCACAAACGUGGAGACCUCAGCGAACUUAUGAAGAGUCCUGCUCAAGCAGAACAACACUCGUAGUGCAGUCCCUAGCCUACCAAACCCCCGAGAAUAGCCACUUCUGCCCCUUCAAACUGAAGAAGCUGCAGUUCUGCCCACUCAAAGGCCUCACGAAGCGUGAAGCAAACAUAAAGCUCUGCCAAAAUCGAACUUUGGUAUCGAUUAAUAGCUUAGCCUAGCAUCUGAAGUCAUGAGGCAGUACGGACCGGCCCAGGCGCGUCCAGUCCAGCCCAAACCAGAGCCUUCCAUCCAAGCAGAAGCAGAGUUCCGGCCAUCUUUUAACCCUCCUAGCGUUGAUAUGCAUAUUUAUUGUUUUGUAAAAGGCAGUUCUGCCUAAGACAGUCCAAUUUCUAUCGAAUAUUUCUGGCCAGAACAACCAUUUGAUACUGAGAUAAAUUAUGAAAGUCCUCACCAGUCUGAGGCAAGAAAAGAACUUACUUGAGAGAUAUUCCUCACCCAAAUUCACAAUCAUUUGUUUUAGAAGUCAGUAACUUGGGGCGCAAGUUAUCCACUCUAAAAAGAAGUCUGCUAGGAUUUACAUUGCUAGCAGUGGCACGCUCACACACCAAAGAAAGCUGACUUGUCGACCAACAAAUGGUCUCCAAGCCAGUGGGGAACUUCGCCCUUCCAUCUCAGGAGUAAACACAAAACGGGUGAACACGUACCUAGACUUAUCAAAUAUGAUAAAGCAAUUGAUUUCCUAUUUCCAAGUCUCAUUUUUCAUCAACCAAACGUGCCUAGGAGCAAAUAAGAGCAAUAGUGAAAGACAAGCUAACACGGGGAAUGGCCACAUGUGAUAAAACACCGACCAAAAUCAUCCAAUAUUAAUGACCGUUGGGGAAGUUGGCACAAUCCAAAACCUAUUAAUGACACCCAACUCGAAACCUCAACUGUACCAAUUAAUGCCUUUUCCAGUCUCUAUUGUCACGCUUUCUCCCUUCAAUGAUUCAAUCACAGCUUCAUCAUCGUAGCCUUCAUUUUCUCACCUCCAUUGCACUCUCUAGUGCCUAGCUAGUAGCUAGCUUCAACUUCUCAUCAUUAUAUCCACCGCCAACUACAAUGUCUGCCCUUGGACGGCUAGGAAUUUAAGUGAACGACCCAAUACACUUUUAUGACCAAAGCUUUGUAGUUUCCGACAAGGUUGGUAUUAUUGACCUCUCUCUCUCUCUCUCUCGUUUCUUUAUUUAAUUGCUAACUUGUACCAAGUGUUUUUGAAGUUUAUGGUUGGGUAGAUGAACAACCUCAGGCGGACAAAACAAGGAUAUAUUUUGAAUAUUGGGUUUCUUUUUUUGGCAUGUUCUUUGAAACUCUUAAACAGAGAAAGAGACCUGCAUGCGUAAAAAUCCUUUUUCUUGUUUGUCUCAGUUUGCUGAAUUUGGGUAGGAACAAAGCUUGAUUGGUGGGUCUGAAAAUCUGAGUGAAAAGACCAAAUACAGUGCUAUUUAUUGGCGGCAGAUUUUUGUCAUUUCAAGCAUAGAUUUCAGCAGUGUGUAUAGGGAGAGAGAUACAUAAAAAUCAAAGUGGGUUGUUCUAGAGAUCUAUCUAGAGAUUGGUAUUAUAGAAGAACCUGUAUACAGUAAGUGCAUUUGGUUGAUACCUUAGGGGAAUUUGAGUUUUCUCUGUUAUUGUUGAUAGUGUGAUUUUACUUGGAUAUAGAUGGUGGGGAGCAUUGAGACUUUGAAUCGUAAUUUGUACUCAAAUGGAUCUAUUCAGAACUGUAAUAGUUUGGAAGAGAAACUUGACGAGCUCCGGAGCCGCCUUGGCAAGGGUAAUGGUGAUCCAUUAAGAAUUGUUGGUGUUGGGGCAGGCGCUUGGGGCAGUGUUUUUGCCGCUGUGUUGCAAGAUAGCUAUGGUCAGUUUCGAGACAAGGUCCAAAUAAGGAUAUGGAGAAGACCAGGAAGAGCUGUUGAUAAAGCAACAGCUGAACUUCUUUUUGAAGUGAUCAAUUCAAGGGAGGAUGUAUUGAGGAGGUUGAUCCGGCGCUGUGCGUAUUUGAAAUAUGUGGAGGCAAGGCUGGGGGAUCGAACACUUUAUGCAGAUGAGAUUUUGAAAGAUGGAUUUUGUUUGAACAUGAUCGAUACGCCACUGUGUCCCUUGAAGGUUGUAACCAGUUUGCAGGAGGCUGUUUGGGAUGCUGAUAUUGUGGUGAAUGGCUUGCCUUCUACUGAAACACAAGAGGUGUUUGAAGAGAUUAGUAAUUAUUGGAAGGAAAGAAUCACAGAUCCUAUUAUCAUCUCUCUAGCGAAAGGUAUAGAGGCUGCACUAGAGCCUCUCCCGCAUAUCAUAACUCCCACGCAAAUGAUUAACCGGGCAAGUAUGUUUAUCUUCUUUUAAAUUUAACUGUCAACCUCUGGUAUCUUGGCUUUAAAUUUUCAGUGAGGUGGAAAAAAGGAAGGAGAGAUGGUUUUUUGGGUUUGGUUUUAUCUUUAGCUGAUAUAGUAAAUGUGAGUCAAUUUUGGGGAGUGGACAAUCUUAUAAAACUUUGCAAGUAAAUGUGAAGGUUUUAUCUUUAGCCGAAUUAGUAAAUGUGAGUCAAUUCUUGGUGUUUGUUCCAAAAUGUUUUCUUAAAGAAUGACAACUUUUCCAAUCUUAUGUUAUAUUGAAGUCCUGAUCAAAACACAAUCAAGAAAAAACUAUUCUAUAUAAGGAGUUUUACAAAAUCUAUCAAGCAGAAAAAACCAUUCUGCUAAGAAAACUCUACAAACCGUCAAUGAAAAUGGAGCCUCAAGAAAAAAUUGAGCUUAUCAAUACAAAAGCUGGAGAAAUGCAAUCAGAAAUAUAGACUCUUUAGUGCACCCAAAGCCGAGAUGGUAUGCUUGAUAAGAUAGAGAUCAAGGGACAAAUUCUUCUUGUUUUGUGUGUAUCAUGAAGUGGCAUCUUACACCUUAUACCAGAUAAUGUAUGCUGAUUGUUUGAACUGAUAAAUAUUAGGUUUGCUUCACAAAUUUAAUUCCAUAUUCUUUUCUAUAUGCCUGGCAGCUGGUGUACCUAUAGAGAACAUACUUUAUCUGGGUGGCCCAAAUAUUGCCUCAGAGAUCUACAACAAGGAAUACGCUAAUGCUCGAAUAUGUGGAGCUGAGAAGUGGAGAAAACCACUUGCAAAGUUUUUAAGGCAACCCCAUUUUAUCGUCUGGGACAAUAGUGAUCUUGUUACACAUGAAGUCAUGGGUGGCUUAAAGAAUGUCUAUGCCAUUGGAGCAGGUAAGUCUCAGGUUCAUUCUGAUAAAUAUAUCACAUACAAUAAAUGCAGCAUCUAAAUCGUCCAACCUCUCAAAUCUAAUAAAAAGAAAUGAGAUGUCUGAUAUUCUGCUUUGUAAUUGGUGUUCAGCUUCAUUUAAGUAGUGGUAACUGUUGUUCAGCUUUUCGGAGCUUCAUACACCUGAUACUGUAUAAAUGAGGACAGAUUUGAAGAUGUAGUGAUUUUGCAAAAACAAGACACUAGAUCAUAUAAAAGCAACAAUAAUUCUCUUAGAGUGCGUAUGUUAGAUUCAGAUGAGAGACUUACUGGGACAAUAUUGAUUUAUGCUAAGAUGGAUAAGUUUAGAUUUAAAUCAGAGGUUAUCCUGAAUCCCUGCUCUGAUUGAUGAGCUGGCAUUACAGUUUCACAUGGAAUAAUUACAAUUGGCUGUUCAUACACUGCCAGAAUAUUCUUGCCAGGACAAACAUGAAAUUUGUUGUAUGAGAACAGUAGUUGGCCUGCAUUCUUAUAGAAGCUUCUGGGAAUAGUGAUAAAUCAAUAAAAUCUAAAGUUAUAUGCUAUAAUAUUGGAUUGGAAUAUCAUAGCAUAUUAUAAAUGAAUUCUUCUGGUUUGCAACUUACAUCCGUUUUUCAUUUUGAUCAUCUCAGGGAUGGUAGCAGCCCUCACAAAGGAGAGUGCUACCAGCAAAUCUGUAUAUUUUGCACAUUGUACCUCAGAGAUGAUAUUUAUUACUCACUUGUUGGCAGAAGAGCCUGAGAAACUUGCUGGGCCUUUGCUGGCUGACACAUAUGUAACCUUGUUGAAAGGCCGUAAUGCAUGGUACGGGCAAAUGCUAGCCAAAGGGGAACUAAAUCGGGAUAUGGGUGAGAAUAUCAGUGGAAAAGGAAUGAUUCAGGUACCGAUUGUGAAUUACUCUUUCCUUCUAAAACCGCUGUAAGAUGCAUUCCUUUUAAGCUAAGGUAUUCGCCACAUUUAGAUAGCGAUGGUACUAGUUAGGGUGCGUUUAGAACCAGCCUGAAGAAGGAACAAAUGCUCAAAAUCAUGAUACUUAUAUUGGUUUAUUUGGAACUGUGAAAUCAAUCUUUAAGAUGUAGAAACUUUUUAUGUUCGUCCACACUGCCUAAUUAUUAGCAAAAACAAUGAUACAAUUUAUACUGCUAUAGUGAAGAUAGAUAGUUCUCACUCAAUGCUGGAAAUGACUCAUGCAGAUGGGAAAGAUAUGUGUUAUUAUUCAUUUAUAAGUUAUCAAUAAUUUCAUUUCUCAUUAUUCCGAGCCUCUCUGCUUCUAGGGUGUCUCUGCAGUCAAAGCAUUUUAUGAACUUCUCAGUCAGUCAAGCCUAAAUGUAUUGCAUCCUGAAGAAAACAAGCCAGUUGCUCCUGUGGAGCUCUGCCCCAUCUUGAAGACGCUAUAUAAAAUAUUAAUAACAAGGUAAUUUCUGGCCAACUUGUAAUCCAUUUUCUUACCUGAAGGCAUUUUGUCAAACAUAAAGGAUAAAAAAUAUUCACCGUGAUAAAUUAUACUAAGAGGUGUUUGUGUGAUCCGAAAGAUCACCCUGCAUUACUUGGUGUAACCUAAAUCUUGUUUGGCAGUUGUCUUGACCUGGCACAAAGUUUGUGUUCCUCCUCCCCUUCUAUUCUUAAAUGUUGUGCCUAUGCAUCUGCAAAUUAAGGCUAGAUUGUGUCUUUUCUGUUAAUUUACUAGUAUAUCAAUUCAACCAUGCAUAUUGCUUGAUCUCCAGGGAGCAAUCAUCACAAGCUAUUCUUCAAGCGUUGAGGGAUGAAAACUUGAAUGAUCCCAGGGAACGCAUUGAGAUUGCACAGAGCCAUGUCUUCUAUAGGCCCUCACUUCUUGGGCAGCCUUUGACUAGUUUUCCAUUGCAAGAUAAAGUGGCAAUAUAACCUUGUGGAAGCAUGGUAUUAUUGGACUUGCAUGGUGAAAACAAGCGCAUUGGUUUUCGAUACAUGUUUAAUUUGAUAAAUAAAUAAAUAUAUAUAUGUUAAAUGGACUUAUUUUUAGCUUCCUAAGGAUAUGAUAGUUGAGUGAUGGACUGAAGAGGAGCAAGUCGUUGUAAUCUGCAACCUGCAAUCUGUUUGGUGGCUCUGGUUGAUUUGCAUGUAGCACACUAAUGCAAUGGCAAACCCGAAAACUUCUCUAUAAGGUGCAGCAAACCGAAACUUCUCUACCCUUGCUUUUCGGCUGCGAAGUUGCCGUCAGCCCAAGUGAUUGUCAUAACUGUUGAGUUUAAGAAGUUGCAGUGGCCAAGACGGUUGUAUAGGGAGCUGGAUUUACAUUGUAUCGUGCAUUAUAUUAUAAGAUGCCAAAAACGAUGUAUCUCAUAUUUGUAUAGACUUGCCAUGGAAACAGAAAAACUUCCUUUUCACCUCUAUUUCUUAUGUGUGCACUCCUGCCCCAAUUUAUCGUCAAUAGCAACAUAAUAUAUCACCAAGUUGAUCAAAACCUGUGUCCAAAUCCAUUAAAAAUAACUUCCAUGAAAUCCCAAUAGGCCCAAGCAAAGGACUCUAGGUCUUGAUUUUGAUUGUUGAGCCCCUCCCAAAGACAUACUUUGGUCAUGUGUGGCAGAAGAUCCCUCAUCGCUGAUAGUAGGAGUAGGCUUGAACAUUUUUGUAGGGUUUGGGGGCUGUACUUUGAUCUUGUAUGGGAAAUCCAAGAAAUAUACACGUCAUUAUUUAAGAGGGAAUGCCAGGGCACAGGAACUUGGAGGUGGUGUUGGUGUUUAGGCCCAGGUUUGGGUUCACCCGUCACACUGAAAAAUUACUUGAUUUGAAGAAGAGCAAAGUCAUUCUGGGCCCCAUGCUACCCAAAUCCCACGAUUAGCAGAUUGAGCCAUAUCAAUUCUUCUAACCCUACCAGUGUCUUUUCAAGGUAUAUGAUAAUUGAGAAAGUAAAGAACAAAACGGGCACAAGAGAGGAAGGAUUAAAAAACCACGAAACUAUAUACCCAGUAGUAGUAGAUAGCAAUACUUAAUUAUCUUCCAAACUUGGAGAUUGUAUACAACCGCGAAUCUUCACCCCUUAUGUACCACUUCUCUAAUGGCGAUGGAGUUCACCAAUACAAUGGGCUUCGCCUCUAUUAAGAGGUCGUACACAAGAUGGUCUACGUACCAUUUCCCUUGUUAUAUUGCUACAUUUUAAAACCGCACAUCAACCAUAGGAUCUGGGUUGGGAAGUGUACAGGUAGCAGACAUAUACGGGCACUUGAGCUUGCAAUCAGUUGCGUUUAGUUACAUUAAUUUUCGUUAAUGUUCUGAAUUCAAGGUAAAAUCAUUGCAAACUUGAAAAAUAAAAUUUAUCGUCCUUGUCCAGCAAAGAGCCAGUGCUUGAUAGAUAUAACAAAAUGUCUGCCCUAAAGAAAGACUGACCCAAAACAAACCACCAUUACACUUUACUGCUAGAAAAAUAAUCAUAAGCUCCAAAACACGUUCUACUCAAUAAAAUACGAAUGGAAUAUGAAUUAAAUAGCGAGGUUAACAGAAAUGAAAUAGUUGUAUACUGUCAAAAUUAUGACCAGACCAUUUCAGUAAACACAUGAUACAUACAACAAUUUAGAGCACAGAAAAUUCAGGCCUGACCAGUGAUAUCCAUAGCUUGCAGUAUGAUCCGGUAAAGGCGGUUUGCUUUCUUUUCCUCUCAAUGGCAAUACAGUCUGACAACUGAGUCUGCACCCGCAGUGAACAACCAUGGCUGCCUUGGAUGGAAUUUACAGUCCAUUACACCUGCAUACAACCAGUCAAUAAAAGAUUUAGGUCUUAUUUUUAGUUUGAAUUACACCCAGAAACUGAGUUGACUAUAAAUUUGGCCUGCAACUUGGAACGUUCUAUUCGCCAACUCCUAAUCGCAUAUUAUCAAAUCCGAAUUCUAGAGAAGGGGCCUUGAACAUAUCAUACGUUAAAAAACAUUCACGCUGGUGAAAGUAUGUUUAAUAUGAUGCCCAGCAUUCAGUUAACCUUUUUACCCAAUCACUGGCAGCAUUUCUUUCAUCUUGUUAAAAUACCCAACAGAAUACAAACAAAAUAAAGCUAUAGGGCGCACCUCUCCCAUUCGUGCUCGAAUGACCGCGGAGUAUUUCCAAUGGAACAAUAAGAGGGUUCUGGUUAAGAUCUGAAUAAACCAUCCCAUGGAAAACAUAUGCGGUGCAAUCAUCUGAGCAUGUUGCAAACAGGGGGUACGAGCGAUGGAAAGACACAUUGUUGAUGUCCUUCUGAUGCAACCUGAUAAAUGUUCAAAAUGUCAGAAGAAAAACAAUAUAUGAGCAAAAAUCAGGCAAAUAGAAUUUGAUGUGUAUGCAUAUUUGGUUUGAUGUUUGUGUAUCUAUUAGAUAACAUCUUCCAGAAAUCUACGCAUUAUCCAUUUCAGAGAUUGUAAAAUUUAAAGUAAACCAGUGUCAUGCAAGAAAGUAUUAACCCCCUCUCCAAAUAACCAAAAGAAAAGACCCUACAAUUCAUUUAUUUAUUUUGCAUAAUUAUUUGAAAAAGAAAUGUGUGACAUACUUGAGAGUUUUGUAGGGUUUAGAUGAAAGGUCCAUGUCGAACCAACAUAGUUUUCCUUCUCCGCUCCCCACAAUUAUAUGAUCACCUGCAUUAACAGUACAACCAGAUAAAUCAGAGUACCGUUCACACACAACUGUUACGAAGAAUAGAACAAAGAAUGGACUCAAUCCAUUCAGUUGAAUAUAGUUAGCAAAAUUUAAUUAAUAAAUAUAUAUAUAUAAUAAUAAAAACUACCAGAAGGAUGAACUGCAAUAGAGGAGAUUUCACGUAGUCCAGUCUCAAGUUUUUUGACAAGCUUUCCCUCCUUCACCAGAUCGUAAACACGAAUAAUCUUCUUUGUUGAAAUGAAGAAGAAGGAACGUGUAGGAUGAAAAACUGAAGUAACAGCAGGCCCUUGCAACUUGAAUGAAAGUGUCUGGGUAAACUUCUUAGAGAGCUUGUGUAUAAAAAUAGCUCUUGAUUCACGUAAAGCCAAAGUCAAGAAAAUCCGAGGAGAUGACUAAUUUGAUGUAACUUUGUUUUGUUAUCAGAAAUUUAAUAAUAACUCAUGUACAAACAACAAAUAUAAACCUCAUUUCCCAUACAUGUCUAAGAAAUAAAAACACAUACCUAAACCCAUCUGUGUCGUGCUUAAAGUAGCAUAUAAUAUAAAAAUAUGUGUAUAUAUGUGCAAAAAGGAUAUCCGCUGGCAUCACUGUCGAAAAGUAGUCUCCUUUACGAUGCCAUUCUACUGCAGUCACGGUCUGCAGGAGCCCAACAAAGAAAGCAGUUAGAAUUCUUUGUAGAAAGACCAACCUUCUAAUCUUGACUUCAGCUUAAGAAACUUAUAAACUUCCACAACCACAAAUAAAUUGGUGAAGGAAAAGGCCAAGUACCUUGGAGUGCCUUAACCUGAUUCCCUCGAGUUUAUCAUCUUGAAGCCAGCUUACACUGGAUGCUGUUUUGCCUAUGUAAGCAGAACAUAUUUUGCAAAGGUUAGAAACCAUUCAUUUGAUCUAUGAUACUGAAAGCUAUGACGAUCUCACACUGACCAGAGUCAUCUGGCAUAGGCAUCUCAACAGAGAGAAGUUCUUUUGUACUUUUCUGUACUUCUUCAUUCCCACAACCAGUGUUCAAAAGAAGUACGUCUUGUCCCCUAAAAUUUACCGACAGUUAAUUUACAGUUAGGUAGCAAGAUCCCCAAUGAAACAAAUGUAAAUGAAAAAUAAACCCAAAAAUAAAUGCAGCCUUACGCAGAGACAGCCAGUAUAGAAUGCUCGGGAUUAGGAUUCCAAGAAACAUAUUUGACGGCUUCACCAAUCUUCCAGUGUUUUAGACAUCUACCAGUUUCAACCUCCCAAAUACGCACAGUUCCAUCCAAUGAACCUGUAAGAAGAACAGAUGAUGAGACCUACAUCCGAUUUCAAUUAUGUUACUGAAUGCAGCAAAGAAUUAAGAAUGUCAUCCACACCUGAUGCAAUCCAUUGCCCUGAAGCUUCUACAGAAAUUGAUGUAACUGCAUCUUCGUGACCUCUAUACUCAAGAUAACAUGAUACAGGGUAAGGCUUGAGAUCAUUUCGGUUUGGUAGCUUGGGCUUCAGAGACUCAGGAUCGAUAUUAAGCUGGAACAUUAAAGGAUAUACUUUGAAUAAUUUGAUCCUUGUCCUCAUAUGAGUAUAAGUAGAUUGUACAAAUUGAAACAUCUUGCAAAACAAUCAAAACCCAAACAAAUAAUCACUGCGGAAUCUUUUCCUCAAUCAGGAUUAUUCACUUACGCGUUUUUUCCGGACUCUGGGGCACAAAUAUAGAUCCAAACAUCUUUCAAAGCAUUCCUUAACAGCAUUCUCAUAUGCAGGGAUGCUUCUCAUAGAUGUAAACCUACCAAAUAUGAUAACAGUGUGCUUAUUAGAUGCUGUAUUAUCAGAAAGAGUAGCAAAUUACGAUUAGUCCAAAUUUCAAGUCACAUUGAAUAUUACCUUUUAGGUAUAAAUUUAGGACGGUCUUCCUCGUACAUUAACUGAUAAGAAUUGAUCUCUUCUUGUGUUGGGAUGUAUUCUAAAGAAGGAUUGAAGGACUCCUCAUGACCUAAAUGCAAAAAAUAAUUUCCAUCAAGUCUCAAGUUACUUCAUGCCAGCAAAAAAGAAUUGCUCUAUAUCUGACUUUUCACAAUCCUCAUAAUAUGGAAGAAAAUUAAUACCAGGCAAUUUUGGUUUUGGUGCAGGAAUGUAAGAUAGAUGAUCAUUCUUUCCCGUUGAAUUAGAGUCAUCUCCCCACAAGGGAUAAACACUUUCUUCUUCUUCUUCCUCCUCUUUGGACUUUUUAGGCUUAAUUAAACCCUUACGAAUGGCCAACUUGAUCUUAUUAACCUGUAGAUUCAUCAGAAGAAGUGCAUAAGACGAACAGGAAACCAUGUUAAAUUAAAAUAAUAAGUUUUCCAAUCAAACAAACUCUAGUACAUUUGUUUAACUCAGCAGCUGAGUUGAAAAUAAAAUAAAGCUACAGAAGAAAGAAAAAGGAAAGAAAACACCCAACAGGAGCAAUACAUUAAAAAUGCCUUACCAGUUUACUUUCAGAUUUUGAAGGAAUGAAUCGUCUCUUGGGUUCAGGUGCAUUUGACAGUGGAUGCUUGGAGUCGUCCCAUUUAAACCAAUCAACAUAUGGCUGCACUUGAAACAUGGAGAAUUUAACUUCAACUUAAAAUGAGGAAUUCAUUUGUAAGAAAGUUCCUAUAAAUAGCCAUGUACUGCAGUCAUAUGAAUAUUACUAUUUAAACAAUGAGAAUAUCAUAUUAAUUAGAAUUGGAUGAGUGUUAUCUACAGACCGCAUAAGGAUCAAAGUCACGAUGCGGAGCCUUUCCUUCGAGCAAUCUACUUAUAGAUUUGAUAUCUUCUUUCGUGAGUUCUACAUCCUCAUCGUUAUAUUCAUCAUAAAUUUUGCGCCUGAAAAGUAACAAAACCAGAGUAAACAAUAUACACUUGAAAAUUGUAGAUAUUUAACAUCCUUUAAUUGAAUGCUAUCAACAUAUUAGAAAUAAAAGCACACCAGUUCUUCGAAUCAUCAGCACUAGCAAGAAAGGAUUGCAAUUUAUCUUCUUUUUCCUUCUUCUUUAUCUUCUUCCCUGUAAUGUCAUAACCAAUAUGUUUCUCAUCCCGAUACCACUCCAAGGGGACAUCACCAACUGUAUUUCGAGGAACCACCUAUUAAAAACAGAAAAAAGGAGAGAGAAGUCACUUGAGUGCAUUCAGGUAACUAUACCAUAUAAAAUCACAUUUAAUUUGCUUAUGAUAAGAAUAAAACAACAGACCUCAUCUUCAGAUGAAUCACUCUCCUCAACUCCUUCAUGAAGUUCAGAACUAUCACUUUCGUCAUCAUUACCAUGAUCAUUGUUGCUUGUGUUGAGAACGUCCUGCCAUGGUUAUAGUUAAAAAUAUUAACGCACAGUCAAAACAACAAACUUCUUGAAUCAAACCGGCUUCAUUGUUCUACCAAAUCAUGGAAAUUAAUUACCUAUAGUGUAGCUUUAUAAUAUUUGAAAUCAAAGUAACAGCUAAAAUGGCAUGGAAAAAUAAGCCAUAUCUUUACAUCUUUAAACCUUUUUUUUCCUUCAUAUUUCCACUAACCUCAUUUCCAGAGGAACCACUCUCUUCAUCUUCUGAGUCUGAGCCUCUGAUUGAUGGAUAAUCAUCCGAGUCAUAUCCUUCGCUAUCAGACAUAUCCUAUAAUCACAAAAAGCUAGCUCUUUCAUUUCCUUGAAAACAAAGCUCAGUAGUAGGAAAAGAAAAAGGGUAAUUCCUUAUGUCAAAUUGUAGGUUCUAUUGAAAAAUUUCCAAUUUGGCAUUAGAAUCAAUGAUCACAAUCUAAAACCAAAAAAAAAUGCGAACCGCUCGUAAUUAAGCUAAAUUGUUGUGCGAAGUGAUAGAGCCGGGAUUCAAAAUUGGGGCGUGCUGAUCUUCAUAACUACUUCUUUUUAACAUUCCCAAAAUUACAUUUACUCAUUUUCAUAUCUAUAUACAUAUACAAAAACUUCACCGUACAACAAGAAGCAAAGUUUUGAGAAAAAAAAAGAAAAAAAAAAGAAGAAAAAGCAUACGCCUAGCCAGAGGAGAGAAGGCAGAAAAUGGAUAGAAGCAGGCGAGAAGAAACUGAAGGCACACCUCUGGUUUUCUGGUACAGCGGCUGCAAACUCCUCUCUUCUCUCUCUUCCCCUUCUCCUCAAUCAGAGACUAUGAAAACUGAAAAACCCUAAACCCCAAGGUAAGAGAAGAGACGAGAGAGGCUUAAGUUUGGGGGAGGCGCUGCGCUGAUGUUUAAUGAAUGAUUUUUUCAUAUUACCAAAAAUACCCUUUAUCAACUUUAGAAUUUACAUCAAUUGCCCCCAAGUAUAUUCACGUUCUCUCUCUUCCUCGUUUUCUCUUCAGUGCAGAGCUCAAUUUCUCUCCCCCUUCUCUUCCAUACUUUCUUGGCUUAAUUACACCAAUGCCCCUGAAAAUUUGAUCAAAUCCCAUUUUACCUCCUCAAACUUAAAAUGGCCCACUUUUAUCGUUUGACCGAGGUUUGGUAUGGUAACCCACUUUGCCCUUGCCGUCAACUCCAUCCAAAAGUAUGUUAACUUUGAUGAUGUGGCAUGUGUGUUUUUGUAAUUUUGUACACAUAGAUCAUUAUCCACCAAUUGAAUAGGUGAUGUAGCAAGUGAAACCCAACCUGGCUCGGCCCGUUAGUUAGUGGGUUGGGAUUAGGCUUGGGCUAGAGGAUUUAAAGCCCAACCUGGCCUAUAAACUCGACCCGUUUAAGCCCAAGAAGAUCCAUCCUUGCCCGCCCAUCAAACCCCGGCCCGCAGGCUCGCCCAUCAAACCUCGGCCUGCAGGCCCAUAUAUAUAGGAUUUUUCAGAGCCCAAUAUCUAGAAUAGCUGCUAUUUCUCUAAUGCUUCAAAAAUUUUAUUUCAACUCAAUACCUCUCCAUAUAAAAGUAUUUAUUACAGAUAUCCCUUAUCAUCUCUAAACCUAAACUAGCUGCCCCCUUCUUUCUCCCGUCUUUCUCCUUAAAUGCUAUAUGCUUGUAAGAGAGAGAGCUUUGUCUCUCUCAUCUCUCUCUUGCACUCAAAGAGAGCUCUGUUGUGUUGACUGCUAAGAAGAUGGUGACGUUGAUGACUUCACGGCAGAGAGAAACACCAUGACAUCUCCAAUAAGCAGUUAUCUACCAAUUUUCACCAUUGGAAAGAAGAAAUAUGAGUGUGUUUUCAUCUUUUUGAAUCACUAACUCUCUGUAUUUUAUCUUAUUGAUUCUGGUUCUUAUGUAAUAAUAAUAAAAAAAGUAUUAUUGAUUCUUGUUCUUGGAUGCUUGUUUAAUAAUAACUCUCUAUAUUUGGUAUCAGAAAGGGCGAAAGACAGACAUGAAAUCGGUUUCCUUUGAUGUGAAUUUCUUAGGUCUCUCAUCCUUUGAAUUGGGUUCACUUCUUUCUUAAAAUUCAUUGUGGCGUUCAUAUCACUUGUUGGAAAAUAUUCUAGCUAUUAGUAGCAACAAACCAAGUCUUUUAUGAUUUUUGAGAGAACACGUUACACUUAGUUUCAUCGCUUCUGAGAUGCAACAUAAAUAAAAAAUGAAGGUGUAAUUCAAAUUUUUUUGUAAUUUAAUUUUCGUUCUUAUAUAUAUUUUUGUUAUUGGGUUGUAAUUUUAAAUUUAAUGUUUGGUUGUUUUAUUAUUUUUGUCUAAGGCAACUACGAACAUAGAAAAAAUGGGUAUAACAUAAAUAUAGGAAAACGGCAAAUAAGUAAAAAUAUAGAAAAAGAAGAGAAGAGAAGAAAGGAACAAAAAAAGAGGAGAAAAAACAUAUUAAGCCCAUUUUGCCCCGGGUCAAUAGGGCCAACCUAUUAGAAUAUAUGCCCCAGAAGCCAAUAGAAAAUUGGAAAUUCUAAGGACAUAAUAUUAAAUAACUAUAAUCAAUAGAGCAUAAAAAAUUCUUUAGGAAACUUAUACAAACCACAAAGUAACAAGUCCAUGGAUAGGGAUAUAAAUGGAAAGCAGUCUAAAGAAGUUAGAUUCACGACACCUUUCAAUCAUAUAAAUAUAUAUAUAUAUAUAUAUCGUAUCCUAAAAUGUUCCUAGUCAUAGGAUCACCAAUUGGACAAAGGUGACCUGUAAAGACUGGUACACACCACGUCUGCUCAAUUGGGAGGAUGACUAGUCUCAUGUCAUUAGUGUGGAGACACUAAGAUAAGUGUGUAGGUGCUCUAUAGAGAUGGAGUUCACUAAGAAUUCUUGUAUAGAAGUCUUACUCACAAGUGUCAAACAAGUAAUUCUAAGUUGCGAUAAUACAAAUUAGUCCUCAGGUCCUCAAACCUGAGACAUCACAGUUGUCUUGUGUAUGAGUUGUUUGUCUUUAAAAACACUAUACAGUCAUGUCAAAAGGAUGUGACCUAAAGAUGCUCCUCGGGAUAUCCAACAUAUCCACAGAGGCAUGUGAAUGUACAACAAUGAAUCUCUACUCUUAAUGAGAAGAGAGAAUACUGUAGAGAUAUGAUUCAUUGAAUCUUUGACCAAAGUAUAAGAUGAGAAUUAAAACAAUAAUGUUUGCAAUUACAAGUUAAUCAUAUAACCUAGAAAUGUUGUAUUAGGGAUUUGACGUGAGUUAACCAUAUCCCAACAAUACAACAUAUAGUAUUGUGUUAAAGAAUGACCGAAUUACAUUGCAAUCACAAACUGACUAGGUUCUCUAAAUGAAUUCUAUUUAGCUUGAGUAACCAUGACAUACUACUAGGGGUCACUUUUAUGGAAGCCAUGUAAGGACUAAUUAUAAUUAGCCUUUGUCAAUAGGAGAAUUGCUGGAGGGAUGCAAUUCACAUUUGAUUUAGAAGAAAUCAUACUUACCCAUGACCUCUCUAAUUAGAACCUAUAAGAUUAUACACCAAAAAAGAGUGGAUUGAGAAUUAAGAAGAGAAUAAAAGAUUAUGAAGCUUGGUCAAAGUCAAAGUCAAAGUCAAACUGUUGACCCAACAUUUGACGUGGUCAACAAAGGUUGACUAUGAACAACCGUUGUUAGACAAGUUAGUUACUUAAUUUAUUAAAUCAUUAAACUAAUUAAAUAAAUUAGAAUAGUUUAACUAUUCAAUUGAAGUUAUGGAACUUUGAUUGGGUCUCACAUAAUUUAAAGAGUUAUAGAAAUGGACCGUAUGACUUUAGCCAUGUGUGACACAUUAUAGGAUAAAUGUGAAUGACCUAGAUAGCCCAAAAAUAGGCCACUAAAGGGGAGAUGCGGUACAAAUGUGGGUCUAUAUAUAGAAGGCCAUAGCAUCAUAUCAUCUUAGGGUUUCAAGUUGGAAAUUUGGAAGAGAGGAAAUAUCACACAUCUCUCUCAAUACCCCUUUGGCAGGCCACUUGGUGGACAAUGAGCUAGCACUUUCUUCUCUCCAAGUUUUCUUGUUCUCUCAUCCCAACCAUCCUUGGUGAAGAGCUUUGGGGAGGUGCACAUCUUUAUACCCAUUCGAAGAACCAUAGUAUAGAAUCAACAACAAAGAGAUAUAGAAAUUGUUGGUGUGGGAUCAUGACGUACGUCUCAGAAGCAAUUAUAUCAAUUAGGCUAAUGUAGUCUGGGGUGUGACUGAUGAUAUUGUGGGGAAGCUACCCAUUUGCAUAAUGAGUUUGUUUUCUUCUUAUGGUAUCGGCCUUUGGAUAUUGGAGUAUGCUUGCAACAUUCGUGCACAAGGUGAAACGGUCUAUUUUCGUUUACAUGUGCGGUAUGCUUUCCUAUUAUCCUAUAUUACUGCAUAUUUAGUAUGUUAUUUAGGGUGAUGAGAACAGGGGACGAGGGGAUAAGCCAAAUGGGACAGGGAAUGAGGUUGAUGAUGGUCAUGAUGAUGUUGCAGUUGUUCCUGUUGUCUUCACACAACUAUCUCUCCUCCAUCAAUGACUAUUUCUCCUCCACCAGCAGCAACAUGAACAACAUCAUCAUCACCGUCACCAUCAACAACCCCAUUCCCUGUCUCAUUUGGCUAAUCCCCUUGUCUCCUAUUCCCAUCACCCAAAAUAACAUACUGCAGAUGCAGUAAUAGAGUAUAAUAGGAACCCCUAAUCUCUUGGACCACAGGGGUCCAAGAGAUUAUGGUCACCCAUCAUUGGAUUUUAAUCUAACGGUUCAAAAAAAGUUUCUUAAAAUGAGUGCAAGAGUGAGUGAACCGUUGAAUUUACAUCCAACGGUGAGUGACCACAAAUCUCUUGGACCCCUGUAGUCCAAGAGAUCAGGACUGAUAAUAGGAAGGCAUAUUGCAUGCACAAAAAAGAAUAGACCAUAUCACCGGGUGCAUGAACGUUGCAAGCAUACUCCAAUAUCCAAAGGUUGAUACCAUAAGAGCAACUCCACCCAUUUUCCAUGGCAAAGGGCAAGGGAGGGCUAGGGCAGAUACUAUUCACAUGAAUAGUGGUUGCCCUUGCAAAAAGCAAUGUGUGUUUCCACCCUUUGCCAUGGCAAAGGGCAAAUACUAUUCAUUUUUCAUUUUUUUUUAUCUAAAUAAUUAAUUAUGAUAAUAUUUUUGGAUAAGAUUUUUGAGUUCGUACGUGUCAAUAUUUAUUAUAAAUUUCAUAUCUCUUAAUCGGAUAAAAUUUUCGAUUUCAAAAUUCAGAUAAAUUUCAAAUUUCAAAAUUUAGAUAAAUUUCAAAUUUCAGAUAAGAUUUUGACCCUUUAAAAUUGCUCAACAUGUCAUCUCUAUCUGCCUAAAUUUUUCUAUAAAACCAGAGGCUUAGCUCAUACCUCUCACACCAGAUCUUCUCUAUAUUUUCAUUUCUCAGAUUUUUGAAUUCAUACUCCAUUCUCAAUGUUAGACAUGAGGAGAUGUUUGGAGAGGUAAUAGCGAGAAACUAAUGAAAAAAGGCGUAGACGAGCUGAAGGCAAAAGGGUGCAGAGAGAACAUGAUCAACAAGUUAUCAUAGCAAUGACUUUGCUUGAGAAGAAAACCAAGGCCACCGCUAUGGUUCACAAGUUGGCCGUGGCCCAAAUGUGGACAGACAUAGGCAUUCUCAGGGUAAGAAUCUUUUAGAUGUAUAAAUGUGGUUUUUUAAUUUGGUUAUGUUUUAUUUUUAGUUAUGGUUUGGUUGUGUUUUAUUUAUUUAUUAUGCUCGGGUUGUGGUUUUUCCUUUUAAUUAUGUUUUCUUUGAUGUAUGGAAUAUGUUGAACAAAACGGUAUUUUAUUGAAUGCUUUGUUUAUUAAAUAAAGAAAGCCAACACAAGUCAUUAAGAAUUACUACUAAUUAAAUAAAAUACAUGAAUUACAACUACUUUGAUACAAAACAUGAAAAUACAAUUAAAUAAAAGGUAUGCCAACUAACUUAAUGGUUUUGAUCAUUUAACCAAUUCGUGUUGCUAGGUCCAUCGUCACAGAAAAGUCUUCUUCUCAUAACAUCUCCUCGUUCUAGCUUCCAAAAUUGUUUUGUUUCAGGGGACAUAUGGCUUGUAUCCAUGGCCAUGGUUUCCCGAUCCUACUUGUCAAUGUUUUCUUUGCACAAAUACUCCCUUUCUUUUGCAUAUUCUGCUUGAAUUGCCCUCUCGUCUGCUUGGGUUUUCAGGCCCAUUUCAAAUCUUAUGGCGCUCUGCCUUUCAAUUUCCUUCAAAAAAUUUGAUGUGUUAUUGCUAGAAUUACUCCCUCUCUUCGCCUUCGCAGCCUUUCAACCAAUGGGUCUCGGCUUCUUUUCGAUGGGUGAGUCUUGACUCAUCGGGGAAUCCAAAGGUGAAUCUGAUGCCGGUGAAUCAUGGAGUGGCGUCUCUUUUAACACAACAGGCGGACUUGUGGGAAUAAUUCUGAAACGUUUGCAAUUUUUCACCACCUCCCAACAUUCUUGAUGGUUGAAAGAUUUUUUACCUUACCCAAUUGCACCAAACCACAUCUGUGCUUGCAUAAUCUAUCAACAACAAAAUAAUGGAAAUGCAAGACACAUUAAUAAAAUAUUAAAAAUGCAAGAAAUAUUAAAAAUAUAUUGAAAAUGCAAGUAACAUUACAAAAAUGGAAAUGCAAUUAACAUUACAAAAUAUAUUGAAAAUGCAAGUAACAUUACAAAAAUAUUGGAAAUGCAGGAAACAUAAAAAAAAUAUUGGAAAUGCAAGAAACAUAAAAUUUAAAAUAUUGGAAAUGCAAGAAAAUAAAAAAAAAAUAAAAAAAUUUAGGACAUUACAUUUAAUAAAAUGGAAAUUACAAAUAAUUUAUCUCAUCGCUAAGAUUUUCACCGCUUUGAACAUUGUCCCUCGCUUUUGCUAAAGCAUCUCUCCAUUUCCCCAACUCUUUAUUCAAUAUUUUCCACCUACUACUCAAUGCCAUUUUCGUACGACUAGAACCCGAUCUUUCACAAAAUUCGGCAUGAAUUUUUCUCCACAUGUGAGAGAAUUUCAUCUCAUUGCUUGUGACCGGACAAUGACUAACAUGGACCCAACUCUCACACAAGCGAACAUCUUCCGUGGUUGCCCACACACCCUCGGCUUCGAUUGAAGAUGCCAUGAGAUGGUGAAUAAAAAAAGAAAAUUGGAAGUGAUCAAAAUUUUGUGUAGAAAGUGGAAAACAAUAGAAUUUAUGAAAUUGUAUGAGGAUUUGGUGUUGAAAGUGAAGAAGAAUGGUAGGUAUUUACAUAAAAUAAAAUAAAAUAAAAACUUCAUAAUCUUUUGGAAAUUUUUUAAAAAAAAUUUGAAUUUUUUUUUCCACAUUUUUUUGCCCAGAAAGCCCAGCCGUUGGAUUUGAAAAGAAAAAAAAGCAUCAUCGUGACCAGAACAUGAACACCUGUCAAGUUACUGUUGGUCGACGUCAGCGCUGACGUCGACGUGCGGUAAUUCAAAUUUUUUUUAACGUGCGCCAACAAUAAAAAAAAUUUGAAUUACCGCGUGUGACGUCACUUCUCCUUAAGCUGCUUCUCUCCGCGGGCUGGCCCUGUUGCGUAGGACUCGCACCUUGCUUGGGCUGCCUUGGCCCCUUGGAACGCACUGCCUGGGCUCGGGCCCUGUCCUGUCUGAGCUUGGGUUUGUUGCUGGAGUCGCCCUAAGGAGCAAACAAACCCAUAAUGCAAUAGCAGCCCAACAAUAUCAUCAGUAACACCCCCAGACCAUAUCAGCCUAAUUGAUAUACAUGUUUCCGAGACAUAUGUCAUGAUCUCACACCAGCAACUUCUAGAUAGCACUGAAGUUUGGUUUGGUUAAGGCACUUACAUUCUUGGAGCAAUAAAGGAUUUAUCCCAGCUGAGUAUAGAAUGGCGAACACCACAAUCAUCACCAUGAGUAGGGUAUUCCUUUUUACCAUGAUGCUUUCGAUGUCUGCAUUGCUCAACUCCCUCGUAACUUAGAAGUCGUCAAUGGGCUAGGUCGACUAUCCUGGCCCAUAUUUGGUGUGCUUGGGCCAAGUCGGGCCGGACUUUACUAAGGAGAGAGAAAAUACAGAGUUGGGCUGGGCUUUUACAAAAAAUUGAAAGCAUGUGCCAGUCCCAUGGGCCUGGGCUUUCUCAGAAGCCAAAACAGGCUCAUAUUUCUUCUUCCUAGUGGUGAGGAUGAAUCAAAUGAUUGCUUCUCGGAGAUGUCGUGGUGUUUCUCUUCGCCGUGAAGUCAACGACGUCAUCGUCUUCGUAACCGUCAACACAACAAAGCUCUCUUUAAGCCCAAGAUAGAGAUGAGAGAGAGACAAAGCUCCCGCUUACAUGCAUAUAACAUUUAGGGAGAGAGAGGGGUGAGAGAAGACGAUGAGUAGUUUAGGUUUAGAGAUGAUAAAGGAUACUUAUAAUGGAUACUUUUAUAUGGAGAGGUAUUGGGCUAAAAAAAAUUGAAGAGAAAUAGCAGUUAUUCUAUAUAUUGGGCUAUAAUAAAUCCUAUAUAUCUAGGCGUGCCGACCGAGCUUUGAUGGGCAGGCUGGGCUUUAAACCCUCUGGCCCAAGCUCAGCACACUAACUAACGAACUGGGCUUUUUCUCGAUGAUUCGGGCAGGCCUCAUCUGCCGAUGAGCUCAUGGGACAAAUGAUGACCCCUAGAUGUGGUGUGUCACAUUUUAGUGGAACGAUGGACUAAGAGUAGCAUACCACUCCAUUGUUUGAUACAUUCUUUAAAUCUUAGGUAAGUAUUAUGUUCUUCUUUCCUUUGAAAGUAUUUAAAAUUUACUUUUAAUCUUGUGAUUAUAAUUUUAUAAAAUGAUAUCAUUUUUUACUUUUAGAGUCUAUAGUCUACAAUAGGUGCAAGAGGAUCCUAUUCGUGUUUCUCCAUACCAAGAUGCCGAGAUUACAAGGGAAAGAAAAAUGUGUUUUGAGAAAUAUUGUUUGGAUGAGUGGGCUAAAAGAGAUAUCAAUGUGGAGUAUGCCUCUUUUUCAAUGUGCUUGGAUGACUUUGGAGUUAUAGAUGCUAUGAAUGAUAGGUUUCACGAGGAAUCAAUGGUGUGGUGGAUUGUCUAUGGAGCUUCCACACAAACUCUUCAAUCCAUAGCUUUGAGGCUACUUGGACAACCUUGUUCCUCCUCAUGUUGUGAAAGAAAUUAGAGUACAUAUAGUUUCAUUCACUCUUUAAGGAGAAAAAAGUUAGCACUCAAAAGAGCUGAAGAUUUGGUAUUUGCGUAUAGUAAUCUUCGUCUUUUAUCAAGGAAGAGCCCAAGCUACAAAGAAGGUGUUGAUCAAAUGGGGGAUGUUGGAGGAGAUGGAUUUGCUAGCAUGAGUGAAGAAGGUGUUGGGAUGCUUGAAAUUGCUAACCUUUCUCUUGAUGAACCAUCAUUGGAGGUUGCUUUAUUUAUCGGGGAAGACAUUACAAAUAUUGUAGUUAAUUGAGACUUGUGUUUUUCAUUUUUCUAGAUUUUAAAUUUGAAUUUGUUUGAAGAAUUUAAAUUUUUAUGUUUUUUAAAAUAUGUUUUAAAUUAUAUAUAUUGUUAUUAUUAUAUUUUAAUAUAUAUUUUUGAAUACCGUAACCAUGACGUAUCGUAUUCUAGUUUUUGAAUAUCCCCGUGUAGUGUCAUAUCGUAUCACCGUAUCUAUAUUCGUGUUCGUGCUUCAUAGAUUGAGAGCGAUUUUGUUAUAAGCAUAUUUAAUUUUUAUUUAAAAUUCACAUAUUUCACAAAUGAAAUUGGAAAUGUUUUGUGAGAUACACAUUGAUGAAGGUUGCUUUAUUUAUGGGCUUAUUGAAAUUCUUUAGAAUGACAUCAUUUGGAUGGAGGGAUAUCAUAUUGGUUUAGAUUGUAUGGUAAAAUUGUGUGUACAAAUUAUUACAAUUCAUGUACACUAAGAUUUGACAAGAAAAAGUGAUAAAAAAAUAAAUGAAUUUCAAAUGACUGAUUGCAUAUAAUCAUUUCAAAUCUAUUUCAUGUACUACAUGUUUUUAUUUCAAUCUAAUGUGGCAAAUUUAUCAUUGUUGUCAUCUAAUCUCUAUUUACAAUUUUACAUUGAGUUCUACAAAGAGAGCAAAUGAUUUUACUGAGUAAAAGACAUUAGCUACAUUUUGCCUCACGAGUGGAUAGUUUGUAUUUUUAUGAAUAUUGCCUUUUAAAGUUGGUCGUGUGAACAAAAUUUUUAAUGAAAUGUAAUGAAAAAAACCAAAUUAAUGUGUGAACCAAAAGAUUAUUAAACACCAAAUAGAUUGAUUUCGAAGUGUGAGGACUGAAAUGAACACUUGUAACAAGUUUAGGGACAAUUCCAGAAAAAAACCUAAAUUUGUAUUAAACUAGCGAAAAUGUUGAGUAGGCCCCAUUGUAUACGCUUAUAUAAACCUUCGUUUUGGUCAAAAUUUUCAGCCGAAGCUAUUCUGAAGAAUCUGAGGAAACCCAUUGCCGGACUUUUCGUCUUAUUGGAAAGUCUUGGGCACCAAACUCCAAAGAUGGCGUCUGAGAAUCUAAGCGUUCUCGAAGAGACCUUGAAGCCCUUUUACCAGAGAGCCUCUCAAGCCGAGGUUACCCACGUUUUUACUUGCUUAUACAUAAAUACAUCUAUACAUAUAAUUUUUGCUUUCAUAGCUUUAAACCUUGAUGUCAUUUAUAAUAGGCUUUCUUUGCUUCUCAACUGUAAGACAAAAAUGUGCAUGCAUAUAUAUACAUGUGUGUUCGAAUCCUGUCAGUGUACAUAUGGGGUUUGGCUGAAUUGUGAAGGUGCGGGUCAAUGGUGUCAGUAAUUGGUGGUAGUGCUAGUGAUUCGGGCUUGAUUGGUUUCAUAAUUGGCUUUUAUCCCAAUAAGUUUGUUUGAGAAUUUUUCUUUCUGAGCUGGUUUCUACUGGUUGUGGGAAAAAACAAAAUCUAAAUGUUGCAUUUUGUGGUGUGGAUUUCGUUAUCAAUAAUGAAAUUGUACUUCAUAGAGCCAUUAUGCAGUAUGCUAAAUAAGCGCGUAAGUGGUUGUUUUUGUUUCUUUGGUUCCUAAAGAACGGAAAAUCUAUGACUCAACACCAAUUCUGUUUCUCAUCAGAAAUAAGGAAACAAUAAUGCUUUUAAUCUUUCAAGUGGCUUAUGCAUUUGAUGAGUACCAAUCUGAUAUUCCUUUUAUGAAGCAAAUGAUUUCUAUGGUUUCAGCUUCGUCCUCGGUGAAUAAAGAUUUGUCUACAACUUCUCCCACUAAGUUCUUAGAUUAAUAUACUGCUCUGUUUACAAGACUUCAGUAUCAGCGAAAAUGUCCAAUUCUGUGUAAAAAUAUGCCACAAGUCCAUGAUUGUAACAACCGCCGCAUAGCAAUUCCAUAAUUCCUGUAUAUAAUUUUUAUUUUUAAUUAGUUAAAAAACGGAAGGGUAACAUUUACUGUAAUUCAUGAAUAUCAAAAAAAGUCUAGCCUUCACCUUCAGAUGGUACAUUGUCAGAUAGUACUUAACUACUUUCCAUGUCAUAGUUGUGAAGCUUUCAAAGCUAAAUAUAUAGUUUGGAGUCGUUGGUUUCAAGAUCUUGUCCCUAAAUACGUAGCAUUGGAAAAUUUUCUAUUCACUUUGUCUUUUCGUCCAAACUGUGGGGGUAUACCGCCAUUUUCUUAUUGGUUUUGCCCCAGCUGAUCUGACAGAAGACUUGAUGAAACCAGAAAUAAACCUCUCCGUUGACGGACUAAUGAUGUGCUGAUAGAUGAUAUCUGUUUGAUUGAGUUGGGUGCAAAUGAUACUAGACAUAUGUUUUUUUAUGAUAGAUAUUCUUUCAUAUUUGGAAUAAUUUUCUGUUUUAUUGCUUCCAAUAUAGUUCUAAUAAUUUUUGUGGAUGAGUUGAUUCUGAUCAAAAGUAUUAUGCAUCAAGUUUAUAUGAUUUUGUUUGAUGAUUGAAGCUACUGGUUUUCCCCUGUAAUCUUGCUAACUUGGCACCAUUGUUAUAAAGGACCGAUUAGCAAGACUUGAGGCCGCCCUUGCAGCCAAGAAGGGUCAUCCUGCAGAUUCGGCAAAUGAUGAUUAUUCUGAAUUGAUCAAUGAAAUCCAGUCAAAGCUAAAAGAUGCAUGUGCUGAGAUGGUUUUAGAACAAGAAAAGGUAUUGCAUCAAUGUCUCUUGUAUCUUGUUUUUGUCUCAUUUGGGAAGUAAUGAAUUAUCUAAAUUCUUUCUUUGUUUUUUUGGUGACUUGCAGAACAAGAAGCUUGCUGCAGAAAAUGCUAAACUCCAAUACCGGAUACAUCAUCUUGUUCAGGCAGUGAGAGAUGCUGAUGACAAAUUGGAGAAAAAGUGAGUUAUAACUUGUAACUCAUAAUGAUUGUGGGAAAAAAGAUAGUGGGAUUUUAUUUUCCUUUCAGAUGGGGCAUUUUCUUCUUUUAAAAGGGAGAUAAAAUGAACUGUAUUUAUUUUUGCACUUGGCAAAUGAACUGUAUUUAUUUUAUCUUAUCCACUCAAUUUGUAAAAUUUCUUGCAAACGAUAGAAAUAUAUAAGUUAGGAUCAUAAAAUUAUUGGACUUGUUGGACACAUGCAUUUUCCUAUAUGGACUUGUUAGCAUAAUUUGUGUGGUAAAAAAUGAUAUGCUUGAGAGUUUAUCGCCUUCUAGUUACUGUGGUGAUUGAUCAUUCUGAAAUUUUCUUGUGUUUUGUAUGUGCAUGUGUGUGUUGCAAAAAACUCGACUGUGUGUUUUCAGAGCAUGUUAGAAAGCUAGAAUUUAAUGAAACUCUACAUAGAAGUCAAACACGCCCUAAAGAGAUCAAUCCCCGGGUUUGCCAGAGUCAAAUUUAAAUAGUUUGAAUAAGUCUGGAAAUAUUUAUGGAAGAGAAUAGUACCAAGUAAGUCUGGACAUUGAUAAGCUAAUGUUUUAUUAAGCCUAUUAUCACCUGAAGCUUGGAGGUGCUAUAGUUUAUUUUGUUCGACUUUCAUGUGAAAAAUUUCACAAAAUUCAUCUUUUUAUUAUUAUUUAUUUUUAAUACUUGAUCUUUUGGCCAUUGCAUCUGCAAGAAGGGUCUUAAGGACUAUUUAUCAUUUAUUUAGAUAUUUUCAGUCCUUUUUAGACGAUUGGUUUUGUUUAGCAGUAUGUCACACACAUCCAAUUAAUUUGGACUUCUUAGCAAAACAAAACAAAAACAAAACAAUAACAAAAAAAUUAAUAUUUGACUUGGUUCAUGUUAUUCCUUUUGUUUCCACAGGUCGUGAUGCAGAAGUAACUGGAGACAUGGAAGUUGGAUUCAUAAGAUCGUGAACAGAGAUUCGUAGUUUUUAGAUUUGAGCAGGAUUAAUAAAUUCUGCUACAUUAUAGGUUUUUAAUCAUAGAUAAUGUUGAUGCUGGAACUUGGGUUAAAAUUUUUCCUGUAGUAUCUUACAGAACCUGCAUUCAGUGAUUUCUUUGGAGAAAAGCAUUAAAGAACAUACGAAGUGUUAUAUGUUUGUCUCAGGGUUUAACUUAUGCCCUCCCCUCUUUUUAGUUUUUUGUAUUGCCUUUCUGCAGAAAUUAAAAUACAGAAUGCAGCCUCAGCGAGUACUUAAAUUGCUUCUUUGAUUGUUGCUUCACAUUUAUUUGUGUUUGGAGCGUCAGAAAGCAGGGAGGAAAAGAAGUAUCUUUUCGAUGACCCUACGGGACAGCAGCCACGACAAGAAAGGCCGGCGAAUGGACUUGGCCAUCACCGGCACACAGCUUCUUCACCAACCAAAAGUAACACAUCAGCUUGCCACUACCAUUAGACCUCAGCAAGCACAUAACCAGCAUAUAAUUCACAAGCUCAUCCAAAAGUAGGCCUCAUUCAUUUAAAGCAUACUCACAUCAGAAUUGUGACCAAACAAUGACCUUUCUUUUUUAAUACCCAACAAUAACCAUUAACUCAAGCAAAUAUGUAAAAAUGAGUAGAGAGAUGAUUUGAUUGAAACCCACAUUAACAAAUCGAAAGGAGAUCAUGAGUAAGAAACCCCCAAGGUCCUCAGGCGAGUUCUCUCCACCAAUUGUGUCCUGUUGCCUGCAGAAAUGAAAAAUGAAAUAGAAAAUAGUUGUGAUCAUUGAACAAGUCUUCAGACUGAAAAAAAAAAACACAAACAAACAAACAAACAAACGACAUCCUUGAAAAUUACAAUAUUGUGGUCAAAAUUCAAGUCAAAUUUAGGGAGCACAAACAACAAAUUAGCAUUACAAUUCAGAACCCAAGAAAUAAUUCUUUGAGAUAAUUUCAUAGAUUAUCAUUUCAACCGUUAAUCCAACAAAUUGGAUUAUGUUUAAUUUAAUUUUAAUAUUCUUUAGUUCUAACAAUGUCAAAUGACUUAACACUUUUCACUAAUCAAACUCCUAAGAGAAACACUUGACACAUGACUGACACUUGCUACUUGCGGGAUGGGGGCCUAGAGGGCCUUGAGGGAGAGAGAGAGGGUCAGGGAAUGGUAGUAUUCCACAUUGCCAGGAUUUACCCGGAAGCCUCCUUGCAUACCCAACAAGGACACUUGCCUGUAGGACAAUGCUUGCAGAAGUUAGGUGUAACUUGAACUUUGUGACCCAGUCUUUGGUUGGACGCAUUGAGAAGAUGAAGCUAUUGUUUGGUAAUAAAUGUAGUGAGUUUUAGGAUUCACAUGAAUUGAUUUUACACAUAAAUAAACGGCUUAGAUUGACUAUACCUUAUUUCAUCUAACGAUUACGGUGAAAACAUUAUCUUAUCAACUUCACAUUCCCUUAUCAUUUCUAACUAGGAGGAGGCCUAUCUUCAUUGAAUUUCAUAUAUUGUCUGCCUUCAUAGACUUCGAAAGUUAAAAACAACAAAUUGCUCCAAGAACUGAUUAGUUCUCAUCAUAUGAGUCAUUAGUUUACCCACUUGGGCCAAAGUUUUACUUUCCUCCCAAUCUGUAAGGACUUUGUUUGUGUAACAUUUCCUCGCAUGGGUACUCCAUGCUUGGAGGGUUGCACUUGCACUUAAGGACGCUUGUUUAUAAGACUAUGUUUGCCAAAGUUGGAGUAACUUGAACUUCGGGAUCCGUCUUAGAAUUCGGUAAUAGAUGGAGUGAGUUUUAGGGUUUACGUAACAUCAAUUUUAUACAUAAAUGAACGGUUUAUAUUGAUUGUACUUGAUUUCAUCCAAUGGUUACAAUGAAAAUAUUAAAUUAUCAAGUUCAGAUUCUUUAUCUUUUCUAACCGAAACAGAAGUAUCUUCAUUUCAUUUCAUAUAUUGUCACUUCUUACUUAUUUCAUGAGAAAGUUAACCCUAAAAAUAGUAGAUUUUGAAGACAAAAGUUCAUUCCAUAACCAUAAAUUACAAACACACUGACUAAAAACAAUCAAUACAAUACCAUUGAAAAUAUAAACCAAUGGAACAACAUGACUCAUUUGCUUAUGGGGCUAGCCAACUCAUUUAAUACAUACUCCUUUCAAGAUGCUUUAAGAGCACUUUCACCCGUAAGGGCUAGCCAGGGCAAAAAAGGGGGCGUUUUUAGCGGGCUUCAGUGGCCCAGGCUGAUGGUGGGGGCCACCAAACCGGGCAAGCCCAAAAGCAUAUCUAGCCGGAGCUCGUGCCUGAGGGCUGGUGACGUCGGCGCUAACACCAAGCUGACAUCAGUGUAAGUGAUUCAAAUUUUUUUACUGUUGGUGCAUAUCGUACACACGCCAACGAUAAAAAAAAUUUCAAAAUCCCGUGCAUUGACGCCAGCUUGGCGUCAACCCUGUUUUCCCCAACAACUACAAGCCAUGUGUCGAGCCCUGGUGUCUAUGAUCCUAAUUUUUUCCUGUCAAAUUUUUUUUUUUAAAAUUCGAAUGUUCUUCUAUAAAUACCUACCAAUAUUCUUCACUUUCCACACCAGAUCUUCGUACAUUUUCUUCUUCUUCCAAUAUUAUUCAUAUUUUAGAAAACACAUUCGUUGCUCUCAAUGUCUUACAUGAGGAGGUUGUUGGAGAGGCAAGAGUGAGAAAUUGAAGAAAUAAGGCGCAAACAAGUUGAAGAAGAAAGGGAAGAGGUAAGAAGAAGAUGAUCAAGUUGCCAUGGCAGUGGGUAUGCUUCAUCAAUCAAGCCAAGGCCACCAUGGUUCACAAGUCGGCUGUGGCCCGAACGCAUUCUCAAGAUAAGAAUCUCUUGGAAGAUUACUUUAUCCCAAAUUCGUUGUACUCUACUGUUGAUUUUCAAGGGCGAUAUAGAGUGCAGUCUCAUUUAUUCAAUAAAAUUAUGCAUGAUGUUUGCACUUUCGGAGUAAAAGUUUACAGCUUCUUAAUGGAUGCUGGCAUUUGGCGCAUCUGCAGACCAUGUGGAUAAGAUUGCUAGGAGGGAGAAAUCCACUUUCCUAGAGAGCUUGGUUAGAUUCUGUGAUGCAAUCGAAACUCUCUACACAAGGGAUUACCUUCGCAAACCUAUGCCUAGGAACCUCUAAAGGCUUCUACAAAAAGCCGAGCCUCGAGGUUUCCCAGGCAUGAUUGGAAGCAUCAACUGUAUGCACUAGCAAUGGAAGAAUUCUCCAACUGCCUGUCAAUGAGAUUAAGGGAAUAAGAUGUUAUAAAAAAUAUAGUUUUCUUCUUUCUGUAAAGUCAAAUACAAAAACCUUUAUAUUAUAAAUAACAUAUAAACAAAUUGGAAAGCUAUUAAGGUACAAUGAAACUGAAGAAAAACAAAUUUGUUGGUAAGUAAAAGCAAAAUAAAUUAUAAGUAAGAAGGUGAGAUUGAUACGAUGAAGCACGUUAAAGACGUUGUCCUAAAGUCUUUGUAGCCUCCCUACGUGCAGGUACUGACGGUCUACAAGACUCCAAGAAACGACCCUAAUAAAAAAACUCAAGAUCCGCUAUAAGCACGUUCACAGACAGAUAUGUUUCCAAGUCACAUAACCAUUGCCCAAAAAUACUAAUAGAAAGUAGAGAAUAUAUAUAAAAGUAGAAAAGGAGAGAAUCAGAUUGUGGUGGUGAUUGUGGUAUGUGAUAUACUGAUGGUGUUGUGGUUGUUCAAAUGUGAAGGAGGAGUGGCCUUUUAUAGGCAUCCAAUAACAUGUAACCUUCACCACAUUAAACUAGAAAAUUAAGGCAUUCAAUAUAGAAAUAAAACCUGAAAAUUCAAUAUUUAUAACACGCACAAUAAAUAAAAUAAAAUAGCCAAAAUAAUAAAAUAAAUCAAAACAGUUAAAUUUUUUAAACCUUUUAAAAAUUCCAACAAUCCCCCACAAGGUUUUCAAAAUUUAACCAUUAAAACAAAAUGGUGAAAAUAUAUAUUUAUGUAUGGGCAACAUAAUACUAUGCAAUAGGUGUAGGUGCCUUCUGGGCUUGAACCUUCACUUAGUGAUGAUAGUUUCCAUUUGAGAACCUGAGUGUACGAAGUAUUGAACUCGGCACCUUUGACCAAAUUUCAACAUAUCCCACACAUAGUAUUGGUUGAGACUUGGAUGCGAGGUAGCGCUAUUUAUGGCCAUGUGCUAAUCUUGAUUCUCAUGAGAGUUACUAGAGAAUAGCCCAAUUCUCACAAUCGCGGCCUCACGACGUCUCUUACUUAGGUGAGUUCUCCAAGAGUACAUGUGACCUGUACCCUGGGGGAGUUUGCCCGCCUCGAAACUCAUUCAGGGAUAAAUCACUUCCUAACGCCACAUAAAAUAGCACUUUUGCCUUACGGAUGAGCAGAAGAAUAUCUCAAGGAUAUCUCUAUAGUUUUAUGAGUGCUAUAUGAGUCACGCAGUAUGAAUUGUUUCUACCACAUUGAACUUCCUUCAUGGGAUCGCCAAUCACAAAAGUUGGGUUACCUCCCUAGGUGACUCUCUUAUGGGCUUAAGCACAUCCCCCUCGACAUUUUGCAUUAAUAGCCUCCUCCACAAGGCAUGCAUACACACACAUACACACACACACACACACACACACAUAUAAUGUGGUUCACGUCUUUGUUCUCCACUUUAGUGCGCUCUAAACUUGUAUGUUAUUAGAAAUAUUUCCUAUAUAAUCUUGCAUACAAAUAAUUAGUGGAUUUCACCUCAGUAUAAUUGGAAAUUAUAUACACAUUGGUAUACAUUAAAAUAUAAUAAAAAUUCCACUAUAUAUAAAUUCAUAUAAUCUGAAUACCUCUCAAAUAUUGGUACUCAAAUAUGGGUCUGCAAUAGUCUUUGAAACUUUUUAGUACACCAGAUGAAGCUAUGAACAAACUAUGCAACGCUUAAUGAUAAAUUUAAUUAUAAAUACAAAGUAUUUCAGGAUACUCUUACUCCCUUUUUGUGCACUCUAAGUGACUGAAAUCAUGAUCACAUAUCUAAGUUGAAAUUAUAUCUUGUCGAUUCUCAAUAUGAACCUAUAAGACAAUAAGAAGUCUCUGCCAAAAUUUUAUACUAAGGCCAUCAUUAGUUGCACACCCACUUUCAUAUCAAAAUUGAAGACAAGUUAGUCUUAUAAUAAAAUUUUAUAAUAAAACAAAUUUCACACAGACACAACAUGUUUGCCAAGGGUAAUAAUGAGUGAAAUUAACAUUACAGCCAUUAUAUGAGUAUAAUGAGCAUUUCCCAUGAGAAAACAAGGAAAUUGAAAACACACUCAAAAUUUGUGGGAAUGAGAAGUGAGAAGAAAAUUGCGCGAUUUUCUCCAUGUCACCAAUUAACAAGUAAGUUUAUAUAAUUUUAUUAGUAUUAUUAUUAUUAUUAUUAUUUUGAAAGAAAGGAGUUUAAUUAAAUGAUUGUUGGUUACCUCUAAAAAGACUACGAGACUAAGGCAAUGCAAUUAUACUACAUUAAAUGAGUCUAACGUUUUUCAACAUAAAACAAAAACUGCUCAACAUUAGCCACACAUAAAUUAUAGCAUUAAAGUUCCCUUUGAAAAAAAAAAAAAAUUUCAACUCCCACAAAAGAGGUCCACAUGGUUUUAAAAUAAAUAAUAAUCAUUAUUAUUAUCAAAAGCAAAUAACGUAAACAUUUAAGGGCUAAUUAAAACAAAAUAAGAUAUAUCCCAAUAAAAGAGAUAUCAAAACUUAUAUAAUAAAUGUACAACAUAACGUCAAUUUCAAAGAGGUAAUCAAAACCACUCAAAAUCUAAAAAAUUAAAUUCAACAUAAAAUAAGUAUUGAGAUUAAUUUUGUAUUUGAAAUAUCCACAAAAAUUCCAACAAUUACCCACAUAGUUAAGGAAAAACUCAACCCCCACAAAGUAGGGAAUUCUCAAAAUAUAUGAAGACUGUACCAAAAUUUUAUUUAUUUUUAAAUUCAUAAGAUAUGCACUCACAAUCAUCUUGAUAGUCAUUGUAAAUAUAAUAGUGAAACCACCGAAAGUGUCACAAAAAUAAAUGAAAAAACUGCCUCAAAAAAUUUAGGGUUUGAAAGCCUUACACCAAAACUCAAAAUUAAAUGCCACUUACAGUGAUAUAAUUUAUUAUUGGGUGACUUUAUUGGCACCCAAAAAUUUUCUCUUUGCAUCCCAUAUUCUCUUUACAGCCCACUGAAUUUUAGUAAAAUUUAAAAUUACUCACUACACCCCAUUUUUCUUCCUAAAUUGUCCUCAUGAACCCUAUCCAUUAACUUACUUGUGUAAAUCCCACCGAAAUCAUUACCUUGUUUCAGUAGUAGUCCACCGAAUUUAUUUCAGUUUUCCCAUGGCUGACCACCAAAUGUGUUUCCUUUUUUCAGUGGUAGUCCACCGAAUCUAUUUUAGUUUUUCAGUGGUAGUCCACCGAAUUUGUUUUCGUUUUUCAAUGGUAGUCUAGUGAAUUCAUUUCUUGUUUCAGUGAUCAUCUACCAAAUUUGUUAUUGAGUUUGUACUUAAUAUUGUUUUUUAGAUAUGAAGAAGACUUGUAGAAGUACUACUGAGGCUUCAUCAUCUCGACUUAAUAGACAGCGUCCCACAGUCUCAACAAUGAGACAUAGAGCGAUGAGGUUAGCCUCUCAAGAGGACCAGCCCCAACAUGGUCCCCAGACCACUUUGAGGAUACUACAGAGGUUGAAGAUGUAGCCGCUGAUAGAAAUGUUGAUGCAAAGGUUGAAGAUGUAGCUACUACUCAUGAUAGUAAUGUUGAGGUAGAUGCUGAGUCUAUUGAGCCAUCUUCAGUAGGUCUCAUUGAUCCAUCUUUACUUACGAGUUUUAAAACUCACAUAGCAGCUACAUUUUGGAAUAACUAGGUAAGUCGUUUUACUGUAACAAUAGAAGGCAUAAUAUAAGUCUUAUUCAUGGUAAUUAACCUAAAUAUUUUUUUUUUGUAUUUGACUAGGAACCUGAGCCCCUUAGGUGCAUGUCGAAGACAUCUACCCUUCGUGAGUGGAAUUGGUGGGCUAAUCUAAAUAAUGGUAUAUUCAACAGGUACAUUCAGAGGUCUGGAUUAGAGUAACUUAUUAGGUGUUCUUAUCGUAAUGCAGAUAAAAUUAUUGUAUCUACCUUCGUUGAGAGGUGGCAUCUUGAAACGAACACCGUUCACAUGCCUUUUGGUGAGAUGACCAUCACAUUGGAUGAUAUGUCAUCUAUUUUAGGAGUGUCACCUUGUUUUUGUUCCUUCAAUGAGAGUAAGGUCAAAAUAGCUUGCAUUAAAUUUGUGGUCGACAAUAAGUUAUUGAAAAAAUAAAUAUAUUUCGGUUCGUUGCCACUGAAUUGUAGGUAAAAAUUCAGUAAUACACCAUCAAACACCGUUCCAUGUUACGUUGGAUCUCCACCGCAUCUUAAGUUAAAGGCCGGUCAAACACAACCGAAAUAAGUGCAAUGUUUCGGUGUCAUCCCACUGAAUUUACCUAUCGCGUUUGGUACUGGUGUGCUAAACGCAACCAGCGACCAUCGUGAAAUCCUAAACUUGAAAAAAGGCCAAAAAAUAAACUCAUACCUCAUUUCGAAGCCUCUCUAACUUCAGUCUUACCCGUCAUGAAUAAAUACAAGAUAUUUUUUUACCAAUAUAAGUGUAUAAACCUUGUUAGGGUUGUAGGAACAUGAUGGUUUGAGAAAAAAGUCUAACUAGGAUUGUAUGAACAUAUGUGAGGUGUAGUGAGCAAAUUUUUUUUUUAAAAUUUUUUUUUCCUUAACGGUAAUUAUGUACAAGGAUAAAAUAAAUUAUUCAUGUUUAAAAUUAGUAUGGGGUGCAAAGAGCAAAUAAUGGGGUGCCAAUAAAAUCACCCUUUACUAUUUCAUUUCAGUUUUCUCAGGAAGAUUUCACAAUGUACACUUUAUGGCAAUUAACUCAAUGUGACAUCUAUCAAGACUUCACAAUCAAAAAACAUUAUUUCACUCAAUAUAUAUAUAUAUAUAUACACAUAUAUACAUAUCGAGAUUAACUCAAGUCAAUAAUAUGAAGGAUUUAACAAUUGGGAUAUAUGGGCGUUGGCAUGAAUCCAGGACAUUAAAGCAAAGAUGUAACUAAAGAUGCAUAAAAAAUAAAAAGAUCUCGUAAUUGAAUGCAACGCAAAAAGCUUUUAAAUAAGUAGCAAUUAACCACUUUUGGAACCAGAAAAAAAAAAAAAAACUAACGUCCAAAACCAAUUAUAGCAUAUUGGAAUACUUUAUAUCCGGGAAAUUGAUCUCAACAUAAAAUAAGUAAUGAAAUUUUGAAACAUAUACGCAUAUGCACAAAAUAGGAUAAUCAAAUUUAAUUUCUCCAUAAAUAUAAAAGUUCUAAUUCUCAAUAUUGAUGUAUCAGCCAACUAGCUAAGGCUUUAAAUAGUAGUGAAAUCAAAUCAACACAAUAAAAUCAAAUGUAUAUACUUGUCCUCAACCGUUCAGCAUUGGAUAGCAUUGAAUGUUUCACCGUAAAUUGAUUAAUGAGUAAUAAUUAAGUAAUUGGUAACAAAACAAUACAAGCUAUUUUUUUUUUUUUUUUGAGAAGGUUGAAUUCAUUCCAUUAGAAGGGAGGAAUACAAGGCAUGUCAUGCGUGGCCUCGUUAAAACCUUCCCGGAGAAAACCACAAGGGAAAAACUCCGGGGUAGGAAAGAGUACCACAUAUGCCCAAAACGUACACAACAGGAAAAUUACAUUACAUCAAUGAACAAAACAUCUUGUAGGAAAUCUGGGGGAUCAGUAACCCAUUCUGCCACUCCCUGAGAGUGUAGAGCAUAUCGAGCCAACCGUGUUGCAACCCCAUUUGCACUCUUCUCUGUAACCCUCAAAUAAACAUGCUCUUGGCUAGCCAAAAGUGUUUGACAAUCCUCCGUUAGGCAAGCAAGAUGGGACAGAUCAGUUUGGCCCCGUUGUAUUGAAUGUAAAGCGCCUUGAGAAUCCCCUUCUAUAUGACAUUCCAGAUUGGACCACUUGGCAGCAUAGAUUAAGCCUUCUCUUAAUGCAACCAGUUUGGCAUGCAUGGGAUUUGAAAUCCCAUAUAGCACAACCAACUUGCAUGCAAGAAAGGCACCUGUAGAACUACGAACCACCAAACCAACCCCACCAAACCUGGAUUCACCAUGAAACACUCCAUUCACAUUUAUUUUAAUAGCUCCAGGCGGUGGCCGCACCCAUUUAGCAAUGGGACGUGAGGUAUGGGUCUUUGGAGGGGGGUGUACUUCCUGAAACUCUUUCAAACAGUGCAUUGCUCCACUAACAAUUUCUGUUGCACUCCGUUGACGUCCUGCCCAGGCCAUUUGAUUGCGCUCAUACCAUAGCAUCCAUAAGCACACCAUGACUUUCUCUAGCACAUGAAGUGGGUGGUCUGCAGCAAAUCCUUAGAACCACAUCUUGAACUCCUCUGUGGCAUCAGUAUUAAAGUGUGCCCAGGCCGGAAACAAAGACCAAGAGGCAAUAGCCAUGGGGCAUCGGAGAAGCACAUGGGCCACAGUUUCUUCAGCCCCACAAAAAACACAGCCUCUCAAUUCAGAGAUACGACGAUGAAUCAAAUUAUCCUUGGUGGGUAAAAUAUUCAAGAGAGCGCGCCAGAUGAAUAUACGAACCUUUGGUGGUACUCGGGCUUUCCAAAUCUUCUUCCAGACCUGUUCACAAGCUACAAUGGGUCCUCCAUUCAUGUUGGUGUCGUCCCCGUCUUGCUGGAGCAAAACUCGACGAGCGACAUCAUGGCCGCUCCGCACUGUGUACUGACCAUCUCUCUCAAAGUGCCAAAUCAAGAUGUCUGGUGGGUGUCUGAAGCUUAAAGGGAUGUUUCGAAUGCAAUUCACUUCCUCGGCCGAGAACCAAGCUUGCAAAAGGUCCUCCUUCCACUGCAGAGUGACUGGAUUAAUAAGAGAGUUCACUUUUGCCUCCUCAAACCCCUCUACUUGUGGUGAGGAAACUUGGAAAGAUUCAGAGUUAGGGAGCCAUCUGUCUCCCCAUAUACGCACACUGUGGCCAUUCCCGAUUCGCCACCGAGAUCCUUUUUCAAUAAGGACACGUGCUUUGCAUAAGCUUUGCCAAAUAUAGGAGGGGGAAUGUCCGAUUUGUGCCUCUAAAAUAGAGCAAUUCUUGAAGUAACGGGCUUUCAGGAUGCAUGCCACUAAAGAGUUUGGGGUUUGAAUCAAGCGCCAUAAUUGUUUGGCCAAGAGCGCCAUAUUGAAGGCAUAUAAAUUACGGAAACCAAGCCCACCCUCCUGUUUGGGCAAGCAUAAUUUGUUCCAGCUGAGCCAGUGUAUUUUUCGUUGGCCAUCUUGCUCAACCCACCAGUAGCGAGCCAUCACUUGUUGAAUUUCGUUACAUAGACAUUUAGGGAUGAGGAAGCAAUUCAUCAUAUAAAUAGGCACAGCUUGU